CGAAAAAAGACAAAAGCAUUAGAAGAAAAUGUCUUUAGUAACAUCCGUUACCUGCGUCUGUGACAAGGUGACCACAGCUGUAUGUACUGAGGUGGGUGACAGCGAAGGGCAUGCACAUUCACUGGAAGGUCUUGGAGACAGUGCAGUGAUAAGACAGACAACAGGAGGUCUCGCAGACAAUGCAGUGAUAAGACAGACAACAGGAGGUUUCGUAGACAGUCCGGUGAUAAGACAGACAACAGGAGGUCUGGCAGACAGUGCAGUGAUGAGGACACACAACACGAGGUCUCGCAGACAGUGCAGUGAUGAGGACACACAACAGGAGGUCUCCCAGACAGUGCAGUAAUAAGAAUACACAGGAGAGAUUGACAAGAUAGAGGCGGGGCUAUACUGGUGGGGUUAUAAUGCAUGGGUUAUUGAGGAUGUGGUUAUUAGAGGAGAUAGAGAAGGAGUUUAUAAAGCAUUUGGUUCCGUGGUAGAAUGAAUGCAGAGAGGGCCCUGGUGCAAGAAAUUAGUUUGGUCCCCCUUUAGUGCAAGAGUGGCCAAAAGGUAGAUUCCCAUCUGCCAUAUGACACCCACAAUGCUAUGCCAGUUGGGAAGAGACAGAGUUAAUGGCCAAUAGGGUGAUAGACAGAAAAAGAUAAUGGCCAAUAGGAUAAUAGGUAAACAGUGUUAAUGGCCAAUAGGGUGAUAGGCAGACAACAUUAAUGGGCAAUAGGGUGAUAGACAGACUAUGUUAAUGGCCAAAAGGGUGAUAGACAGACUAUGUUUAUGGCCAAUAGGGUGAUAGACAGACAACAUUAAUGGACAACAGGGUGAUAGACAGACAGCAUUAAUGGACAAUAGGUGAUAGACAGACAGCAUUAAUGGCCAAUAGGGUGAUAGACAGACAGAGAUGAUGGCCAGUAAGUUGAUAGACAGACAGAGAUGAUGGCCAGUAGGGUGAUAGACGCAGAUAAUGGCCAGUAGGGUGAUAGAUAGAAAGAGUUGAUGGCCAGUAGGGUGAUAGACAGACAGAGAUGAUGAUCAGUAGGGUGAUAGACAGACAGAGAUAAUGGCCAAUAGGGUGAUAGACACAGAUAAUGGCCAAUAGGGUGAUAGACAGACAGAGAUAAUGGCCAAUAGGGUGAUAGACACAGAUAAUGGCCAAUAGGGUGAUAGACAGACAGAGAUGAUGGUCAGUAGAGUGAUGGGUGAUAGACAGACAGCGAUAAUGGCCAAUAGGGUAAUAGACACAGAUGAUGGCCAGUAGACAGACAGAGAUGAUGGCCAGUAGGGUGAUAGACAAAUAGAGAUAAUGGCCAAUAGGGUGAUAGACAGUCAAAGUGAAUGACCAAUAGGGUGAUAGACACAGAUAAUGGCCAGUAGGGUGAUAGAUAGACAGAGAUGAUGGCCAGUAGGGUGAUAGACACAUUAAUGGCAAAUAGGGUAAUAGACACAGAUAAUGGCCAGUAGGGUGAUUGACGAACAGAGAUAAUGGCCAAUAGGGUGAUAGACACAGAUAAUGGCCAGUAGACAGACAGAGAUGAUGGCCAGUAGGGUGAUAGUCAGACAGAGAUGAUGGCCAGUAGGGUGAUAGACAGACAGAGUGAAUAGGGUGAUAGGGUAAGGGAAAUUGGGUUAUACCAUAAUUUACAAGAGAGAUUGUGAAUUAAAAGUUUGUUUAUUGAUUAAAAUCAACUAAAUAUGUUUUAUUUCUUGUGUUUUCCCUUACAAACAUUUACACUCAAGAGCAUUAAAGCCCUCUUCACACAGGUCACUCCUGUUUAGCAAUAAAAAGUAUACUUCUAACAUAGCAAGAUAGAGAUAACAAUAUAAUAUAUAGGUAAUACCUAGUUAUCCUCAUAAUUGGGAGAUACAUAACUAUCUACAAUAAUGGAUAUCUCUGGUACAUCUUCACCUAUACUGCAUCUUCACCUUUACUGCAUCUUCACCUAUACUGCAUCUUCACCUUUACUACAUCUUCACCUUUACUGCAUCUUCACCUCUACUGCAUCUUCACCUAUACUGCAUCUUCACCGUUACUGCAUCUUCACCUUUACUGCAUCUUCACCUUUACUGCAUCUUCACCGUUACUGCAUCUUCACCUAUACUGCAUCUUCACCUUUACUGCAUCUUCACCUUUACUGCAUCUUCACCUAUACUGCAUCUUCACCUUUACUACAUCUUCACCUAUACUGCAUCUUCACCUUUACUACAUCUUCACCUUUACUACAUCUUCACCUUUACUGCAUCUUCACCUUUACUUCAUCUUCACCUAUACUGCAUCUUCACCUUUACUGCAUCUUCACCUUUACUGCAUCUUCACCUUUACUGCAUCUUCACCUUUACUACAUCUUCACCUUUACUACAUCUUCACCUUUACUGCAUCUUCACCUUUACUGCAUCUUCACCUAUACUGCAUCUUCACCUUUACUGCAUCUUCACCUUUACUGCAUCUUCACCUAUACUGCAUCUUCACCUUUACUGCAUCUUCACCUUUACUGCAUCUUCACCUAUACUGCAUCUUCACCUUUACUGCAUCUUCACCUUUACUGCAUCUUCACCUUUACUGCAUCUUCACCUAUACUGCAUCUUCACCUUUACUGCAUCUUCACCUUUACUGCAUCUUCACCUAUACUGCAUCUUCACCUAUACUGCAUCUUCACCUUUACUACAUCUUCACCUAUACUGCAUCUUCACCUAUACUGCAUCUUCACCUUUACUACAUCUUCACCUUUACUACAUCUUCACCUUUACUGCAUCUUCACCUUUACUUCAUCUUCACCUAUACUGCAUCUUCACCUUUACUGCAUCUUCACCUUUACUACAUCUUCACCUAUACUGCAUCUUCACCUUUACUGCAUCUUCACCUAUACUGCAUCUUCACCUUUACUGCAUCUUCACCUUUACUGCAUCUUCACCUUUACUACAUCUUCACCUUUACUGCAUCUUCACCUUUACUGCAUCUUCACCUAUACUGCAUCUUCACCUUUACUGCAUCUUCACCUUUACUGCAUCUUCACCUAUACUGCAUCUUCACCUAUACUGCAUCUUCACCUUUACUGCAUCUUCACCUUUACUGCAUCUUCACCUUUACUGCAUCUUCACCUUUACUGCAUCUUCACCUAUACUGCAUCUUCACCUUUACUGCAUCUUCACCUUUACUGCAUCUUCACCUAUACUGCAUCUUCACCUUUACUGCAUCUUCACCUUUACUGCAUCUUCACCUUUACUGCAUCUUCACCUAUACUGCAUCUUCACCUUUACUGCAUCUUCACCUUUACUGCAUCUUCACCUAUACUGCAUCUUCACCUUUACUGCAUCUUCACCUUUACUACAUCUUCACCUAUACUGCAUCUUCACCUUUACCUUCACCUAUAUUACAACUUCACCUAUACUGCAUCUUCACCUUUACCUUCACCUAUACUACAACUUCACCUAUACUGCAUCUUCACCUAUACUACAUCAUCACCUUUACUACAUCUCCACUUUUACUUGAAAAUUACUCCAUGUGUGUAUCACACCCUGAUACAUACACACCUUGACACCCAGAUACACACUGACAUAUACACUCACACACUGGCACAUGCAUACAGUCUGAUACACACAGUUUGACACAGGUACACACACCUUGACACAUAUACACACACCUUGACACAGACACACAUCUUGACACAGAUUCACACACCUUGACACAGGUACACACACCUUGACACAUAUACACACACCUUGACACAGACACACAUCUUGACACAGAUACACACAUCUUGACAUAUACACACCUUGACACAGGUACACAUACCUUGACACAGAUACACACCUUGACACAUAUACAAACACCUUGACACAUACGCACACCUUGACUCAGAUACACACACCUUGACACAUACACACCUUGACACCGGUACACACACCUUGACACAUUGUGAUAAAGUGAAUGCAGAUAGGCCUUUUAACCCCAGGGGGAGUAUGUGUAGUUUGUGUGUGUUACACAAAGCAUUGUUUAGUUAUGGGCCCCUGGGGUGGAGCAUUUGGAGAGAAGGGUGGGCCAAUGCUCCACUCCACAGUUUAGUGGUUUUCUGGGGAGACAUAGAUCCAGGCCAGGGUUUUUUGGACCGUCUCCAACCCACUGCUCAGCUGCAGUUAAUGAGCUAUUGCAGUGGGAAUAAACCCCUCCCUGCUAGGCAGGUGAAAGAGAGGGAUUGCUGGCUUCCUCCCAGGAAGCAGGUAGGAGAGAGAGGCUGUUCUCUCCAGAUAGAGUCAAGGAGACUAGGCACUUGGAGUGCAGAAAGGAAGCAGUCAGGGCAAGGCUGGCUUGGAGCACUGGGAGUGCAGAAAACAAAGCAGUCAGGGCAAGGCUGGCUUGGAGCACUGGGAGUGCAGAAAGGAAAGCAACAGGCUAGCUAGGAAAGCAACAGGCUAGCUGGUGCAAUAUUGUUUUGUUUAGUUUAACCCUGAGAGAUAGGGAACCUAACGUCAGUUAGUGCUCAGACGAGCUAGGUUUUUGUUUAUAGGGUUUUCUGUUAUAUUUAUGUUUUAAUUUACUGCUGUAUCCUGUGUGGAUUUUCAAAUAAAGUGCCUGGAGUAUAUGCAAUUACAAGGACUGUGCAUGUUUUUGCCCUAGAGGACCGUGCUACCUGCUGACAAGGAUCACAACAUAUAUACACCUUGACACAGAUACACACACCUUUACACAGGUACACACACCUUGACACGUGUACACCUUGACACAAGUACACGCACCUUGACACAUACACACCUUGGCACAGGUACACACACCUUGACACAGAUACACACACCUUGACACAGGUACACACACCUUGACACAUACACACCUUGGCACAGGUACACACACCUUGACACAGAUACACACACCUUGACACAUAUAGACCUAGACACAGGUACAAACACCUUGACACAUAUAGACCUAGACACAGGUACACACACCUUGACACAGGUACACACACAUUGACACAGAUACACACACCUUGACACAUACGCACACCUUGACUCAGAUACACACACCUUGACACAUACACACCUUGACACAGGUACACACACCUUGACACAGAUACACACUCCUUGAAACACAUACACACCUUGACACAGGUACACACACCUUGACACAUAUACACCUUGAAAUAGGUACACACACCUUGACACAUAUACACCUUGACACAGGUACACACACCUUGACACAUAUACACAUUGACACAGCUACACACACCUUGACACAGGUACACACACCUUGACACUGAUACACCACCUUGACAGAAAGAUACACAAUUUGACACACACAUAGAUACAUACAUGUCAUAAUUGUUAUAUUUGCAGCCACCCUCUUGAUAGCAUACCUUUAGUAUGCAGGAGGUGGCUUGCUUGGGGACCUGCUGCUGCUGGUUGAGGCUGAUGGGAGCGAGUAUGGGGUCUGCAGAAGCUCACUCCCCUGGUUUAUUAUGAAUGGGUAAAUAUGAAUGGGUUAUUACAGAUGUGGUUAUUAUGAAUGGGUUAUUACAGGUGUGGUUAUUAUGUAUGGGUUAUUAUGAGUGUGGUUAUUAUGAAUGGGUUAUUACAGGUGUGGUUAUUAUGUAUGGGUUAUUAUGAGUGUGGUUAUUAUGAAUGAGUUUUUACAGAUGUUGUUAUUAUGAAUGGGUUAUUACAGGUGUGGUUAUUAUGUAUGGGUUAUUAUGAGUGUGGUUAUUAUGAAUGAGUUUUUACAGAUGUUGUUAUUAUGAAUGGGUUAUUACAGGCGUGGUUAUUAUGUAUGGAUUUUUACAGAUGUGGUUUUUAUGAAUAGGUAAUUAUGACUGUGGUUGUUAUGAAUGGAUUAUUGUGAGUGUGGUUAUUAUGAAUGGGUUUUUACAGAUGUGAUGGUUAUUAUGAAUGGGUUAUUACCGGUGUAGUUAUUAUAGAUGGGUUAUUAUUGGUGAGGUAAUUAUAAAUAGGUUAUAAUGACUGGGUUAUUAUGAGUGUUGUUAUUAUGGCUUGGUUUUUCCAGAUUUGGUUAUUAUGGGUGAGGUUAUUAUGAAUGGGUUUUUACAUAUGUGGUUGUUAUGAAUGGGUUAUCAUGGAUAGGUUAUUAUGUAUAGAUUAUUACGGGUGUGUUUAUUAUGGAUUGGUUAUUAUGUAUGGUUUAUUACAGGUGUGGUUAUUAUGUAUGGGUUUUUACGGGUGUGGUUAUUAUGGAUUGGUUAUUAUGUAUGGUUUAUUACGGGUGUGGUUAUUAUGGAUUGGUUAUUAUGUAUAGAUUAUUACGGGUGUGUUUAUUAUGGAUUGGUUAUUAUGUAUGGUUUAUUACAGGGGUGGUUAUUAUGUAUGGGUUAUUACUGGUGAGGUUAUUAUGGAUUGGUUAUUAUGUAUGGGUUAUUACAGGUGUGGUUAUCAUGGAUUGGUUAUUAUGUAUGGUUUAUUACGGGUGUGGUUAUCAUGGAUUGGUUAUUAUGUAUGGUUUAUUACAGGGGUGGUUAUUAUGUAUGGGUUAUUACUGGUGUGGUUAUUAUGGGUGUGGUUAUCAUGGACAGUUUAUUACAGGUGUAGUUAUUAUUACACCCAUAAUAACUCCUCCAUAAUAAUCAUGAUUAUUAUGGGUGUGAUUAUUAUGGAGGAGUUAUUAUGGGUGUGGUUAUUAAUGGUGUAGUUAUUAUGGAGGAGUUAUUAUGGGUGUGUUUAUUAUUGGUGUGAUUAUUAUGGAGGAGUUAUUAUGGAUGUGGUUAUUAUAGAGGAGUUAUUAUGGGUGUGGUUAUUAUAGAGGAGUUAUUAUGGGUGUGUUUAUUAUUGGUGUGAUUAUUAUGGAGGAGUUAUUAUUGGUGUGGUUAUUAUAGAGGAGUUAUUAUGGGUGUGGUUAUUAUUGGUGUGAUUAUUAUGGAGGAGUUAUUAUGGGUGUGGUUAUUAUUGGUGUGAUUAUUAUGGAGGAGUUAUUAUGGGUGUGGUUAUUACUGGUGUGAUUAUUAUGGAGGAGUUAUUAUGGGUGUGGUUAUUAUUGGUGUGAUUAUUAUGGAGGAGUUAUUAUGGGUGUGGUUAUUAUUGGUGUGAUUAUUAUGGAGGAGUUAUUAUGGGUGUGGUUAUUAUUGGUGUGAUUAUUAUGGAGGAGUUAUUAUGGGUGUGGUUAUUAUUGGUGUGAUUAUUAUGGAGGAGUUAUUAUGGGUGUGGUUAUUAUUGGUGUGAUUAUUAUGGAGGAGUUAUUAUGGGUGUGGUUAUUAUUGGUGUGAUUAUUAUGGAGGAGUUAUUAUGGGUGUGGUUAUUAUUGGUGUGAUUAUUAUGGAGGAGUUAUUAUGGGUGUGGUUAUUAUUGGUGUGAUUAUUAUGGAGGAGUUAUUAUGGGUGUGGUUAUUAUUGGUGUGAUUAUUAUGGAGGAGUUAUUAUGGGUGUGGUUAUUACUGGUGUGAUUAUUAUGGAGGAGUUAUUAUGGAGGAGUUAUUAUGGGUGUGAUUAUUAUGGAGGAGUUAUUAUGGAGGAGUUAUUAUGGGUGUGGUUAUUAUGGAGGAGUUAUUAUGGGUGUGAUUAUUAUGGAGGAGUUAUUAUGGAGGAGUUAUUAUGGAGGAGUUAUUAUGGGUGUGGUAAUUACUGAUGUGAUUAUUAUGGAGGAGUUAUUAUGGGUGUGGUUAUUAUUGGUGUGAUUAUUAUGGAGGAGUUAUUAUGGGUGUGGUAAUUACUGAUGUGAUUAUUAUGGAGGAGUUAUUAUGGGUGUGGUAAUUACUGAUGUGAUUAUUAUGGAGGAGUUAUUAUGGGUGNNNNNNNNNNNNNNNNNNNNNNNNNNNNNNNNNNNNNNNNNNNNNNNNNNNNNNNNNNNNNNNNNNNNNNNNNNNNNNNNNNNNNNNNNNNNNNNNNNNNCAAGCCCGGUUCAGUGAUCUCUUGGAGUGGAGGGAGAGCAGGUAUGACUGGGACGACACUCACGAAAUUGAGUGACCCUAGUGACCCGAGAGAUGGAGCUGGAGCAGGGCUACCAAGAUCUGUUCCACUCCAGUGAGAAGGCUCAGCAGGGAAGCGGAGACCCAGAUCCAGACCCAUUCAGCUGGUUAGAUAUUGCGGAGGAUUACUGGGAAGAACCCCAGGUGGCGGGUGGAGAUGGGACAGAGGUCUCUCCACCGGUAUUGCAGGGAAUUGGGAGCCCGAGCUCCAUUCCCAAGCGGGAGAUAUUGCAGGGAAUUGGGAGCCUGAGCUCCAUUCCCCAGCGGGAGAUAUUGCAGGGAAUUGGGAGCCCAAGCUCCAUUCCCCAGCGGCAGGCUGAGUUACAGGAAGCAGAGACAAGUGGUCCUGUUCCCCAGCAGCAGUGUACCUUGCAGGGAGAGGAGAGCAGCGUCCUCCCUCCCCAGUGGCAGGGUGAGCUACAGGGAUGCUGGGCAGUCGGCUCAGAUCCCCAGCGGCAGUGUGAUCUAUUGGGAAUUGGGAGCCCAGGCUCCAUUCCCCAGCGGCAGUGUAAUUUAUUGGGAAUUGGGAGCCCAGUCUCCAUUCCAAAGUGGCAGUACGAUUUGUUGGGAAUUGGGAGCCAAGUCUCCAUUCCCCAGCGGCAGAGUGUCCUACCGGGAAUAGAGAGCCCAGUCUCCUUUCCCCAGCAGCAGGACUCUGUAUUGGGAGCAGAGACAGUCGGACUCCUUCCCCCGCGGCUGGAAGUAUGUAUGGGAGAGGAGCUUGUUACCCCCUCUCCCCAGCGGCAGCUUAAUGUACCAGGGGGAGACAGUAAGCCCCACAACUGUGCAGAUGGAACAGUGGUCUCUGCUCUUACAGCACAGGGGGUAGGGACGGUCGGUUCUGCCCCCCAGCAACAGCGCUGUUUAGCCAAAGGGGAGACAGUCGGUCUCCAGCAGCAGGGCUGUGUAUCUAAAGGGGAGACAGUCGGUCUCCAGCAGCAGGGCUGUGUAUCUAAAGGGGAGACAGUCGGUCUCCCCAUCCAACAACCAGGCUUCAACCAGGCUACCUUCCCAGUAGCGCUGGCACCAGGGCAGAGUACCGCUGGUCUCUGUCCACUCAGCAACCCACCAAGUCAGCGUACCCGUACCCAGCACAGCCGUGGUGAGGCACCUGGACAUGGACAAGCUUCUCCUCUACCCAGGUGUAGUAACCAUUUAUUGUGGGUGGGCUGUGCUGUUGAUUGUGUUUUGUGGGUGGGCUGCUGGACUAACAAGGGCACUGACCGGCAGGAGGUCAGAUACCCUGUUAGUCUGUUUGGAAAAGGGGAGAGAUGUGACGAGACCAAUCUCGCCACAUUGCAUUGGAGAAGCCUGGUUGCUCGCCUGGUUGCUCGCCUGCUGCCUUUGGACUAUGGCCCCAUGUUAAAAGACAUCUUUUUUCACUGCAGAAAAGACGUAUUCGUGCUUUUCUGCCUGGUGUUCGGUAGAUUCAAUCUACCGAACAACCGCACGAAUGACUGGACCACCUGGGAGCUGGAGUGUGCCGGCAAUUAGCCUCCCUGAAGCUGCAGUUAACCGCAGCUUAAUUGACGAAUGCAGGGUGGCCGCCAUUCGUAUCACGAACACGAGGUCGCAGCCAUUUUAAACAUGCGAACGCACAGCGGUGUUCGAUGCUUAAUUCAUGGAACUAAAAUCGGACACAGUUUUGCGCGAAUACCGCUGAAGCCGCCGACCUCCCUUAUUGUUCGGUGAAAGGGCACGAACGGCCCGGUGUUCGGUAGUUUUACUUGAAAUGUUAUACCCCAGAUAGGAAUCCCAUGGAGCCCAUUCGCAUGAGAACUGACUGUGUAAAGACUUUGGCUCCAUGGCGAUUAAACUGUAUUCGUGUGGUCUGAGCGCCAUUCGCUUAAUAGUGUGUGCUCAGACCUGAGCUAUCUGGGGACAUGUUAAAUGUAUAGUUUUAUUGUAAUGUGUCUUACAUAGUGUAUUUUAACAGUAAUUCUUGUUUUAGUAUCCCCACGUGCAUAAUGGCGAUUUGCCUUUGUCUUGGGAGAUAAUUUAAUUACUUCUCAAUUAUCUCCAAGGCAGAGGGGAGGAAGCCAGGAUGCAUUGUGGGAAUAUAAUGUGACUGUGUGUCCUAUUUGUCUACUUGUCUGUCUUUUGUCACAGUGGGAGACCUGCAUAAAUACUGGGCAGGUAGCCCUCAUUAAACAGACCACUGUUUGACCCUCAACACGGAGCCUUGUCUCGUCUUUGGGGGGAUUUACUGAAUGCUGAUAGAGACUGAUUGCUAGGAGUGUAAGCCGCUUGGGUGCUUUUCCUAUUCGUCUGCUAGCAGCUAUUCGUAUGGUUCCAGUUCGUGAGUUUGGAGUGUUAUAUCGUAUGCCGUUCGGGAGUUUGGAGCAUUCCCUUACAUGCGGUUCAUGAGUUUGGUGUUCUACAGUAGCUGUGCCUGCAUCUCUGAAAGGGGACGAUAGCCUAAACGGUUUUACCCCUUUUGUGCAAAACGGUCCGUUACAGUGAUAUUUUGUGUAAUUGAAGCUCCCAUAAGAGACCAGCCGCACAACCUGAAAUCCAUGGAACUACUCUGGGCAGAUGCCUCAUGUAAGGUCGGUCAGAAAUAAGACUUCCAUAAAACUCCCAAACCCCUGAAACGAUCUGGGUGAUUUUCGGAUAUGUUUCUCACCCAGAUCGGGGGUAUCAGGGAAUAUACUUUUUUAUGGGGUUUAUUUGAGUUUUUGGGGUACUUUUGUGUUGUCUGUAAAUUAUGUUCUUUUUCGCCUGGAGAUAGUUGAGUUGAUACAGUAAUUGACUCAAUUAUCUCCCAGGCACAGGGGAGGGAUUGUAUGCCAUGUGUGGGAGUGUCAUACAGUUUAACCCUACUAUUAUUGGUCUGUAAUUCUAUAUUGUAGUACCCCACAAGGUCCAUGUUGGAGUGCCUCUUGCAUGGGGAAUUGCAUAAAAGGCCAGUGUGGCUACCAUUAAACCAGUUCACUUAACCCUUAACAUGCAGCCUUGUAUCGUUAUUGUAGGGAACCGCUAUACUGCUAUAACCACUCGCUCUUAUAAGAGCUCUACAGCUAUAUUGUAUUCAUGGUCUGCUUGGAUAUCAACUGGAGAAUACUGCAGCGCUACUCAGACUAGGGGGAAAGNNNNNNNNNNNNNNNNNNNNNNNNNNNNNNNNNNNNNNNNNNNNNNNNNNNNNNNNNNNNNNNNNNNNNNNNNNNNNNNNNNNNNNNNNNNNNNNNNNNNGUAGUUUGUUUGUAAUUACCAGUUUUAUCACUAUUUUAUUAGUAGUGGCUAACAGCUGGUUUUUUUGGAAGUUAUCUGUGUCUAAUACGGCUGGGCACUCAGUCAGUCAUUAGCUGGGAACACUGUUAGUCAUUAGCUGGGCACACUCUGUCAGUCAUUAGCUGGGCACACUCUGUCAGUCAUUAGCUGGGCACACUCUGCCAGUCAUAAACUGGGCACACUUUUUCAGUCAUUGGCUGGGAACACUGUCAGUCAAUAGCUGGGCAGAAUGUUAGUCAUUAGCUGGGCCCACUCUGUCAGUCAUUGGCUGGGAACACUGUCAGUCAUUGGCUGGGCACUCUGUCAGUCAUUAGCUGGGCACUCUGUCAGUAAUUAGCUGGGCACACUCUGUCAGUCAUUGGCUGGGAACACUGUCAGUCAUUGGCUGGGCACUCUGUCAGUCAUUAGCUGGGCACUCUCUCAGUAAUUAGCUGGGCACACUCUGCCAGUCAUUAGCUGGGCACACUCUGCCAGUCAUAAACUGGGCACACUUUUUCAGUCAUUGGCUGGGAACACUGUCAGUCAAUAGCUGGGCAGAAUGUUAGUCAUUAGCUGGGCCCACUCUGUCAGUCAUUGGCUGGGAACACUGUCAGUCAUUGGCUGGGCACUCUGUCAGUCAUUAGCUGGGCACUCUGUCAGUAAUUAGCUGGGCACACUCUGUCAGUCAUUGGCUGGGAACACUGUCAGUCAUUGGCUGGGCACUCUGUCAGUCAUUAGCUGGGCACUCUCUCAGUAAUUAGCUGGGCACACUCUGCCAGUCAUUAGCUGGGCACACUCUGCCAGUCAUAAACUGGGCACACUUUUUCAGUCAUUGGCUGGGAACACUGUUAGUCAAUAGCUGGGCAGAAUGUUAGUCAUUAGCUGGGCCCACACUGUCAGUCAUUAGCUGGGCACACACUGUCAGUCAUUGGCUGGGAACACUGUCAGUCAUUGGCUGGGCACUCUGUCAGUCAUUAGCUGGGCACUCUGUCAGUCAUUGGCUGGGAACACUGUCAGUCAUUGGCUGGGCACUCUGUCAGUCAUUAGCUGGGCACUCUGUCAGUCAUUGGCUGGGAACACUGUCAGUCAUUGGCUGGGCACUCUGUCAGUCAUUAGCUGGGCACUCUCUCAGUAAUUAGCUGGGCACACUCUGCCAGUCAUUAGCUGGGCACACUCUGCCAGUCAUAAACUGGGCACACUUUUUCAGUCAUUGGCUGGGAACACUGUUAGUCAAUAGCUGGGCAGAAUGUUAGUCAUUAGCUGGGCCCACACUGUCAGUCAUUAGCUGGGCACACACUGUCAGUGAUUAACUGGGCACACUCUGUCAGUCAUUAGCUGGGCACACUCUGCCAGUCAUAAACUGGGCACACUUUUUCAGUCAUUGGCUGGGAACACUGUCAGUCAAUAGCUGGGCAGAAUGUUAGUCAUUAGCUGGGCCCACUCUGUCAGUCAUUGGCUGGGAACACUGUCAGUCAUUGGCUGGGCACUCUGUCAGUCAUUAGCUGGGCACUCUGUCAGUAAUUAGCUGGGCACACUCUGUCAGUCAUUGGCUGGGAACACUGUCAGUCAUUGGCUGGGCACUCUGUCAGUCAUUAGCUGGGCACUCUCUCAGUAAUUAGCUGGGCACACUCUGCCAGUCAUUAGCUGGGCACACUCUGCCAGUCAUAAACUGGGCACACUUUUUCAGUCAUUGGCUGGGAACACUGUUAGUCAAUAGCUGGGCAGAAUGUUAGUCAUUAGCUGGGCCCACACUGUCAGUCAUUAGCUGGGCACACACUGUCAGUGAUUAACUGGGCACACUCUGUCAGUCAUUAGCUGGGCACACUCUGCCAGUCAUAAACUGGGCACACUUUUUCAGUCAUUGGCUGGAAACACUCAGUCAAUAGCUGGGCAGAAUGUUAGUCAUUAGCUGGGCCCACACUGUCAGUCAUUAGCUGGGCACACACUGUCAGUGAUUAGCUGGACACACACUGUCAGUCAUUAGCUGGGCACUCUGUCAGUCAUUGGCUGGGCACACACUGUCAGUCAUUAGCUGGGCACACUCUGUCAGUAAUUAGCUGGGCACACUUUAUUAGUCGUUAGCUGGGCACACUCUGUCAGUCAUUAGCUGGGCACACUCUGUCAGUGAUUAGCUGGGCACUCUGUCAGUCAUUAGCUGGGCACACUCUGCCAGUCAUUGGCUGGGCACACUCUGUCAGUGAUUAGCUGGGCACACACUGUCAGUGAUUAGCUGGGCACACACUGUCAGUGAUUAGCUGGGCACACUGUCAGUCAUUAGCUGGGCACACACUGUCAGUCAUUAGCUGGGCACACUGUCAGUCAUUGGCUGGGCACUCUGUUAGUUGUUAGCUGGGCACACUCUAUCCGUCAAUAUAUAAUGGAUUAUCUUUAUCACUCCAGUGCAGUUGCCCUUUUUCCUUCAUUCUGGAUCUGUCAUUGAUUUCUGUUUGUCGAUGUGUCUUUGAUUGUAGCGUUGAUUAAGCCACAAGUCAAUACAAUGGUGGUAUUCUUAGGAAUGUUCAAUUCAUACAGAGCUAAAGGUAGCCCAGUAACACGUGGGGUUCUCUCCGAAACGUAGCAUUCAUUAAUACCCACGCACAUUGUGCAAUAUUACAAUGAUUUUUCAUGAUACUUAGAGACUAAAUAUGGCAGAACCUGCAUUGAUUCAGACGGUUGAGUAAUUCCGAACAUAAGUGGAUAAGAGCAAACUUUUCUUUCUAAGUAUCUCAUGUUAACAUUCAGAUUUGAUAACCAUCACGUUUUGUAAGAUAGCAUGGCGGCAGAGGCCUGAACUCGCACGCCAUGUUUCCAGGAGACUCACUGUUCUUGUUUUAUGUUUCGUGCGAAAGGUUCAAUGAUUGACGGCUUGAUACGUUCCUGCUGUCUGGGGGCUUUGUGUAAAUAUUUAGAGUAGGAAUCAUCAUACACAGCCACACUACCACAAUGCUCUACAGAAUACUCCGCACAAUACUCCACACAAUGAUCUGCACAAUACACUACACAAUACUCUACACUAUACUCUGCACAAUACUCUACACAAUACUCCGCACAAUACUCCACACAAUACUCCACACAAUACUCCCCACAAUACUCCACACAAUGAUCUGCACAAUACUCCACACAAUGAUCUGCACAAUACACUACACAAUACUCUACACUAUACUCUGCACAAUACUCUACACAAUACUCCGCACAAUACUCCACACAAUACUCCACACAAUACUCCACACAAUGAAUUGCACAAUACACUACACAAUACUCUACACUAUACUCUGCACAAUACUCUACACAAUACUCCGCACAAUACUCCACACGAUACUCCACACAAUACUCCCCACAAUACUCCACACAAUGAUCUGCACAAUACACUACACAAUACUCUACACUAUACUCUGCACAAUACUCUACACAAUACUCCGCACAAUACUCCACACAAUACUCCACACAAUACUCCCCACAAUACUCCACACAAUGAAUUGCACAAUACACUACACAAUACUCUACACUAUACUCUGCACAAUACUCUACACAAUACUCCGCACAAUACUCCACACAAUACUCCCCACAAUACUCCACACAAUGAUCUGCACAAUACUCCACACAAUGAUCUGCACAAUACACUACACAAUACUCUACACAAUACUCUGCACAAUACUCCACACAAUACUCUGCACAAUACUCUACACAAUACUCCGCACAAUACUCUGCACUAUACUCCGCACAAUACUGUGCACAAUACUCCACACAAUGAUCUGCACAAUACACUGCACAAUACUCUGCACAAUACUCUACACAAUACUCUGCACAAUACUCCACACAAUGAUCUGCACAAUACUCCACACAAUACUCUACACUCUACUCCACACAAUACUCUGCACAAUACUCUGCACAAUACUCCACACAAUACUCUGCACCAUGCUCCACACAAUACUCUACACAAUACUCCACAAAAUACUCUCCGCACAAUGCUCCACACACUACUCUGCACAAUAUCCUACACAAUACUCUACACAAUACUCUGCACAAUGCUCCGCACACCACUCUGCACAAUACUUUACACAAUACUCCGCACAAUACUCUACACAAUACUCCGCACAAUACUCCGCACAAUGCUCCAAACAAUAAUCUGCACAAUACUCUUCACAAUACUCCGCACAAUGAUCUGCACAAUACACUACACAAUACUCUGCACAAUACUCUACACAAUACUCCGCACAAUACUCUGCACAAUACUCAGCACAAUACUCCACACAAUACUCCACACAAUGAUCUGCAAAAUAGACUACACAAUACUCUGCACAAUACUCUACAAAAUACUCCGCACAAUUCUCCACACACUACUCCACACACUACUCCACACAAUACUCCACAUAAUACUCUGCACAAUACUCUACACAAUACUCCGCACAAUACUAUACACAAUACUCUGCACAAUACUCUACACAAUACUCUGCACAAUACUCCACACAAUACUCCACAUAAUAUUCUGCACAAUACUCUACACAAUACUCCGCACAAUACUACACACAAUACUCCACACAAUACUCUGCACAAUACUCUGCACAAUACUCCGCACAAUACUCUUCACAAUACUCUGCACUAUACUCCGCACAAUACUCCGCACAAUACUCCACACAAUACUCCACACAAUACUCUGCACAAUGAUCUACACAAUGAUCUGCACAAUACUCUACACAAUACUCUGCACAAUACCCCGAACAAUACUCCACACAAUAGAGUCAGGGCUCCGGUUAGCCCAGGCACUAUAUUUAUAGGUAGGUAGACACUGUAUUAAUAGAGGAGUGGGCACCAUUAGAGUCAGGGCUCCGGUUAGUCUGGGCACUAUAUUUAUAGGUAGGUAGACACUGUAUUAUUAGGGGAGUGGGCACCUUAGAGUCAGGGCUCCGGUUAGCCUGGGCACUAUAUUUAUAGGUAAGUAGACACUGUAUUAAUAGGGGAGUUGGCACUAUUAGAGUCAGGGCUUCCGGUUAGCCCGGGCACUAUAUUUAUAGGUAGCUAGACACUGUAUUAAUAGGGGAGUGGGCACCUUAGAGUCAGGGCUCCGGUUAGCCCGGGCACUAUAUUUAUAGGUAGGUAGAAAGUGUAUUAAUAGGGGUGUGGGCACCUUAGAGUCAGGGCUCCGGUUAGCCCGGGCACUAUAUUUAUAGGUAGGUAGACACUGUAUUAACAGAGGAGUGGGCACCAUUAGAGUCAGGGCUCCGGUUAGUCUGGGCACUAUAUUUAUAGGUAGGUAGAAAGUGUAUUAAUAGGGGAGUGGGCACCUUAGAGUCAGGGCUCGGGUUAGACCGGGCACUAUAUUUAUAGGUAGGUAGAAAGUGUAUUAAUAGGGGAGUGGGCACCUUAGAGUCAGGGCUCCGGUUAGACCGGGCACUAUAUUUAUAGGUAGGUAGAAAGUGUAUUAAUAGGGGAGUGGGCACCUUAGAGUCAGGGCUCCGGUUAGCCCGGGCACUAUAUUUAUAGGUAGGUAGACACUGUAUUAAUAGGGGAGUUGGCACUAUUAGAGUCAGGGCUCCGGUUAGCCCGGGCACUAUAUUUAUAGGUAGGUAGACACUGUAUUAAUAGGGGAGUUGGCACUUUUAGAGUCAGGGCUCCGGUUAGCCCGGGCACUAUAUUUAUAGGGAGGUAGACACUGUAUUAAUAGGGGAGUUGGCACUAUUAGAGUCAGGGCUCCGGUUAGACUGGGCACUAUAUUUAUAGGUAGGUAGACACUGUAUUAAUAGGGAAGUGGGCACUAUUAGAGUCAGGGCAAAAACAUUCUCAGAGGUAUUUACUAAAGUGUGAUUUGUUGGGAUUUAAAAAUAUUUUUCAAUUUAUUUUAAAUUCCCUAUAAUUUGCAGUUUAUUAAAUAACCACAGCUGUGGAGAAUUGGAUUAUUCCGCUGGGUCCCCCUUUGUGUAACAAUUAGAUGUAUUUCCCUGUGUAAGAAGCAGAUCUCUGGAUACGAAUUCCACUGGCAAUAUUACUGCACCCAUCGCACCAUCUUUACUGUCUGCCAAACAGAUGAUGCUGUAGUAACCCAGCCCAGCACUUUGUGAUUUAUGUAACCUUGGAAAACUGAUAGUAUAUCAGCAGAAAGGGUUAUUAUGUCUUUUCAUAAAAACUUUGUGUAUUUCGUAUCAUUUUCUUUCCAGGUCGGGACAUGUGUCGUACUGUAUAGAAUUCACUGAACUCGUACCAUAUGGAAAAAUAACCCUGAAUGCAUAUUUAUUGAAUGUUAUCAAGUUUAUCAGCAUCUAAAAAUCAAAUUCCAGACAAAUGUGCAUUCAUUCCAUUCUCUCUCUCAAUAAUUCAUAAAAAGUAAGUGAAUCAGUCGAAAAAAAACAUAAAACUUUCACGGACUCCUUCCAAAGGCUCCGAGACCACAUCGAGGAAAUAAAGUGCAAGCUUAAUGCAUUAAUACAAUGGUGGAAACCCAGAGUGGCUCUUAAACCAUCAAUUCAUACAACGAGGGGCACAUUAACCCUCGUAACAAACCUACAAACAUUAUUUAUUGGUGCAAGGAUGGGAGAAUGAGUUAAUCUCACAAAUACGCUCAAAGAGACUAGGAGCAAGCAUCUGCUCAAAGAAAAUUCUGUAGCAUCUUAUCUGAUAUUCUUCAUUCUAAACCAAUAAAAUAAUAUUUCUCAAGCAUAAUUAACUUUUUUAACUGUGUACUGUUUAACUUUCAAUGCAUGUAUAUCUGUAUUGUUUGGUCUCCUCUCUAGAGACCAUCUUUUGUGAGUUCAUAUUGAAUUAUUAUGUUAAAGAAGGGGGCACAGUGUAUCUAAAUAUAGAUACUAGAUAUAGUAGUGUAAAAGAACGUUACAGUGACACCCAGUGCACUCAUAGGAAAACAUAUUAUUAUUUUAUUAUUUAUAAAGCGCCAGCAAAUUCCGUAGCGCUGUACAAUUGGUGGGCUAACAGACACGUAAUUGUAACCAGACAAAUGGACACACAGGAACAGAGGGGUUGAGGGUGGUGGUGGAAACCUGCUAACAGUUUAAAUGAUGUGCUUUCCCGAAGAAGUGUGUUUUCAAAAUUUUUGUGAAGAAGUGGAGACUGGGUGAGAGUCUAACGGAGAAGGGAGGGGAGUUCCACAACGGAGGUGCAGCCCUGAAGAAGUCUUGGAGGCAAGCAUCAGAUGUGGGAGUACGGACAGAGGAUUGACCUAGGUCUUCGGCAGAGCACAGGGGUCUUGACGGGACAUAUUUCUGUAUUAGGGAGGAUGGUCAGGUUGGAGCAGCUGUUAAGACACCUCCAGUGUCUUUAGGCAAAACUGCCGUUUAGUAGAUCUUCCCCGUCUGCAAUAUCAGUAACUCCGUUCGCCUAACCUGUAGUGCACGAACCAAAUGCAGGGGAAGCAGCAAUCUCCCGACCGGGAUCCGUGAACGGCUCCAAACUCCCGAACGGCAAUACACGAACUGCUGCUAGCCGCCGAACAACAAUAUCCACCAAGCGGCUUUCGUUUCCAUCCAGCAGUCUCUAAACGUGAAGAAGAAAUCCCCCCAAUAACGAGACAGAAGCUCCGCAUUGAGGGUCAAACAGGAUCUGGCUUUACUGUGGGCUACCUGCCCGUAUUUAUGCAGGUCUCCCACUUGGUGGACACUCCCCUAGGGGACCAAAUGGGAGACUUAAAUGACAGACAGAUAUGGGGACAUUCCAGACACAUAGAUACAGUUUUUACCCACAAUGCACUAUGAUUCCCUCCCCUCUGCCCUGGAGAUAAUUACCAAGUAACUCAAUAAUCUCCAGGACAAAGCCAGUCUUCAUUUUAAACAUAAAACCCAAAAAGACAUAAUUUCACAAUAACUGAACACUGCAUUCGUAUCACCUAUCCCCAGAUAGCCUGGAUCUGAGUGCAUAUUAUUAGCGAAUAGCGCUCAAAUCCCACACACAUAGUUCAAUCGCCAUGGAGUCAAAGUUCUUACAGUCUUUCGGUAUACGAAUGACUCCAUGGGAAGGCUAUCUGGGUUAAGUCCUUUCGUAUGCUUCACAAACUCCCGAACGGCCGGUAUUCGUAUGCUUUCGUGGAGGCAGCCAGGCGUUCCGUUGUUUCAGCGGUGUUCAACAGAAAAAGUGUCCGUUUUUAGUUCCAUGAAAAUAGAGCCGAACACCGCUGGGCUUUCGCGUGGUUUUAAAAUGGCCGCUGCCUCGUGGUCGACAUACGAACGACUACCACCCUGAAUUCGUGUAAUUGAGAAGUGUCUGCGGUUAACCACAACGUUCUAAUUGGGAUCAAUAGGUUAACCAGCAGCACACUUCUCUCCUGGGUGGCCGUCCGUUCGGCUAGUUUGUUCGGGAAAAAACAGUCAUUCGAAUGGCUGGGCUAUAGAAAACAGCCAUUCAUACGAACAGGAUAAAAACAGACGAAUACACCUAAAAUAAGCAGACAGAUGGUUCUGUCACAGCAGCAUUAUGUAGGGACUUGUAAGCAAGCACCAGAAUCUUAAAUGGAGCCUUAUAUCUAACUGGAAGCCAAUGUAGGGACUGACAGAGGGGGGAGGCGUGGGAGGUGCAGGCGGACAUGAAAAUGAGCCUUGCCACCGCAUUCAUUAUAGAUUGCAGCGGUGCAAUCUGGGAACACGUAAGACCACUGAGAAGGGAAUUACAGUAGUCAAAGCAAGAAAGAGCAAUGGUAUGGACCAGCUGUGACAGAUCCAUCUGUGUGACUAGUAUUGCUGGUUCGUCUAUUUUGCCUCCCUUCGCGGAAUUACCUGUCCGUAUGCCCCUGUUCGUUUAUUACAGACUUAUACCGAACAAAACUACCGAGCGGACGGCCACCCAGAAGAGAAGUGUGCUGCUGGUUAAUCUCUUGGCCCCAAUUAGAACGUUGUGAUUAACCGCAGACACCUCUUCAUUACAACCGAAUGCAGGGUGGUCGUCGUUCGUAUGCCGACCACGAGGCCGCGGCCAUUUUAAGCACGCGAAAGACCAGCGGUGUUCGACAAAGAUCUUAUGGAACUAUAAAUGGACACUUUUCCUACCGAACACCGCUGAAACUACCGAACGCCCUUCUCUUUCGUCAAGGCAUACGAACACCGGUCCAUUCGGGAGUUUGGAUGAUACGAAUGGACUUAACCCAGAUAGCCAUCCCAUGGAGUCAAUCGCAUACCGAAAGACAUGUAAAGACUUUGACUCCAUGGCGAUUGAACUGAGUGCAUUGGAUCUGAGCACUAUUCGGUAGUAAUAUGCACUCAGAUCCAGGCUAUCUGGGGAUACGUUACACAAAUGUAUUCGGUAUUUGUACAGUUAUGUAUUUUUAUGUGUUUUUCAUAUACCAUGUAAGAUGGCGGUUUGCCUCUAUCCUUGGAGAUAAUUGGAUUUCUUCCCAAUUAUCUCCAGGGUAGAGAGGAGGGAUUUACUUGCAUAAAUGGGAGUGUGUAAACCUGGGGCACUGUGAUUGGCCACUGUACCAUAUAUGUCUCAGUCUUGCAUCUGGUCCCCUCGGGACCACCAGGUGGGAGACCUGCAUAAAUACCGGGCAGGUAGCCCUCAUUAAACAGAUUCCUGUUUUACCCUCAAGACGGAGCUUGGUCUCGUGUUUGGGGGGAUUGCUACUUGGAAGGAUUUAUUUCGCCUGUUUUAGCCGUGGAAGGAAUUCGGCUGAUUUUGUGUUCGUGGGUUUGCCACAUUCCCUUGCACUCCGUUCGGGAGUUUGGCGGUCUGCUUUAUAGAGCCUGUGUCUCUGGAAAGGGGGAAUAUCGGCUAAACGGCGGUUUCAUCCAUUUAAGCUGGGAGUGUCGUAACAACUGGUGGCAAGCGACGGGAUGACCACUACAUCCAGAAUUAAUGGAAAUACAAUACCAAAGGCUGAAAGAGCUACCCUUAAAGACCUAUUGGAACAAAGAGGCAGACAAGCCAGUAAUCUCAGGAAGAGGGAGAUUAUUGAAAUACUGAACGAAAUGGAUGGAGUACCAGGGGCUGAAGGAACAAAUGGGCCCAACAUAGCUGAUAGAACCCCCGAAGAGGCAAGCUUUGACCGGGCAGUAAGGAUCAGACUGGCUCAUUAUGGUCCCAACCCGUCUCCAGAGAUCAUCAGCCGGGUCAUGGACGCUGUGGAGGCCAACCUCCUAUGCCAAAGCGGUGCUGCAGCAGCCCCAGUUCCAGCAACCCCGGUGGAGAAAAGGAAGGUACAGUUUGCAGCUUUUAAAUCCUUCAUUGACACAGAAGGAGAGAUUGAUGGGUACCUUGCUGAUUUUGAGCGACAAUGUGCGCUAAACAAGGUACCCGCAGAAGACUGGGUUACUAUAUUGUCCGGAAAGUUAUCCGGCCGGGCCAGUGACGCUUUUCGGGCCAUUCCUGAUGAGGAGAUCGGGGCUGUUAAUGAAGCUUUGCUCUCCAGGUAUGCCGUUACACCGGAGGUUCAGAGACACUGCCAAACUAGGUUCAGAGACACUGCAGAGACACUGCCAAACUAGCCAGGGAUUCCUACGUCGAAUAGGCCUGUAAAGUACAUCGCACAGCUGCUCACUGAAUGGCGGGGUGCCAAGCCGUAUCCGGGGAAGAGUUGCUGCAGAUGUUCCUGCUGGAACAUUGUUUUGAGAAAUUAUCCCCAGGAGUCAGAGAAUGGGUACGGGACCGUAAACCUCCACCCUGCAUGAAGCUGCCCGCCUGGCAGAUGAGUACACGGAUGCCCAUAAACUGGACAGUGCGAUUAAUAAGACUCAUGCCAGAGUGGAGUACCGACCAGCAGCACCCCCAGCAGCUACCGUCUACCAACCGCCGACGCACCGCACACCAGCACCCCCUCCAGCGAAUAACUACCCUCAGCCACCCCGGUUUAAUUCACGGGACUACUCACAGCCCAUCCGGUGUUUCGGGUGCAAGCAGCUAGGGCUCAAAUGCAUACAGCUAACAGCGGGAACCAGCGCAACCCUCCGCCUGCUGCCCACUGCAUAGAGGAGGAGGAAUGUUGGGGCGUCCUGCACGAGGCAAACCCCGUCCAAGCUGCCCACCGGGACAACCAACAACAACACCGGCAACUCGUCAAAGUGAACGGGAAGGAGGUCAGUGGUCUGCGGGAUAUUGGUGCAACCAUGACAGUGCUCCAAAAGCACUUGGUGUCUGAGAACCAGCACACAGGAGACACUGUGGCUGUGAGAGUAGCAGGGGUUCCGCCUGCCUGUUGCCUGCCUGUUGCCCGGGUACAUUUGGAUUGGGGAGUGGGCACUAGACAUGUGAAUGUGGGGAUCAUGAGGGACUUACCAGCUGACGUCCUGCUUGGAAAUGAUUUGGCCCCUCUUAUCUCUGCAUACGCUCCCAUGGGUCCAGCUGAAGUUAAUGCUGUGACGACCCGUGCCACCGAGACCGGCCCACCUGCUGCUGAGACCCAGGUAAGACCCUCUACCCCGACUUGCACAUUAGAUCAGGCCCACUUAGGCUGGGAUACCCUAGAGAUGUAUGGGAGGGAAACCCGGGAGGAUACAACCCUGGCGAAGUAUAGGGCUAGGGCAGAUGCUGGGGAAGAGGGAGUGGGUGGGGGAUAGGUUGUAUAAACCUUCCCAGAAAAAGAAUACCCCUCCACAGAACCGGCAGCUGGUGGUGCCUGCGAAAUACCGGCAGGAGAUUCUGCGGAUUGGGCAUGAUGUGCCGUUAGCUGGACAUCUAGGGUCCCGCCGCACAGCUCAUAGGAUCACCCAAAAUUUCUUCUGGCCCAAUUUUAACCAAGACGUGCGGGUAUAUUGUAGCACUUGUGAGACAUGUCAACGGGUAGGUAAACGGGGGGAUCACCCAAAAGCUAGGCUUAUGUCUAUGCCUAUCAUUGGGGAACCCUUUUCCCGCAUAGCUGUUGACAUUGUGGGUCCACUGGCCAGGGCUAGUCCAUCAGGUAAGACGUAUAUUCUCACAGUGGUGGACUAUGCCACUCGUUACCCAGAGGCAGUAGUGCUUCUCUAAUAUUGAGGCAGAGACAGUAGCUGAUGCCCUGGUUAAGAUUUUUACUAGGGAAGGUUUCACUCAGGAGAUUCUCUCCGACCAGGGAACUCAGUUUACCGCGGUGCUCACCCAGCAGCUGUGGAAGGUGUGCGGCAUGAAACCGCUGCUUAGUUCACCCUAUCACCCACAGACUAACGGCCUCUGCGAGUGCUUUAAUGGGACCCUAAAGCAGAUGUUGAGGACCUUUACUGACACUUGCAGAGACUGGGAGCGAUUCCUGCCUCAUCUGCUAUUUGCGUACAGAGAGGUGCCCCAGGAAUCUCCUGGGUUCUCUCCCUUUGAACUACUCUAUGGGAGAAGGGUCCGCGGACCCCUAGAUCUCAUCAGAGGACACUGGGAGGUAGAGACAGAGCAGGAAGGAACUCCCAUAGUACCAUAUGUCCUGGAACUCCGGGACCACCUGGACCACGAGCCCCAGCUGUAACAUGGAAUCUGUAACCCCCAAAAACCUGGAUUGCGUAUCCCAGCUGUUCCUCUAACCCCAAACACCUGGACCGCGAGCCCCAGCUGUAACAUGGAAUCUCUAACUCCAAAAACUUGGGGUUAGAGGAACCUCUAGCUGUAACAUGGAACCUCUAACCCCUAACCUCUAAAAAAAAAGGUGGUACGAUGCCCCGGGUAGACGAGUUAUUAGACCGUAUUGCCAGGGGACGCGAUCUGACCACCAUAGACCUGUGUAAGGGCUAUUGGCAGAUUCCCCUGGCCGAGGAUGCUAUCACUAAGUCGGCCUUCAUCACCCCAUUUGGCCUGUACCAGUUUAAGGUCAUGCCAUUUAGGACGAAGAAUCCUUCGGCUACCUUCCAGCGCAUGGCUUCCAGGAAUUUGCAGCGAUGGCUUCCAGGAAUUUGCUUGUGCAUACCUGGAUGACAUUGCGGUCUACAGUGAGUCCUGGGAGGAACACCUGGUACAUGUAGGGGUGGUCCUGGACAAGAUUCGGGCCGCUGGAUGUGAGCUAUGUUUUUGAAAUGGAAACGGCAGGAUUUGGUGAUUGACUGGACAUGAAGGGUGAAGGAGAGGUUGGAGUCAAAGAGAACACCUAGGCAGCGAGUCUGCGAGGUAGAGGUGAUGGUCGCACCGUUGACUUGGAGGGAGACAGAUACGAGAGUAGCAACACUUGAGGUAGGAAAGACCAGAAGUUCUGUUUUGGACAGGUUGAGAUAUGAAAUGAUCGCGUGAACAGCGCCCUCCUGAGAAGAACCAGGAACUGCCUCUGUAUCUUGGAUGGAUUUGCACAGCAAUCCCAAGAUCUGACUUACUCAGGGUACAAGCAAUGCCAUAAAAAUAUGAAUUAACUAUAAAUGACUGACAAUCCUCUUAAACACACUAAAUGUUAGUAUCCUUCGUACACAUUUUGACCCCUUGGUAAUGAGUCUUCCUCAGGGGCUAUCGAGUACAGUCUAAAUGACAUCUUCUUUGAAGAGAAAACCAUGGAGUGAGUAAUCAGUUCAUUUAAUAUGACUGAGUAUUUUUAUUACAUCAUGAACCUUUUGAUGAUGAUGAUUAGGUGAAUUGUGAGAACCAGGACAAAUGUAGCUGCAGAAGAGGACACAAAAUGGACAAACAGAUCCUCGCCGGCUAUAUCGGCCAACAGCAGACAUUUAUCUCAAUAAUACCCAGUUAUCUGCAGAUAUUUCUCACAUAAUAACACUGGCUUCUUGGACAUUGUAUUUACUAAAAUGUGAAUAAUUGGGAAAGCAAAGAUAAUUUCUCAUUUUUGGACAAACCACUGAGCUGAAAACACAGCUGAAUUUUUCAAUGUACUUUCCAUACCCCACGUUCUGGGUACCGUAGAGUAGACGUUUAGUGAAUAAAGACCCAAAAUGCACCAAUUACUCUGGAAAUGUGGAUGCCAAUAUUCUUGACUUGUUGGAUAAUGUGUGGGUUGUUUUUAGGAAUGUAAUAGUAAGAUAAAACUAUAACAGAUAAAGAAAGGAAAUCGGAACGGUUAUAGAAUGAAAUAUAAAAUAAUCAUCUCCAUCUUGAAGCCAGAGGAGGAAAACGUAUUGAAAUCAUUGAUAAACAAAACCAAUACAUCAAAAGGGAAAUAAGUCUGAAAUGAACCCAAAUUCCCCUCCAUUUAGUGCGGCCCCAGGUCACCAUGAAUUGCAGGAAUUUAUCAUCCAAAUUAAAGGACCACUCUAGGCACCCAGACCACUUCAGCUUAAUGAAGUGGUCUGGGUGCCUGGUCCAGCUAGGGUUAACCCAUUUUUUAUGAAUGGGUUAAGCCUUCCCCCUAUUCCCUCUAGUGGCUGUCUCAUGGACAGCCACUAGAGGCGCUUGCGUGCUUCUCACUGUGAUUUUCACAGUGAGAGCACGCAAGCGUCCAUAGGAAAGCAUUGUAAAUGCUUUCCUAUGCGACGGGCUGAAUGCGCGCGCAGCUCUUGCCGCGCGUGCGCAUUCAGCCCAGGAGGAGGAACGGAGGAGGAGAGAAGGAGGAGAGCUCUCCGCCCAGCACUGGAAAAAGGUAAGUUUUUACCCCUUUCCCCUUUCCAGAGCCGGGCGGGAGGGGGUCCCUGAGGGUGGGGGCACCCUCAGGGCACUAUAGUGCCAGGAAAACAAGUAUGUUUUCCUGGCACUAUAGUGGUCCUUUAAGCAUCACGAAGCUUGUACUCGGCUCACAGGCCGAUUUAAGUCAUUAAACAGUUCAGUCCAAUUUACAAAUCCAUUUAGUAAGUUUGUUAUUAUUCCGUGAAAUCUGAAAUUCUCAGGGACUGAAAGGGUUAAUCUCUUAUCAGAGUGAUGUGUCGGGGUUGUUUUAGAGGUAAGUGGCCAUUGAUAGUCUGGCUUCAAACUUAACUGCGCACCCAGUAAAUUCAAAUUCAUUUGGAAUUGUGCUGAAUUUCUCAAUUAAAACUUUAGUCACUAAGCAAGAAAAACAACCUUUUAUUUCAUAUUGAUAAUUAUUUGACAACAGGAUAAAGAGAACAGAAAUCAAACGUUAUGAUGCUAGUAGGCAUCUAGCUUAGAGCUGGCAGUGUUAGUAAAUAUUAGAAUAUGUACACAAGAUAGAAUGACAUAAAGAUGGUGGAAUCCUUCAACUUCACAGGUGGGGUAAAAUUGCUAAUUUAGAUGGUAUCGAUGGUGAAACUCGGAAACUUCACAGGUGGAGUAAAAUGGCUGACGUAGAUGGUGGAAGCCUGCGACGUCACAGUUGGGGUAAAAUGGCUGACGUAGAUGGUGGAAGCCUGCGACGUCACAGGUGGGGUAAGAUGGCUGACGAAGAUGGUGGAAGCCUGCGACGUCACAGGUGGGUUAAAAUGGCUGACGAAGAUGGUGGAAGCCUGCGACGUCACAGGUGGGGUAAAAGGGCUGACGUAGAUGGUGGAAGCCUGCGACGUCACAGGUGGAGUAAAAUGGCUGACGUAGAUGGUGGAAGCCUGCGACGUCACAGGUGGAGUAAAAGGGAUGACGUAGAUGGUGGAAGCCUGCGACGUCACAGGUGGAGUAAAAUGGCUGACGUAGAUGAUGUCGAUGGUCCCUGCGACUUCUCAGGUGGGGUAAAAUGACUGACAUAGAUAGUAAAGAUGGUGGAGCCCUGUGACUGCACAGGUGGAGUAAAAUGGCUGAUGUAAAUGGUAAAGAUUGUGGAACCCUGCGACUUCACAGGUGGGAUAAAAUGGUUGAUGUAGAUGGUGUAGAUGGUAGAACCCUGCGACUUCACAGGUGGGGUAAAAUGGUUGAUGUAGAUGGUGUAGAUGGUAGAACCCUGCGACUUCACAGGUGGGGUAAAAUGACUAACAUGUGAUGUGUAACCUUUCAUGAUGCAUUGUGGGUAUAGUCAUAUUUACCUGCUGAAUUUUACUGUUUAUCCUCAUUUUCCAUUGAUUUAAUUGAUGACUCUUUGCCAUGAGUUAUUUUAAUAAUGAUUGACUUUACAUUUUAUAAAACAUCUUGCAGUUUAGUUGCACUAUACACUGGAUGAAUGCUAAUGCAAAGCAACAAACUCAAUAAUCCAAUCUAUUGCUAUAAAUUGAAUAAACAGAUUUACUUAUUAAAGGGCUUUUUUCUUUGAUCAAUUAGAUCUGCAAAGAUCUUCUCCAUUGCAGAAUAUGCAAGCGAUAAGAGAUUGCAUUCCAUUAAAGGAAUGUUAGGAAUACAAACUAUAGCGUCCCUGUCCCUAGAUUUAUAUAGGUCAGCCCACAUUCACCCAUUCAUAAUAAAAAUUGAAAAAAUAAAAUAAAAGUUUUGCUCUAUGUGAUGUCACAGAGGAGGCAUGGAGUUAUUUUNNNNNNNNNNNNNNNNNNNNNNNNNNNNNNNNNNNNNNNNNNNNNNNNNNNNNNNNNNNNNNNNNNNNNNNNNNNNNNNNNNNNNNNNNNNNNNNNNNNNCAGUCACUGGCUGGGCACUCUGUCAGUCAUUAGCUGGGCACUCUGUCAGUAAUUAGCUGGGCACACUCUGUCAGUCAUUAGCUGGGCACACACUGUCAGUGAUUAACUGGGCACACUCUGUCAGUCAUUAGCUGGGCACUCUGUCAGUCAUUAGCUGGGCAGAAUGUUAGUCAUUAGCUGGGCCCACUCUGUCAGUCAUUGGCUGGGAACACGGUCAGUCACUGGCUGGGCACUCUGUCAGUCAUUAGCUGGGCACUCUCUCAGUAAUUAGCUGGGCACACUCUGCCAGUCAUUAGCUGGGCACACUCUGCCAGUCAUAAACUGGGCACACUUUUUCAGUCAUUGGCUGGGAACACUGUCAGUCAAUAGCUGGGCAGAAUGUUAGUCAUUAGCUGGGCCCACUCUGUCAGUCAUUGGCUGGGAACACUGUCAGUCAUUGGCUGGGCACUCUGUCAGUCAUUAGCUGGGCACUCUCUCAGUAAUUAGCUGGGCACACUCUGCCAGUCAUUAGCUGGGCACACUCUGCCAGUCAUAAACUGGGCACACUUUUUCAGUCAUUGGCUGGGAACACUGUCAGUCAUUGGCUGGGCACUCUGUCAGUCAUUAGCUGGGCACCUCUCAGUACUAGCUAAGUAAUACUCUGCCAGUCAUUAGCUGGGCACACUCUGCCAGUCAUAAACUGGGCACACUUUUUCAGUCAUUGGCUGGGAACACUGUCAGUCAAUAGCUGGGCAGAAUGUUAGUCAUUAGCUGGGCCCACACUGUCAGUCAUUAGCUGGGCACACACUGUCAGUGAUUAAUUGGGCACACUCUGUCAGUCAUUAGCUGGGCACACUCUGCCAGUCAUAAACUGGGCACACUUUUUCAGUCAUUGGCUGGGAACACUGUCAGUCAAUAGCUGGGCAGAAUGUUAGUCAUUAGCUGGGCCCACUCUGUCAGUCAUUGGCUGGGAACACUGUCAGUCAUUGGCUGGGCACUCUGUCAGUCAUUAGCUGGGCACUCUGUCAGUAAUUAGCUGGGCACACUCUGUCAGUCAUUGGCUGGGAACACUGUCAGUCAUUGGCUGGGCACUCUGUCAGUCAUUAGCUGGGCACUCUCUCAGUAAUUAGCUGGGCACACUCUGCCAGUCAUUAGCUGGGCACACUCUGCCAGUCAUAAACUGGGCACACUUUUUCAGUCAUUGGCUGGGAACACUGUCAGUCAAUAGCUGGGCAGAAUGUUAGUCAUUAGCUGGGCCCACACUGUCAGUCAUUAGCUGGGCACACACUGUCAGUGAUUAACUGGGCACACUCUGUCAGUCAUUAGCUGGGCACACUCUGCCAGUCAUAAACUGGGCACACUUUUUCAGUCAUUGGCUGGGAGCACUGUCAGUCAAUAGCUGGGCAGAAUGUUAGUCAUUAGCUGGGCCCACUCUGUCAGUCAUUGGCUGGGCACUCUGUCAUUCAUUAGCUGGGCACUCUGUCAGUAAUUAGCUGGGCACACUCUGUCAGUCAUUAGUUGGGCACUCUGUCAUUAGCUGGGCACACUCUGCCAGUCAUAAACUGGGCACACUUUUUCAGUCAUUGGCUGGAAACACUCAGUCAAUAGCUGGGCAGAAUGUUAGUCAUUAGCUGGGCCCACACUGUCAGUCAUUAGCUGGGCACACACUGUCAGUGAUUAGCUGGACACACACUGUCAGUCAUUAGCUGGGCACUCUGUCAGUCAUUGGCUGGGCACACACUGUCAGUCAUUAGCUGGGCACACUCUGUCAGUCAUUAGCUGGGCACUCUGUCAGUAAUUAGCUGGGCACACUUUAUCAGUCGUUAGCUGGGCACACUCUGUCAGUCAUUAGCUGGGCACACUCUGUCAGUGAUUAGCUGGGCACACUCUGUCAGUGAUUAGCUGGGCACACACUGUCAGUGAUUAGCUGGGCACACACUGUCAGUGAUUAGCUGGGCACACUGUCAGUCAUUAGCUGGGCACACACUGUCAGUCAUUAGCUGGGCACACACUGUCAGUCAUUAGCUGGGCACACUGUCAGUCAUUGGCUGGGCACUCUGUUAGUUGUUAGCUGGGCACACUCUAUCCGUCAAUAUAUAAUGGAUUAUCUUUAUCACUCCAGUGCAGUUGCCCUUUUUCCUUCAUUCUGGAUCUGUCAUUGAUUUCUGUUUGUCGAUGUGUCUUUGAUUGUAGCGUUGAUUAAGCCACAAGUCAAUACAAUGGUGGUAUUCUUAGGAAUGUUCAAUUCAUACAGAGCUAAAGGUAGCCCAGUAACACGUGGGGUUCUCUCCGAAACGUAGCAUUCAUUAAUACCCACGCACAUUGUGCAAUAUUACAAUGAUUUUUCAUGAAACUUAGAGACUAAAUAUGGCAGAACCUGCAUUGAUUCAGACGGUUGAGUAAUUCCGAACAUAAGUGGAUAAGAGCAAACUUUUCUUUCUAAGUAUCUCAUGUUAACAUUCAGAUUUGAUAACCAUCACGUUUUGUAAGAUAGCAUGGCGGCAGAGGCCUGAACUCGCACGCCAUGUUUCCAGGAGACUCACUGUUCUUGUUUUAUGUUUCGUGCGAAAGGUUCAAUGAUUGACGGCUUGAUACGUUCCUGCUGUCUGGGGGCUUUGUGUAAAUAUUUAGAGUAGGAAUCAUCAUACACAGCCACACUACCACAAUGCUCUACAGAAUACUCCGCACAAUACUCCACACAAUGAUCUGCACAAUACACUACACAAUACUCUACACAAUACUCCGCACAAUACUCUACACAAUGAAUUGCACAAUACACUACACAAUACUCUACACUAUACUCUGCACAAUACUCUACACAAUACUCCGCACAAUACUCCACACAAUACUCCACACAAUACUCCACACAAUGAUCUGCACAAUACUCCACACAAUGAUCUGCACAAUACACUACACAAUACUCUACACUAUACUCUGCACAAUACUCUACACAAUACUCCCCACAAUACUCCACACAAUACUCUGCACAAUACUCCACACAAUGAUCUACACAAUACACUACACAAUACUCUACACAAUACUCUGCACAAUACUCCACACAAUACUCUGCACAAUACUCUACACAAUACUCCGCACAAUACUCUGCACUAUACUCCGCACAAUACUGUGCACAAUACUCCACACAAUGAUCUGCACAAUACACUGCACAAUACUCUGCACAAUACUCUACACAAUACUCUGCACAAUACUCCACACAAUGAUCUGCACAAUACUCCACACAAUACUCUACACUCUACUCCACACAAUACUCUGCACAAUACUCUGCACAAUACUCUACACAAUACUCCGCACAAUACUCUGCACAAUACUAUGCACAAUACUCCACACAAUGAUCUGCACAAUACACUACACAAUACUCUGCACAAUACUCCGCACAAUACUCUGCACAAUAGUCUGCACAAUACUCUGCACAAUACUCUACACAAUACUCUACACAGUACUCUGCACAAUACUCCGCACAAUACUCUACACAAUACACUGCACAAUACUCCACACAAUACUCUGCACCAUGCUCCACACAAUACUCUACACAAUACUCUACAAAAUACUCUCCGCACAAUGCUCCACACACUACUCUGCACAAUAUCCUACACAAUACUCUACACAAUACUCUGCACAAUGCUCCGCACACCACUCUGCACAAUACUUUACACAAUACUCCGCACAAUACUCCGCACAAUACUCCGCACAAUGCUCCAAACAAUAAUCUGCACAAUACUCUUCACAAUACUCCGCACAAUGAUCUGCACAAUACACUACACAAUACUCUGCACAAUACUCUACACAAUACUCCGCACAAUACUCUGCACAAUACUCAGCACAAUACUCCACACAAUACUCCACACAAUGAUCUGCAAAAUAGACUACACAAUACUCUGCACAAUACUCUACACAAUACUCUGCACAAUACUCUGCACUAUACUCUGCACAAUACUCUGCACAAUAAUCUGCACAAUACUCCACACAAUACACUACACAACACUCUGCACAAUACUCUACACAAUACUCUACAUAAUACUCCACACAAUACUCUGCACAAUACUCUGCACAAUAAUCUGCACAAUACUCCACACAAUAAUCUGCACAAUACACUACACAAUACUCUGCACAAUAAUCUGCACAAUACUCCACACAAUGAUCUGCACAAUACACUACACAAUACUCUGCACAAUAAUCUGCACAAUACUCCACACAAUGAUCUGCACAAUACACUACACAACACUCUGCACAAUACUCUACACAAUACUCUACAUAAUACUCCACACAAUACUCUGCACAAUACUCUGCACAAUACUCUACACAAUACUCUACAUAAUACUCCACACAAUACUCUGCACAAUACUCUGCACAAUACUCUGCACAAUAGUCUGCACAAUACUCCCACAAUACUCUACACAAUACACUGCACAAUUCUCCACACACUACUCCACACACUACUCCACACAAUACUCCACAUAAUACUCUGCACAAUACUCUACACAAUACUCCGCACAAUACUAUACACAAUACUCUGCACAAUACUCUACACAAUACUCUGCACAAUACUCCACACAAUACUCCACAUAAUAUUCUGCACAAUACUCUACACAAUACUCCGCACAAUACUCCACACAAUACUCCCCACAAUACUCUGCACAAUACUCUGCACAAUACUCCGCACAAUACUCUUCACAAUACUCUGCACUAUACUCUGCACUAUACUCCGCACAAUACUCCGCACAAUACUCCACACAAUACUCUGCACAAUGAUCUACACAAUGAUCUGCACAAUACUCUACACAAUACUCUGCACAAUACCCCGAACAAUACUCCACACAAUAGAGUCAGGGCUCCGGUUAGCCCAGGCACUAUAUUUAUAGGUAGGUAGACACUGUAUUAAUAGAGGAGUGGGCACCAUUAGAGUCAGGGCUCCGGUUAGUCUGGGCACUAUAUUUAUAGGUAGGUAGACACUGUAUUAUUAGGGGAGUGGGCACCUUAGAGUCAGGGCUCCGGUUAGCCUGGGCACUAUAUUUAUAGGUAAGUAGACACUGUAUUAAUAGGGGAGUUGGCACUAUUAGAGUCAGGGCUUCCGGUUAGCCCGGGCACUAUAUUUAUAGGUAGCUAGACACUGUAUUAAUAGGGGAGUGGGCACCUUAGAGUCAGGGCUCCGGUUAGCCCGGGCACUAUAUUUAUAGGUAGGUAGAAAGUGUAUUAAUAGGGGUGUGGGCACCUUAGAGUCAGGGCUCCGGUUAGCCCGGGCACUAUAUUUAUAGGUAGGUAGACACUGUAUUAACAGAGGAGUGGGCACCAUUAGAGUCAGGGCUCCGGUUAGUCUGGGCACUAUAUUUAUAGGUAGGUAGAAAGUGUAUUAAUAGGGGAGUGGGCACCUUAGAGUCAGGGCUCGGGUUAGACCGGGCACUAUAUUUAUAGGUAGGUAGAAAGUGUAUUAAUAGGGGAGUGGGCACCUUAGAGUCAGGGCUCCGGUUAGACCGGGCACUAUAUUUAUAGGUAGGUAGAAAGUGUAUUAAUAGGGGAGUGGGCACCUUAGAGUCAGGGCUCCGGUUAGCCCGGGCACUAUAUUUAUAGGUAGGUAGACACUGUAUUAAUAGGGGAGUUGGCACUAUUAGAGUCAGGGCUCCGGUUAGCCCGGGCACUAUAUUUAUAGGUAGGUAGACACUGUAUUAAUAGGGGAGUUGGCACUUUUAGAGUCAGGGCUCCGGUUAGCCCGGGCACUAUAUUUAUAGGGAGGUAGACACUGUAUUAAUAGGGGAGUUGGCACUAUUAGAGUCAGGGCUCCGGUUAGACUGGGCACUAUAUUUAUAGGUAGGUAGACACUGUAUUAAUAGGGAAGUGGGCACUAUUAGAGUCAGGGCAAAAACAUUCUCAGAGGUAUUUACUAAAGUGUGAUUUGUUGGGAUUUAAAAAUAUUUUUCAAUUUAUUUUAAAUUCCCUAUAAUUUGCAGUUUAUUAAAUAACCACAGCUGUGGAGAAUUGGAUUAUUCCGCUGGGUCCCCCUUUGUGUAACAAUUAGAUGUAUUUCCCUGUGUAAGAAGCAGAUCUCUGGAUACGAAUUCCACUGGCAAUAUUACUGCACCCAUCGCACCAUCUUUACUGUCUGCCAAACAGAUGAUGCUGUAGUAACCCAGCCCAGCACUUUGUGAUUUAUGUAACCUUGGAAAACUGAUAGUAUAUCAGCAGAAAGGGUUAUUAUGUCUUUUCAUAAAAACUUUGUGUAUUUCGUAUCAUUUUCUUUCCAGGUCGGGACAUGUGUCGUACUGUAUAGAAUUCACUGAACUCGUACCAUAUGGAAAAAUAACCCUGAAUGCAUAUUUAUUGAAUGUUAUCAAGUUUAUCAGCAUCUAAAAAUCAAAUUCCAGACAAAUGUGCAUUCAUUCCAUUCUCUCUCUCAAUAAUUCAUAAAAAGUAAGUGAAUCAGUCGAAAAAAAACAUAAAACUUUCACGGACUCCUUCCAAAGGCUCCGAGACCACAUCGAGGAAAUAAAGUGCAAGCUUAAUGCAUUAAUACAAUGGUGGAAACCCAGAGUGGCUCUUAAACCAUCAAUUCAUACAACGAGGGGCACAUUAACCCUCGUAACAAACCUACAAACAUUAUUUAUUGGUGCAAGGAUGGGAGAAUGAGUUAAUCUCACAAAUACGCUCAAAGAGACUAGGAGCAAGCAUCUGCUCAAAGAAAAUUCUGUAGCAUCUUAUCUGAUAUUCUUCAUUCUAAACCAAUAAAAUAAUAUUUCUCAAGCAUAAUUAACUUUUUUAACUGUGUACUGUUUAACUUUCAAUGCAUGUAUAUCUGUAUUGUUUGGUCUCCUCUCUAGAGACCAUCUUUUGUGAGUUCAUAUUGAAUUAUUAUGUUAAAGAAGGGGGCACAGUGUAUCUAAAUAUAGAUACUAGAUAUAGUAGUGUAAAAGAACGUUACAGUGACACCCAGUGCACUCAUAGGAAAACAUAUUAUUAUUUUAUUAUUUAUAAAGCGCCAGCAAAUUCCGUAGCGCUGUACAAUUGGUGGGCUAACAGACACGUAAUUGUAACCAGACAAAUGGACACACAGGAACAGAGGGGUUGAGGGUGGUGGUGGAAACCUGCUAACAGUUUAAAUGAUGUGCUUUCCCGAAGAAGUGUGUUUUCAAAAUUUUUGUGAAGAAGUGGAGACUGGGUGAGAGUCUAACGGAGAAGGGAGGGGAGUUCCACAACGGAGGUGCAGCCCUGAAGAAGUCUUGGAGGCAAGCAUCAGAUGUGGGAGUACGGACAGAGGAUUGACCUAGGUCUUCGGCAGAGCACAGGGGUCUUGACGGGACAUAUUUCUGUAUUAGGGAGGAUGGUCAGGUUGGAGCAGCUGUUAAGACACCUCCAGUGUCUUUAGGCAAAACUGCCGUUUAGUAGAUCUUCCCCGUCUGCAAUAUCAGUAACUCCGUUCGCCUAACCUGUAGUGCACGAACCAAAUGCAGGGGAAGCGGCAAUCUCCCGACCGGGAUCCGUGAACGGCUCCAAACUCCCGAACGGCAAUACACGAACUGCUGCUAGCUGCCGAACAACAAUAUUCACCAAGCGGCUUUCGUUCCAUCCAGCAGUCUCUAAACGUGAAGAAGAAAUCCCCCCAAUAACGAGACAGAAGCUUCGCAUUGAGGGUCAAACAGGAUCUGGCUUUACUGUGGGCUACCUGCCCGUAUUUAUGCAGGUCUCCCACUUGGUGGACACUCCCUAGGGGACCAAAUGGGAGACUUAAAUGACAGACAGAUAUGGGGACAUUCCAGACACAUAGACACAGUUUUUACCCACAAUGCACUAUGAUUCCCUCCCCUCUGUCCUGGAGAUAAUUACCAAGUAACUCAAUUAUCUCCAGGACAAAGCCAGUCGCCAUUUUAAACAUAAAACCCAAAAAGACAUAAAAAUACAUAAUUUCACAAUAACCGAACACUCUGCAUUCGUAUCACCAAUGCCCAGAUAGCCUGGAGUGCAUAUUAUUAGCGAAUAGCGCUCAGAUCCCACACACAUAGUUCAAUCGCCAUGGAGUCAAAGUUCUUACAGUCUUUUGGUACACGAAUGACUCCAUGGGAAGGCUAUCUGGGUUAAGUCCUUUCGUAUGCUUCCCAAACUCCCGAACGGCCGGUAUUCGUAUGCUUUCGUGGAGGCAGCCAGGCGUUCCGUUGUUUCAGCGGUGUUCGACAGAAAAAGUGUCAGUUUUUAGUUCCAUGAAAAUAGAGCCGAACACCGCUGGGCUUUCGCAUGGUUUUAAAAUGGCCGCUGCCUCGUGGUCGACAUACGAACGACGACCACCCUGAAUUCGUGUAAUUGAGAAGUGUCUGCGGUUAACCACAACGUUCUAAUUGGGAUCAAUAGGUUAACCAGCAGCACACUUCUCUCCUGGGUGGCCGUCCGUUCGGCUAGUUUGUUCGGGAAAAAACAGUCAUUCGAAUGGCUGGGCUAUAGAAAACAGCCAUUCAUACGAACAGGAUAAAAACAGACGAAUACACCUAAAAUAAGCAGACAGAUGGUUCUGUCACAGCAGCAUUAUGUAGGGACUUGUAAGCAAGCACCAGAAUCUUAAAUGGAGCCUUAUAUCUAACUGGAAGCCAAUGUAGGGACUGACAGAGGGGGGAGGCGUGGGAGGUGCAGGCGGACAUGAAAAUGAGCCUUGCCACCCAGGGGCGGGCUGGGCCGGGGGGCAGGGAGGCAAUUGCCCCCCAGGCCGCCCUAAAAUCUGUUGGGACCGGCCACUGAAGGGCCGGCCCUUUAAAUGCUGCAGCCGCCUGAGCACUCUGUUAAGAGCCUCAGGCNNNNNNNNNNNNNNNNNNNNNNNNNNNNNNNNNNNNNNNNNNNNNNNNNNNNNNNNNNNNNNNNNNNNNNNNNNNNNNNNNNNNNNNNNNNNNNNNNNNNAGGCAUGAUUUAAUCUUACAACAAAUCCAGUAAGCAAAUCUUUAUAAAUUUGGGUGGGAUCAGAUCUGUUUCCACAGUUUAUUGGUGUUUACUCUGCUGUCUGUAUUAAUAUUGAGGGAUUUCUAAGUAGUAACAUCAGUGUGUAAAAGAUAGAGAUAGAGGAGUGCAAAUACAAAUGUAUAUGGUAUACUUAGAGACACUGGUCAGUCCUUCAGAUGUAACCUAUAUACAAAAAGAUCCAAACAUAGUAUAAUACUGUUUUUCCAAAUAAUAUAGUAAAUAAAUGUGGAUUUUUCACUCACACUUUGCAGAGCCACGUAUAGUAGGCUCUGACUAUAGUUGCUCUUUGGUAAUUCCCUGGUGUAUUAAACUCCACCACGCCUUCAGGAUUCUCCACUUGGAUCAGGAUACAGGAGAUAUAAAAAUUCCAAAACAGAGUGGGGAUACUUUUCGAAAUUUAAUAAUAUACAGGGACAUAUAUAAAGUGCAUAAGACAAAAUAGCAGCACUAUAUGUGCAAAGACAUCUAUAAAGUGCAUAAAAAGAAUAACACUAACGCGUUUCGACUAAAAUAAAGUCUUUUUCAAAGUGCAUAAAGUAAUGGUCGCCAUAUUGGGUAUUUAUAUCCUCACUGAUGUUCUAAUUUGGCGCCCAAACAUCUCCGUCGUGGUGUCCUCCUCCUACUUCCUGGUUCCGGAGUAGUGCACUUUGAAAAAGACUUUAUUUUAGUCGAAACGCGUUAGUGUUAUUCUUUUUAUGCACUUUAUAGAUGUCUUUGCACAUAUAGUGCUGCUAUUUUGUCUUAUGCACUUUAUAUAUGUCCCUGAAUAUUAUUAAAUUUCGAAAAGUAUCCCCACUCUGUUUUGGAAUUUUUAUAUCUCCUGUAUCCUGAUCCAAGUGGAGAAUCCUGAAGGCGUGGUGGAGUUUAAUACACCAGGGAAUUACCAAAGAGCAACUAUAGUCAGAGCCUACUAUACGUGGCUCUGCAAAGUGUGAGUGAAAAAUCCACAUUUAUUUACUAUAUUAUUUGGAAAAACAGUAUUAUACUAUGUUUGGAUCUUUUUGUAUAUAGGUUACAUCUGAAGGACUGACCAGUGUCUCUAAGUAUACCAUAUACAUUUGUAUUUGCACUCCUCUAUCUUUAUCUUUUACUUGUAUGUUAUCUGUGUUUUUUAAGUGGUUUUAAAACACUGUGGAGUUGCACUGUUACUUUUUACUACCACCCCUACACUUUGUGUGUUCUGCACGCUAUUGUGUAAAAUUUGUUUAACAUCAGUGUGUGUCAGCAGGGCCAGCCAUUGGGGUGUGCACGCUGUGCGGUCACGCAGGGUGCCAUCACAACAGAGGCGCCCGGCGGACAACACAGCUCACAAGUUGGGGACACCAGCCUAUUCAAUUUAAACGAUUCGCUGGUGGUCCACUGGUGCCACCAGCAGUAGGUGCAGUCAGAUUAUAGCCUCUCCCUCAUGGUUCCGACGCUCAGUUAGUGAGUCAGAGCACAGGCUCAGAGAUUCUCAGCCUGCGCUCUGACAACAUUGAAAGUCAGAGCCGUGAAGGAGAGGGUAUGGCAAAGAGCUACUGAUUAGCAUAACAUCAAUAUCCGUUAUAAAUCCAGGAAAAGGUGGGCACCAUUGCACUGAUUUGGUGGUGCAAUGGGCCUCUUGACUGGUUUUGCCCCCCAGGCCUAAGGCUGCCAGCCCUCCCCUGUUGCCACCGCAUUCAUUAUAGAUUGCAGCGGUGCAAUCUGGGAACACGUAAGACCACUGAGAAGGGAAUUACAGUAGUCAAAGCAAGAAAGAGCAAUGGCAUGGACCAGCUGUGACAGAUCCAUCUGUAUAGACUAAGAUUGCUGGUUCGUCUAUUUUGCCUCCCUUCGCGGAAUUACCUGUCCGUAUGCCCCUGUUCGUUUAUUACAGACUUAUACCGAACAAAACUACCGAGCGGACGGCCACCCAGAAGAGAAGUGUGCUGCUGGUUAAUCUCUUGGCCCCAAUUAGAACGUUGUGAUUAACCGCAGACACCUCUUCAUUACAACCGAAUGCAGGGUGGUCGUCGUUCGUAUGCCGACCACGAGGCGGCGGCCAUUUUAAGCACGCGAAAGACCAGCAGUGUUCGACAAAGAUCUUAUGGAACUAUAAAUGGACACUUUUCCUACCGAACACCGCUGAAACUACCGAACGCCCUUCUCUUUCGUCAAGGCAUACGAACACCGGUCCAUUCGGGAGUUUGGAUGAUACGAAUGGACUUAACCCAGAUAGCCAUCCUAUGGAGUCAAUCGCAUACCGAAAGACAUGUAAAGACUUUGACUCCAUGGCGAUUGAACUGAGUGCAUUGGAUCUGAGCACUAUUCGGUAGUAAUAUGCACUCAGAUCCAGGCUAUCUGGGGAUACGUUACACAAAUGUAUUCGGUAUGGAAACAGUUAUGUAUUUUUAUGUGUUUUUCAUAUACCAUGUAAGAUGGCGGUUUGCCUCUAUCCUUGGAGAUAAUUGGAUUUCUUCCCAAUUAUCUCCAGGGUAGAGAGGAGGGAUUUACUUGCAUAAAUGGGAGUGUGUAAACCUGGGGCACUGUGAUUGGCCACUGUACCAUAUAUGUCUCAGUCUUGCAUCUGGUCCCCUCGGGACCACCAGGUGGGAGACCUGCAUAAAUACCGGGCAGGUAGCCCUCAUUAAACAGAUUCCUGUUUUACCCUCAAGACGGAGCUUGGUCUCGUGUUUGGGGGGAUUGCUACUUGGAAGGAUUUAUUUCGCCUGUUUUAGCCGUGGAAGGAAUUCGGCUGAUUUUGUGUUCGUGGGUUUGCCACAUUCCCUUGCACUCCGUUCGGGAGUUUGGCGGUCUGUUUUAUAGAGCCUGUGUCUCUGGAAAGGGGGAAUAUCGGCUAAACGGCGGUUUCAUCCAUUUAAGCUGGGAGUGUCGUAACAACUGGUGGCAAGCGACGGGAUGACCACUACAUCCAGAAUUAAUGGAAAUACAAUACCAAAGGCUGAAAGAGCUACCCUUAAAGACCUAUUGGAACAAAGAGGCAGACAAGCCAGUAAUCUCAGGAAGAGGGAGAUUAUUGAAAUACUGAACGAAAUGGAUGGAGUACCAGGGGCUGAAGGAACAAAUGGGCCCAACAUAGCUGAUAAAACCCCCGAAGAGGCAAGCUUUGACCCUCUUGUCUCUGCAUACGCUCCCAUGGGUCCAGCUGAAGUUAAUGCUGUGACGACCCGUGCCACCGAGACCGGCCCACCUGCUGCUGAGACCCAGGUAAGACCCUCUACCCCGACUUGCACAUUAGAUCAGGCCCACUUAGGCUGGGAUACCCUAGAGACGUAUGGGAGGGAAACCCGGGAGGAUACAACCCUGGCGAAGUAUAGGGCUAGGGCAGAUGCUGGGGAAGAGGGAGUGGGUGGGGGAUAGGUUGUAUAGGAUUUCUAAACCUUCCCAGAAAAAGAAUACCCCUCCGCAGAACCGGCAGCUGGUGGUGCCUGCGAAAUACCGGCAGGAGAUUCUGCGGAUUGGGCAUAAUGUGCCGUUAGCUGGACAUCUAGGGUCCCGCCGCACAGCUCAUAGGAUCACCCAAAAUUUCUUCUGGCCCAAUUUUAACCAAGACGUGCGGGUAUAUUGUAGCAUUUGUCAGACAUGUCAACGGGUAGGUAAACGGGGGGAUCACCCAAAAGCUAGGCUUAUGUCUAUGCCUAUCAUUGGGGAACCCUUUUCCCGCAUAGCUGUUGACAUUGUGGGUCCACUGGCCAGGGCUAGUCCAUAAGGUAAGACGUAUAUUCUCACAGUGAUGGACUAUGCCACUCGUUACCCAGAGGCAGUAGUGCUUCUCUAAUAUUGAGGCAGAGACAGUAGCUGAUGCCCUGGUUAAGAUUUUUACUAGGGAAGGUUUCACUCAGGAGAUUCUCUCCGACCAGGGAACUCAGUUUACGUGGUGCUCACCCAGCAGCUGUGGAAGGUGUGCGGCAUGAAGCCGCUGCUUAGUUCACCCUAUCACCCACAGACUAACGGCCUCUGCGAGUGCUUUAAUGGGACCCUCAAGCAGAUGUUGAGGACCUUUACUGACACUUGCAGAGACUGGGAGCGAUUCCUGUCUCAUCUGCUAUUUGCGUACAGAGAGGUGCCCCAGGAAUCUCCUAGAGUAGCCCUUUGAGCUACUCUAUGGGAGAAGGGUCCGCGGACCCCUAGAUCUCAUCAGAGGACACUGGGAGGUAGAGACAGAGCAGGAAGGAACUCCCAUAGUACCAUAUGUCCUGGAACUCCGGGACCACCUGGACCACGAGCCCCAGCUGUAACAUGGAAUCUGUAACCCAAAAAAACCUGGAUUGCGUAUCCCAGCUGUUCCUCUGUGACGAAGUGCCCUUCGCCACUUGGUACUGGAGAGGCCUGCUUGCCAGCCUCCUCCCCUGUGACUAUGACUCUUUGAUGUAUUUGCCUUUAAAGCCCCUAUUCUACCUUCAGACAGACUAUUUAUGUAGGCUGCUUUAUUUAUCUUAUGUUUGUCACCCUGUACCCAUUAUAGGUGCAGGGUGUGUGUAAUGUAAUUGUUUAUAGUGUGUGUGUGUGUGUGUACUGUGAAAUGUAUUGCCUUCUCUCCUGUACUGCUGAGGUUUGCUACCAACUAGGUGGGUUUGGCUAUGGAGCUUGUCUAGUGCCCUCUGUUGGUAGCAACAGCAAUAUGCACUACCUGAAUUGCAAGACUGGUUUAUUUGCAUAUUCGGGUAGAUUUGCAUAUUGCUAAUUCUGCAGGCAGGUGAGAUAUUUACAGUUAAAUAUUGUCUCCCCCCACCCCUUUAAAAAUUUGCCAUUGUGUUGUGAUACGUCACUGUGUGUUUCUUGAUAUGGUUUGACUGUUUGUGAUUUUAUUGAGGUUUCACAACAAUGUUAUUGUGGUGACUGUAUUGGCUGGUCCCAAGGGAAUAAAGGUUUUGACAGUUCUUCUUGAUCCCUCUAAACGUAGCCUUGUCUCGUUAUUGGAGGGAGCUGUUAUAAUCACACUGGGGAUUGCUAUGCUCUGGAUGCUCCCCUGAGCUUGAGUCACUUAGCUCUUUUAAGAGCUUGUUCCUGACACGCUCUCCUUGGAGGAGGGGUCUUCACCACACAGUCCUGGAUGCUGGAGGUUCGUACAGGGUGGAAGGAAGAGUUCUUACCCACACAGUCCUGGAGGACAGAAGCUGAUCCAGGGUGGAAGGAAGACGGCGAGACUCCAGUCCAGAUACGGCGGUUGCGGAGUCUGCGGUGGUUGUGGUGUCUGCUGCAGUGCUUGGAGUCCUCAGGAAGCGCUAGGAGCAUCCGUCAACGGAGGGUACUCGGUCGGAGUACAGGGAGCUCCGUUACAUCCUCUAACCCCAAACACCUGGACCGCGAGCCCCAGCUGUAACAUGGAAUCUCUAACUCCAAAAACUUGGGGUUAGAGGAACCUCUAGCUGUAACAUGGAACCUCUAACCCCUAACCUCUAAAAAAAAGGUGGUACGAUGCCCCGGGUAGACAAGUUAUUAGACCGUAUUGCCAGGGGACGCUAUCUGACCACCAUAGACCUGUGUAAGGGCUAUUGGCAGAUUCCCCUGGCCGAGGAUGCUAUCACUAAGUCGGCCUUCAUCACCCCAUUUGGCCUGUACCAGUUUAAGGUCAUGCCAUUUAGGACGAAGAAUCCUUCGGCUACCUUCCAGCGCAUGGCUUCCAGGAAUUUGCAGCGAUGGCUUCCAGGAAUUUGCUUGUGCAUACCUGGAUGACAUUGCGGUCUACAGUGAGUCCUGGGAGGAACACCUGGUACAUGUAGGGGUGGUCCUGGACAAGAUUCGGGCCGCUGGAUGUGAGCUAUGUUUUUGAAAUGGAAACGGCAGGAUUUGGUGAUUGACUGGACAUGAAGGGUGAAGGAGAGGUCGGAGUCAAAGAGAACACCUAGGCAGCGAGUCUGCGAGGUAGAGGUGAUGGUCGCACCGUUGACUUGGAGGGAGACAGACACAGGAGUAGCAACACUUGAGGUAGGAAAGACCAGAAGUUCUGUUUUGGACAAGUUGAGUUAUGAAAUGAUCGCGUGAACAGCGCCCUCCUGAGAAGAACCAGAAACUGCCUCUGUAUCUUGGAUGGAUUUGCACAGCAAUCCCAAGAUCUGACUUACUCAGGGUACAAGCAAUGCCAUAAAAAUAUGAAUUAACUAUAAAUGACUGACAAUCCUCUUAAACACACUAAAUGUUAGUAUCCUUCGUACACAUUUUGACCCCUUGGUAAUGAGUCUUCCUCAGGGGCUAUCGAGUACAGUCUAAAUGACAUCUUCUUUGAAGAGAAAACCAUGGAGUGAGUAAUCAGUUCAUUUAAUAUGACUGAGUAUUUUUAUUACAUCAUGAACCUUUUGAUGAUGAUGAUUAGGUGAAUUGUGAGAACCAGGACAAAUGUAGCUGCAGAAGAGGACACAAAAUGGACAAACAGAUCCUCGCCGGCUAUAUCGGCCAACAGCAGACAUUUAUCUCAAUAAUACCCAGUUAUCUGCAGAUAUUUCUCACAUAAUAACACUGGCUUCUUGGACAUUGUAUUUACUAAAAUGUGAAUAAUUGGGAAAGCAAAGAUAAUUUCUCAUUUUUGGACAAACCACUGAGCUGAAAACACAGCUGAAUUUUUCAAUGUACUUUCCAUACCCCACGUUCUGGGUACCGUAGAGUAGACGUUUAGUGAAUAAAGACCCAAAAUGCACCAAUUACUCUGGAAAUGUGGAUGCCAAUAUUCUUGACUUGUUGGAUAAUGUGUGGGUUGUUUUUAGGAAUGUAAUAGUAAGAUAAAACUAUAACAGAUAAAGAAAGGAAAUCGGAACGGUUAUAGAAUGAAAUAUAAAAUAAUCAUCUCCAUCUUGAAGCCAGAGGAGGAAAACGUAUUGAAAUCAUUGAUAAACAAAACCAAUACAUCAAAAGGGAAAUAAGUCUGAAAUGAACCCAAAUUCCCCUCCAUUUAGUGCGGCCCCAGGUCACCAUGAAUUGCAGGAAUUUAUCAUCCAAAUUAAAGGACCACUCUAGGCACCCAGACCACUUCAGCUUAAUGAAGUGGUCUGGGUGCCUGGUCCAGCUAGGGUUAACCCAUUUUUUAUGAAUGGGUUAAGCCUUCCCCCUAUUCCCUCUAGUGGCUGUCUCAUGGACAGCCACUAGAGGCGCUUGCGUGCUUCUCACUGUGAUUUUCACAGUGAGAGCACGCAAGCGUCCAUAGGAAAGCAUUGUAAAUGCUUUCCUAUGCGACGGGCUGAAUGCGCGCGCAGCUCUUGCCGCGCGUGCGCAUUCAGCCCAGGAGGAGGAUCGGAGGAGGAGAGGAGGCAGAGAGCUCCCCGCCCAGCGCUGGAAAAAGGUAAGUUUUACCCCCUUUCCCCUUUCCAGAGCCGGGCGGGAGGGGGUCCCUGAGGGUGGGGGCACCCUCAGGGCACUAUAGUGCCAGGAAAACAAGUAUGUUUUCCUGGCACUAUAGUGGUCCUUUAAGCAUCACGAAGCUUGUACUCGGCUCACAGGCCGAUUUAAGUCAUUAAACAGUUCAGUCCAAUUUACAAAUCCAUUUAGUAAGUUUGUUAUUAUUCCGUGAAAUCUGAAAUUCUCAGGGACUGAAAGGGUUAAUCUCUUAUCAGAGUGAUGUGUCGGGGUUGUUUUAGAGGUAAGUGGCCAUUGAUAGUCUGGCUUCAAACUUAACUGCGCACCCAGUAAAUUCAAAUUCAUUUGGAAUUGUGCUGAAUUUCUCAAUUAAAACUUUAGUCACUAAGCAAGAAAAACAACCUUUUAUUUCAUAUUGAUAAUUAUUUGACAACAGGAUAAAGAGAACAGAAAUCAAACGUUAUGAUGCUAGUAGGCAUCUAGCUUAGAGCUGGCAGUGUUAGUAAAUAUUAGAAUAUGUACACAAGAUAGAAUGACAUAAAGAUGGUGGAAUCCUUCAACUUCACAGGUGGGGUAAAAUUGCUAAUUUAGAUGGUAUCGAUGGUGAAACUCGGAAACUUCACAGGUGGAGUAAAAUGGCUGACGUAGAUGGUGGAAGCCUGCGACGUCACAGUUGGGGUAAAAUGGCUGACGUAGAUGGUGGAAGCCUGCGACGUCACAGGUGGGGUAAAAUGGCUGACGAAGAUGGUGGAAGCCUGCGACGUCACAGGUGGGGUAAAAUGGCUGACGAAGAUGGUGGAAGCCUGCGACGUCACAGGUGGGGUAAAAGGGCUGACGUAGAUGGUGGAAGCCUGCGACGUCACAGGUGGAGUAAAAUGGCUGACGUAGAUGGUGGAAGCCUGCAACGUCACAGGUGGAGUAAAAGGGAUGACGUAGAUGGUGGAAGCCUGCGACGUCACAGGUGGAGUAAAAUGGCUGACGUAGAUGGUGUCGAUGGUCCCUGCGACUUCUCAGGUGGGGUAAAAUGACUGACAUAGAUAGUAAAGAUGGUGGAGCCCUGUGACUGCACAGGUGGAGUAAAAUGGCUGAUGUAAAUGGUAAAGAUUGUGGAACCCUGCGACUUCACAGGUGGGAUAAAAUGGUUGAUGUAGAUGGUGUAGAUGGUAGAACCCUGCGACUUCACAGGUGGGGUAAAAUGGUUGAUGUAGAUGGUGUAGAUGGUAGAACCCUGCGACUUCACAGGUGGGGUAAAAUGACUAACAUGUGAUGUGUAACCUUUCAUGAUGCAUUGUGGGUAUAGUCAUAUUUACCUGCUGAAUUUUACUGUUUAUCCUCAUUUUCCAUUGAUUUAAUUGAUGACUCUUUGCCAUGAGUUAUUUUAAUAAUGAUUGACUUUACAUUUUAUAAAACAUCUUGCAGUUUAGUUGCACUAUACACUGGAUGAAUGCUAAUGCAAAGCAACAAACUCAAUAAUCCAAUCUAUUGCUAUAAAUUGAAUAAACAGAUUUACUUAUUAAAGGGCUUUUUUCUUUGAUCAAUUAGAUCUGCAAAGAUCUUCUCCAUUGCAGAAUAUCCAAGCGAUAAGAGAUUGCAUUCCAUGAAAGGAAUGUUAGGAAUACAAACUAUAGCGUCCCUGUCCCUAGAUUUAUAUAGGUCAGCCCACAUUCACCCAUUCAUAAUAAAAAUUGAAAAAAUAAAAUAAAAGUUUUGCUCUAUGUGAUGUCACAGAGGAGGCAUGGAGUUAUUUUAAUCAAUUGUUCCUCAUACAGGAGAAUUGGGGACUGAAUGCACAUGCAUGGCGGGCACUGCACAUGCAUUCAAGCUUGUUCAUAGGAAGGCAUUGUAUUCUUUCUUAUGGACUUUCACAUUAUGAGGCACCCCUUGGAAGACAGCCACCAGAGGUAGACUUAACCCAACAAUAAAAGCAUCUCUCAAAAACUUCCAAAGUUUUACAUUGCAUUGUUAAACAGAACAGGGACACUGCACUCAGACCAUAUCAUUGAUAGGAAGUGGUCUGGGUGACUAUAGUCUCAAUUAAGUGUUCUGCUGUCCAAAUGAAGAUCUAUCUGACCUUCUAACUAGUCAACUAAGAUUUAUGGGACAUACAGUUUCACAUUCAACAGCAAUUCUAUCGCCAGACAUUAAGAAUGGAACUGCUACCUAAGCUGAUAGCAGUGCAGUGUUACCACGCAUACACGAAAGCAUAGACAUGGCUCUUUUGGAGUCAGUUGUAGAUAUGUCUUUCAAAGUGGUUUCGUACAUGCAUAGUGUGUGCUUGAUCAGAAAUCUAUACAAGUAUUUGGAGGGACAGAGGAGACAGCAUAAAUUCCUCCUAUGAUGCCUCUCGGUGAAAUGGUAGAUUUUUAGUUAGGUUAGUUAUGACAAAUCACUGCAUUUAUAGGUAACUGUGUGCACAAAGGCAGGGACUUUGGAUUUAUACCAUGUAAAGUUCCAAGGAAACUAAAGUUAUUCAGAGCGUCUCUUUACCAUGUUCCUUUGCCAGUGGACUCAAUUAUGUCGAGCCAUACUCCACUAGUAGUCAUAUAACUGCAUUUUUUUGUUUUUACACAAGCAUUAUAUGAUGAAUGAUUUACUGCAUGUGUCAUGACCUCAUGGGGUGCUACCCCACACCGGCACUAUCAGCACUAAGAGUGGAUUUGUGGCACCCCUGAGAAACUCAGUACAAACUGUGCAGUGGGAAGUGUUGGCAAUCAUGUAACACAAUGGACUCUACUAUUGUCAUACAGUACCCCUGGUCAGUUGGUCUUUUACUGAGAGGGGACAUACCAAUGCUUUGUCCCCCAUUACCUUAUCAAAUCAAUGAACACUAAAAACCAUAAACAAUUCAGAUUUUUAUACAACAUGGUUUUUACAUUUUAAAUUUAUACAACAUGGUUUUUACAUUUUAAAUUCAAAUUUACAUUUGUGUCACUUGAGUUUGGCUCUAGGUUUAUUUCAGUUUGAGAGUUUUGGAGUCUAGCUUGGGCAUGUGAGAUAUUUUUGAAACUGGUAUCUCUUUCUCUGUUGCUUCAAGAGUUUUCCAAAAGACAUAAACUGAAGGUCCGCUCACUGGCGCUUUGCCCGUACUAUAAGCUUCAUGUUGUGGUUUCUGGCAUGUUGAUGUUAACCAUGAUUACACCCUGUGUGUAUUGAGAGAUGUAGCGACUCUCGAUGUAGACAUUUUGGGUGGCCGUGAGACGGACAAAUUGGUGUCAUUCACAGCCCUUGGCGUCGUUGGCCAUAGCCGAUGGCGUCACAGUAUGGUCUCCAUUCUGAGUUUGAAUUUCUAGUCUAUUCCUGAAACAGAAAGUCAAAGUACGAAAUAAACUCUAAGAGCAGUAUAUGAAGGCCACGGGAAGUGUCAGAAUGCUAUUAUUACACUGAAUUCAUUGUCUGGCUAUUGGGUCAAUGAUGAUGCACUACACUUUAAAGUUAAUUGUGUAUUAUGCUAGCUUUAGUGUACCUAUAAUCUUAAUUUAAUUAAUGACAGGAGGCAAGUAUUUGCUUAAGUCUCUCUUUACUAGAACUCCACAGCAGCACAGAAAACAACCAAUCAGAAAAAAGUUAGGUACUAUAAAACCCCCCUCCCCAUACAUCAUUUCCUCUUUCAAGCUGCGACAAAACAGAAUAAAAGGCAGGAAAUAUAAUGGGGAAGAAACAAAGUCCUAGAUACAAUGAAUACAACGAUGUCCACUAUCAGAGAAGAACGGCCAAACCAGAUAGCGUUGAUGGACUGUAAACUGAAACGAGAGAAAAAACAGAAUUGAACAGGUUGGUUAGCCAAUUAAAUGUACUCUGAACAAACAUGUAGGUACCCAAUGUAGCAACCAAAAUUAAUGUAAUCUGCAUAGAUCCCAACCCUACUUAUGAAAAAAAAAGACAUAAGAACAAGUGACUGGUAGCAGAGACAACAAGCAGAGUUGCAGACGUACCUGAUUAAUCCAAACUAUAUAAUUAAACAAGGGAGGGAUAAGAACGGGUGGGAAAUACUCGCCUCCUGUCAUUAAUAAAAUUAAGAUUAUAGGUACACUAAAGCUAGCAUAAUCUACAAUUUUAUAACAUGACAAGAGGCUUCGUAUUUGCUGUUUUAACGCUCAGCCAACAAAUCCAACGCUGAUUAUUUCGCUGGUACCUAAGUUACUAGAGCAAUCCUAAACGGACCUUCCAACUGCGAGAAGUGACAGAAGAUGAAUCGAUGAAGAUGCCAGCUGUCGAGGCACCUCAAAUGCGGGAAAACACUAUCCGCUGUUAGAUCCAUUGUACGUGGGGUUGCGACCUGUUUCCUAGCAGCCGGUCCAUGAGCUGCCAAGCUGACCUAUUAGCCAUUUUCCUGUAGGUGUAAACUGUUGAAGGUCAUAUGCGGACUUAGGGCCGUGAGACGAAACUGCUACCAGGUCUCGACUCUUGAUGUGGACGGUGGCUCUUCCGAUCGUGCCAGGGUUACCAGGUAGAUGAAAAAGUGGGUUAGCGAGAACCCAAACCAAGACGGCUCCCGUGAGGGAUAUAGCGUAUAGACAAAGGGCCCUCCAUCUCCAAACCAUGUACUCCAGAUAUGUGCUCAGAGGAGUAGGGGCAGUCCUGUCAUCUUAUCCCAAGAUUGUAAUGACCAGGGAACUCAAGUCAACCGGGGGUUUCUGGUCUUUACAUUCGUACAGAGUACCUGCAGACCGGGUAGUGGGCCUUCCCUAGUCUUGUUACUCGAGCAAGGCAGUGCCCUUUUGCUCCAUGAAGGCCUCAGUAUCUCAUGUCAUCUUGAUCUGGGAAAAACUGUCUGCGCAGUUUGUUGGCAAUGGUCCAGAUAGAUAAAACAGAAUGCAAUUGUCUGUUUUGUAUAGCGCAGAAUAUACCAAAACCUGCACUCUUGAAUACCUGAGGCUCAUCCGUUAGCCGUACCGUCUCCAGGUGUGUGUAAAUAAGCGGGAGUCUCCCCCCCCCCCGUUAUACCUCUGUGAAUAUUUAUCGCAUGGGGUACAGUGGUCCAGAUCCAGUAGAUCCAUUACAGAAGGUGAAAUAGAGGGAUCCAGUCUAAAUAUGUAUCCUGCAUGAUCAGCCCUCUAUAACGAAAAUCUGUAACACGGUCGUAAGAUCUAAUUGAAUGCAGGAGGGACGCCCGUCUCUGCAGUCAUUGCUGUCCUGUACACGUACAAGCCUGUGUGAUGAACAAAUGGACGGCACCGCAGUGUGUUGAGUGUAUGAGAGAGCCGCAACCUCCAAUAAUGUGACCGAACUCCGUGUCAGUGUUCGGCUGAUAGCUUGAGCGGGCUGCACCCGUUAAUAACCAGACAGUAGAGUCUACAUCCGUGACCGGUUCUCUCGACGAGAAUGUGUCACUCAAAACAUGACCUCUGUAUCAAGCUCAGUAACGUGCUGAGGUUGAGGGAGGGCCGCGCCCUCUAAUAACAGAUCAGUGUCCAGUUCCGUAUAUGAGAGGGGUUCGCUCUCUGUUUGUGAAAGUAGAAUAUCAUUCUCGGAUCGAGGUGAUGGAAGGUCGCACCCUCUUGUAAUCCAAACUAGAGUCCUUUAGAGAUUUCAGGGUGACCAAUUGCAGGGCUAUGCCAUUCACUAAUAUCAGCAUAAGACUGAGAUCCGGAGAUGGGUCUCUCAUUGGCCAGGAGACCUCUCUCUGAAUCGCUCACCUGAGGUGGAAUUAAUUGGCAAUAAACCAGACCGAUGGAAGAUAGAAUAGUAUACAGCCUUGGGUCUUGUCCAUCCUUAAUAACAGAAAGGGAUGGUGAGUAAAUGCAACCUAUAGAAACAAUGAUGGGAACUACCAAUUGAACGCCCUAAUCCCGUGCAUGCGCACGGGGUCCAAGAUGACUGUUGGUAGCCUGAGGAAAGCUGGAGAUGUUCUCCGCAAUCCACCAGAACCCGGGAGAUCGGAGGAGGUCAAGUCAGGCCUCUCGACGACCCGAGCGAUAGGACAAUUGGAAUGCUUGAAAACCAAGAAACGACAAAUAAUGUAGAUAAUGGUAAAUACGUACCUCGGAGAGCCGUUAAAUAGCAGAUCGGAACAGCAAGACAAGUAAACCCAACUGAAAGGGUUAGGAGCUAAGGAGCUAAACAUGACAUAGGACUAACUACCAAUACCUAAGAUGGAUACCGGAAAGCAGCUAAAUGGUUAGUUGCUGAAGGCAAGGCAACCAUGCUCAUCUGUUGGCGUCUGAGCAAUAGUCCCUGCUUGUGCGAAAUUCUCUUCGGAGAUGUGCCGCCGCCGGGUUGGUGUGAACCGUGGUGGCGCGCCUGGAAAUCCUCAUAACUAAAAAACCUUGCCCCUCAGAGUAUGAGGUUUAGGGUCUUCACCCUUUCAAUCAUAUUGAGGUGCCUGUGUACUGGUGUCCUCUUAGAUGGUAAGGCAGCAGUGCUUGCCUGGAUACCCAUCUAUCUCCAUGUCAAUAGUGGGCACUUGGCUCUUCUCAGUGACAUCCUCCCAGGGCUGCGGCCAGAAGGGAUUUCGGGCCCAGAUAGCUCAGGCCGAACAAAGGUUAGAGCAGGCCAGUCAGAAAGGCACAGACAUAGAAGGCCAAUCAAGUGGGUACAGACCUAGCAGGCCAAUCAAAUGAGCACAGGUAUAGCUGGCCAAUCAAUGGGGCACAGGCAUAGCCGGCCAAUCCAUGGGGCGCAGGCGUAGCUGGCCAAUCAAUGGGGCACAGACAUAGCUGGCCAAUCAAUGGGACACAGACAUAGCUGGCCAAUCAAUGGGGCACAGACAUAGUUGGCCAAUCCAUGGGGCGCAGACGUAGCUGGCCAAUCCAUGAGGCGCAGACGUAGCUGGCCAAUCAAUGGGGCACAGACAUAGCUGGCCAAUCAAUGGGGCACAGACAUAGCUGGCCAAUCAAUGGGGCACAGACAUAACUGGCCAAUCAAUGGGGCACAGACAUAGCAGGCCAAUCAAAGGGGCACAGACAGAGCAGGCCAAUCCUGGGUUGCGUCUGAACGAGUAAUAAGGGACCCCUGUGUUUGAGUAGAGUCCCCUAAUUAUCUGUAAAUCUUCAGGGUAUCCUGAGAGGUAGGACCCCCAGACGCCAACCCUUUAGACAGCGCAAUACUGUGUUAAUACACCUGAACUGGGACUAGCAGUCCCUAAAUGCCCAGCAGGCAAAAUAGUGGUAUAUAAGCUGAAAAAUGAUUAUAAUGUCCAUUAAAUCAUGAUAUACAGAGCGAUUCAUAUUUUAACUGUGCAUGGGUUAUGCACAUGAACCUGCAUCCCUGUUUGAGAUUUCUUCAUCAAUAUUAUGUAUCAUCAGUAUACCAGCUGAAUUGAAUUGGUGUCAGCAUAGACUGGUCUCUCAUACCAGUUUGAGCCAGAGUCCAGGGCCGGACUGGCCCACCGGGAUACUGGGAAAUUUCCCGGUGGGCCGUCGGCACCUGGGGCCGGAGAGGGAGCUCCUUUGGCGGCCGCAGGGGGAGCUGGCUGUUCUGUCUCUGCUCCCCCUCCCCAGCGCGCCGCUUAAUGAACCCGGGGCCGGAAUAUGACGUCAUAUUCCGGCCCCGGUCUCAUUAAGCAGUGCGCUGGGGAGGGGGAGCAGAGACAGAACAGCCAGCUCCCCCUGCGGCCGCCAGAAGAGCCAGCUCCCCCAUGCGGCUGCCAUCAGAGCUCCCCACAGGUAGAAAUUGUGUGUGUCAGUGUGAGUGUAUGUGUGUGUCUGUGUCAUUUGUGUGUGUGUUUCAUGGUGUGUGUGUCUGUCUCAUUUGUGUGUGUGUCUGUGUGUGUCAUUUGUGUGUGUGUCUGUGUGUGGCAUGGUGUGUGUGUCUGUGUCAUUUGUGUGUGUGUCUGUGUGUGUCAUUUGUGUGUGUGUCUGUGUGUGUCAUGGUGUGUGUGUCUGUCUGGGUCAUGGUGUGUCUGUCUGUGUCAUGGUGUGUCUGUCUGUGUCAUUGUGUGCGUCUGUCUCUGUCAUGGUGUGUGUGUGUGUCUCUGUCAUGGUGUGUGUGUGUCUCUGUCAUGGUGUGUGCUUCUGUGUCAUUUUGUGUGUGUCUGUCAUUUAAUUUGUGUCUGUCUGUGUCACGGUCUGUCUGUGUCAUGGUGUGUGUGUCUGUAUGUCAUGGUGUGUGUGUGUGUCUGUCUGUGUCACGGUCUCUCUGUGUCAUGGUGUGUGUGUGUCUGUGUGUCAUGGUGUGUGUGUCUGUGUCACGGUCUGUCUGUGUUAAAGUGUGUGUCUGUCAUGGUAUGUGUGUGUCUCGGUCAUGGUGUGUGUGUGUUUCUGUCUGUGUCACGGUGUGUGUGUCUGUGUCAUGGUCUGUCUGUGUCAUGGUGUGUGUCUGUCAUGGUAUGUGUGUGUGUGUAUGUGUGUUUUUACUCACCUUUUUUUUUUUCCCACGUCGUGCUGGUCUCCCCUCGACUGGCCCUGCCUCUACGGCUGAGAUCAUCAAGCUUGAUGAUCUCAGCCAAUCCACACUGACACAGGAAGCAUCUCUAGUGACCGUCUGAGUGUCUGUCACUAGGAAGCAAUUUAAACACUGCCUUUUCUCUAAAAAGUCAGUGUUUACAUUGAAAAGCCUGCAGGGCCAGGCUAUAGACACCAGAGCCACUACAUUAAGCUGUGUGUGUGUGUGCGCCUGCUAGUGAGUGGGCUUGUGUUUUUAUGUCAAUGACCUUAUGUAUAUCAGUGAGAUUGUUUGUCUAUGAGGCUGUGUAUUAAUCAUCUUGUGUCAGUGAGAUGGUCUGUGUCUGCAUGUGAGUAUGCUUACUGUAUAAUUAAAAAUUUUACUCUGAAAGGACCAAUAUUUUAUAUUGGAAAAAGAUUGUUAUAUAUAUAUAUAUAUAUAUAUAUAUUGUGAUAAAGUGAAGGCAGAUAGGCCUUUUAACCCCAGGGGAAGUACGUGUAGUUUGUGUGUUGCACAACCCAAAGCAUUGUUUAGUUAUGGGCCCCUGGGGUGGAGCAUUUGGAGAGAAGGGUGGGCCAAUGCUCCACUCCACAGUUUAGUGGUUUUCUGGGGAGACAUAGAUCCAGGCCAGGGUUUUUUGGACCGUCUCCAACCCACUGCUCAGCUGCAGUUAAUGAGCUAUUGCAGUGGGAAUAAACCCCUCCCUGCUAGGCAGGUGAAAGAGAGGGAUUGCUGGCUUCCUCCCAGGAAGCAGGUAGGAGAGAGAGGCUGUUCUCUCCAGAUAGAGUCAAGGAGACUAGGCACUGGGAGUGCAGAAAGGAAGCAGUCAAGGCUGGCUUGGAGCACUGGGAGUGCAGAAGGAAGCAGUCAAGGCUGGCUUGGAGGCACUGGGAGUGCAGAAAGGAAAGCAGUCAGGGCAAGGCUGGCUUGGAGCACUGGGAGUGCAGAAAGGAAAGCAGUCAGGGCAAGGCUGGCUUGGAGCACUAGGAGUGCAGAAAGGAAAGCAACAGGCUAGCUAUCAGAGUGUUGCUCUCUAAUAAGGUUGGUGCAAUAUUGUUUUGUUUAGUUUAACCCUGAGAGAUAGGGAACCUAAAGUGAGUUAGUGCUCAGACCGAGCUAGGUUUUUGUUUAUAGGGUUUUCUGUUACAUUUAUGUUUUAAUUUACUGCUGUAUCCUGUGUGAACUUACAAAUAAAGUGCCUGGAGUAUAUGAAUUACAAGGACUGUGCAUGUUUUUGCCCUAGAGGACCGUGCUACCUGCUGACAAGGAUCACAAUAUAUAUAUAUAUCAUCUAGGGUGGCAAGACAUAGCCUUACAUAUUACAUGUGACAAUAUAUGGCGCAAUGACUUAUGGGGCUGGCAUAGAUUUUUUUUUCCAGGGCUGCUUUGGAAUCCCCAGUCCGACCCUACCAGAGUCAGGUCUGCUUAGCUUUUUAUAUUUGCCCUGGACAGUAAGUAUCUUACUAGAGAAGUCUUGGCUCUGACUUGAGGGAUGGAUCAGGCACAUAUACACUGAAGCACAUUGAUUGCAACCUAAGAGCACUUUGGUUAAUUGUGCAACAAAAAAUCUUCACAUCUCCUAGACAUCAUGUCAAAUCCAACAAAGGAAUAUGGGCAUUUGAUCCACGUGUUUCUGUAUCAAGCGUGUAAAUACCCAGCAGAUACCUUGUGACUGACAGUGCUUGGGCUCUUGUAGUACAGGGGAUUUGAAAACCUUGAACUCCAACCACCGUGGGUGGAGGAGGGGCCACGUGCAGGCGCACCCUCCUCUAGCCAGUCGGAUGAAUAAAAGGAGCCACGCCGCUUUAGAGGGAGCUGUCUGAGGUGGACACAUGUGUGAGAGGCCCGGCCGAUGGGUACUUGCGUUUGACCGCGAGUAACCCCAGGCGCUGGCAGGCUCACACUGGAGCUCGGGGAGUCAGAGGAGGCGGCCACAUGGCUAGUCUCCUGACUCCCCGAGUGAAAAGCACCCGCAGCCCGCGAAGAGCGCUGGAAAGAGGGGUGGGGGGGAAGAGGGGGGCGAAACACAAAGGGGAGCAAACUGGAAGUAUCCCCAGUAACCCCCAUAAAAACCCCACAACAACAGGAAAACAUCCCCAAAGUAACAGGGGAAGCCAAAAAGAGUCAAAAGGAAUCCCAAAUAAAUAUAAUAAAUAUAUACAGAAAGUAUAAAGUAUAUAAAAUAAUCUGGCAACUAAAUAUAAUGUAAAUAAUAUAUAAAAUAAAUACAUAUAUUUAAUAUGGUAACUAAAUAUAAUGAAUAUAUAUAUAAUAUGAUGCAAAUAAUAUAUAAAAUAAAUACAUAUAUAUAAUAUGGUAACUAAAUAUAAUGUAUAUAAUAUAUAAAAUAAAAAUAUAAUAUGAUAACUAAAUGUAAUAUAAAUCAUAAAUAAAUCACACUAAAUCCCAAAGCCACCCACUAGAAGCAGGAGACAGUGGUACUCUGACCUGUACUGACUGCGGAGCAGCAAAGAAAGAGGAAAUUAGGUAUGGCGAGGGGGAGUUUUAUAGUAACUAACUUUUUUCUGAUUGGUUGUUUUUCUUAGCUGCUGUGGAGUUCUAGUAAAGAGAGACUAAAGCAAAUACGAAGCCUCCCGUCAUGUUAUAACAUUAAAUUUUCAGAUUAUAAGCGAUGUGCAGGCUCUACCUAUUCACCAAUAACAAAUUGAACCCUAAAAACUUUUACAAAUAGUUUAAACAAAUCUUACCUCAAAGAUGUGAUUGGCUGACUGCACAAAGUGCAAAAACAAUUAAAGUUAAAGUAGAAAAAGCCCGAGGGCCCGAUGGUAUUGAUGGUUUUACCUGCAGGAGCACGAAGUGGCAUCAAAGUCCUUUUCCUGGACCCGCUGACCGGUCACAGACGAUGUACCUCUAAAGAAAUAGAAAGCCAAUCACAGGAAUCCAGGCAGGAAGUGUUACAAUCGAGAUAGAAUGUUAACUGAAGAGCUAAGAUAAUAUUUAUUUAAAUUAUCAAGAACAUACAGCUAGCAAUAUAAUUAAUUAAUUAUAGUUAAUAUAGUUUUAUGAAGGACUGAUCACGACAAAAUAAAAGGGGAUUAUCACAUUCCAGGAUGUUUAAUAUUGUGUUUCUUUAUCCUCUAUAUUUAGCAAAUAUCUUUUUGUGAGGUGUGAAAAAUAAAAUAGAAUGACCCAUUCUUGUUCAUGCACUGUAGAGCUGAUAAAAAAAAUAAAAAAGGUAAAAUUAUUCUUAUAAACCAGUGUCUGUCUGGAGCUUUGACUCUCCAGGAAGUAACGCGGCCAUUCAGAAGCCUCUCAUUUUGUUUUAUGGAAUAUGACACAUUUAAUUCAGCACUGAAAAGGUUAAAUUCUAGGGAGAGGGGCUAAUUAGAAGCAAUCAAAGCCUCACUUCUCAUUAGGGCAGGGAUUUCUGGGACUUGUAGUUUGGUCAUUGGCUUUCUAGUUAUGAAACUUAUUAGGUGAACUACAACUCUCAGAACGGUUUGCUGUGUAUCUUGAUGACGCGAAUGCUGCGUUACUGCAUACUGCAGAUUAGGGGGGGUAGGACAGAAAUGGCGCUGUAUACAGGUAUUGGGACCAGCCAGUUUGAAUACAAUGGACCUUUACAGGAGGAUUUGGGCAUAUGGGCACUGAGCUGGCACUGGGCAAUGUUACGCAAUGCGGGAACAGAAGAAAUGCCCAAUUGUCAGUUUAUACUCUAUAAGGAGUCAUGUUAGAGGGACCAGUUUGGGGAAUAGUGAAGAUAAAUGAGGCCCCACUGGAUUCACUAAUUCUCUAAAUGGAUUGCACAAAUUCCCAAGAAAUGGAUUACCUCAUUCAACAGAAUUCCUAAUGAGGUUUAUGUGGCUUUAACUUUUAUUUAUUUAUAAAAUAUUUUACCAGGAAGGAUACAAUGAGAUUUCUCCCGUUUUCAAGUAUUCUACAAGAUUUAUACUCGCAGCUAGUGGGAAUCCUCUUACAAUCUAUGAAAACACUAUUGGUGCAAUGUUACAGUAAUAAGUAUAAUAAUUACAGGGACACCCCAAAUCGGAGUUGACCCACAUUUCAAUACACUAAAAAUGUGUGUGAGUCAAUUAAUAAUUUCUAUUCAAAGAUGUUUUAAUAUGAGCAUUUUAAAAUGUCCUUUUCGUUCUAGAGUUUGAUUUUAAUUCACAUUAUCCAUCAAAACACUUUCGUUUAUGAGAUUUCGUAGCAUUUUAACCCUUGAGUAGCUUUCUCUGCAUUUUUAUAACUAUUUAUUGUGAUCCUGUUGUAUAUACAGCAUGUUAUAAUAUCUAUCUAGUGGUGUAACUAUUUUUGGGGGUAUAAUUUAACUUUAAAGUCUCUUCUGUGAUUUUUUUCUGCAUAUGGCGCAACACGCACUUGGUAAUGGGCUUUAAAGAGCUCUGUAAUCUGGUUCAUAUUAUCAGUGUAAUCAUCCUAUGUACAAAUCAUUGGCUAAGAGAAAUCAGGGUCCAUUUUUGUUGUGAUCUUAUCUGUAAGUGUGAUGGUUUCCUGAACACAUGGGGUGUCCGGGGACUGGAGUGGGUGACAUGCCUAAACAGAAAGAGUGAAUUAUUCAAAUAUUUAUGCAAGAAAUUACAGUCAGGCUUAAUACAACAAAGAUUUCAUAAAAAUCGUGCUCACCUCACAGAAAUCUUGUAUAAUAAAGACAUUUGAAUAAUUUAAAAUAUAUAUAUAAUAUCACUAUGGAACGCCACAACUCCUGCUAAUAACGGCCUCCAUUUGAUUUUUUGGGAUACGCUUUUCAAAUGAUUUCAAAUUAUUUUAUAUUUUGCAUUAUAUAUUAAUGUUUUAAGAUUUAGAUUUUUUUUAUAUUGAUAUAGUUUUGUAUAUAUAUAUAUAUUUUAUUUCUGAUAUUUUAAUAUUUUUUCAAAAAUAGUUUGAAAAGUUUAUGCACACAUUUUAAAUCAUUUGAAAAGGAUACCGAAAAAUAUUAAGCCAGGGCCCCCAUUCCUGUUUCUGGCCAGGCACGUCAGUAUUUUAAAUCUGUUCUAAAUAAAAUUGUAUCUUAAAGAUAUUACACGACACUUACCCAGCAAACGGAAAAUACUGAUAUUUAAAGAAAACCAAACACAUACAAGGACCGCUCUGAUUAAACCACAUCUCUGGCUGGAGAGGCUCAUUUAAUACAAAAAAUAACUAGGAUUUUAAUACUUUGAGUUUAUUCAUGUGACGGAAUAUGGGAGUUACAAACUUUAGACUUUAGUAGCUGUGCGGUGACUAUAGCAAAGUUACAUUUUUCCCCAUAUUCGCUGUAUCUUGUAAUUUGUUUCUCUAUUCCCUACAAUUUACUCUUUAGUGGAUUAAUCACAUUAUUAAACUCAUGCUGUAAAUAUAAAAUAUAUUAACAUUUAACAUAGACUGUGCAGGUCACAACUGACACAGGUUAAAUCCCCCGGAUCUAUGUAUUAAUUGCUUUAAAAACAAUAAUGUAGAUUUUAUUGGAGCAAGGAAGCGAUUGCCUGGGAUUGUGGGAAUGUCGGUCUGCGUGGUGGAAAAUUGUUUUUGAUUGAUGAAAGUAACGUGGCUCCAUUCUGACCCUAUAAAUAACAUUUAACUACAGUAAACUGGAAGCACUUUGGUUCCAUUAAAGUGCAGUGGUCCCAUUACAUUAAUGUAUGUAAUUAUACGGGUAUUGGUUCUAAAUGAUGACUAAUUAAAGCUCACUAAGUAACAAGCUGCCAGUAUGAGUCACGUUAUACUGAACACAUCAGUCACUCAGCAGAUUGGAAGAGGCAGACUUUUCUUGCCCUGUUUAUCUGCCAGACGUUAUAAUCGGGGCACAUGUGGGAGGCUGAUUUUGGCAGCCAUCGGGGUAAAAUGAGAAUUGGUGAGGUAUGUAAAAUGAAGAGGUGGUAAAUAGUGAAAGGAGUAUUGGGGCAAUGAAACAUUAUUUGGGAAUGGGGGGCUGCCAUUCCCAAGGAAAUAGGUUGAAAUGAAAUAUAUAUGGUGAAUACAGUGAUGGGGCUGAAAUGCGCAUGGGAGAAAGACGAGCUAUACAAACAAGACAUGGGAAAAGAAACGAGCAGGGGGUGAUGGGGAAAGAAAAUUAUCAGAGACAAGAGAAGUAAAAUAGACAGGGAUCUAUGGGGAAAUAAUAUGCAAAGGGUGAAUAAAAUGGGAAAGGGGCAAGUGGGACAUAAAAUGUAUGGGGGCACAUGAGAUGGAAGAGAGUCCCAGAAUAGCAACCUCUCAGUGGCAUGUUUAUUAUGUGGCAUCCCACGUGACAUGGAUUGUGUGGCCAGUGUGCUCCCCAUUCUGUAUGAUUAGUGCCUGGCCUGCGUUUUGCUCCGGAUAUGAUUCUCAGUUUGAUUGUGGGUCUCAAGCUGCCUAUAGUCCAAAACAGACCAUCAAUGUGCUAUAUUUACCUGAAAGUCCCAGGGCCAUCAUUAGCCCAUGGCUAAAUGAAUGAAAAUGUAAUGAAGCUAAAUAGGUAAGUGCACUUUGUAGCUCUCCUUCCUUCACCAAGGAACAGUCAUCAUUCAUUGAUAUAGUCACUCAUUGACUCAUUCAUACAGUCAUACAUUGAUACAGCCAUGCAUUCAUACAUUGAUACAUUGAUACAUUGGUUCAUUCAUACAGUCAUACAUUGAUACAGCCAGGGCAUUCAUACAUUGAUACAUUCAUACAUUGAUACAUUCAUACAUUGGUUCAUUCAUACAGUCAUACAUUGAUACAGCCAGGGCAUUCAUACAUUGAUACAUUGAUACACUCAUACAUUGGUUCAUUCAUGCAGUCAUACAUUGAUACAGCCAUGCAUUCAUACCAUGAUCCAUUCAUACAUUGAUCCAUUCAUACAUUGGUUCAUUCAUGCAGUCAUACAUUGAUACAGCCAGGGCAUUCAUACAUUGAUUCAUUGAUACAUUCAUACAUUGGUUCAUUCAUACAGUCAUACAUUGAUACAGCCAUACAUUCAUACAUUGAUACAUUCAUACAUUGGUUCAUUCAUACAGUCAUACAGUGAUACAGCCAGGGCAUUCAUACAUUGAUACCUUGAUACAUUGGUUCAUUCAUACAGUCAUACAUUGAUACAGACAUGCAUUCAUACAUUGAUACAUUGAUACAUUGAUUCAUUCAUGCAGUCAUACAUUGAUACAGACAUGCAUUCAUACAUUGAUACAUUGAUUCAUUCAUGCAGUCAUACAUUGAUACAGCCAUGCAUUCAUACAUUGAUACAUUGAUUCAUUCAUGCAGUCAUACAUUGAUACAGCCAUGCAUUCAUACAUUGAUACAUUGAUACAUUCAUACAUUGGUUCAUUCAUGCAGUCAUACAUUGAUACAGCCAGGGCAUUGUGGGAAUGUCGGUCUGCAUUGAUACAUUGAUUCAUUCAUGCAGUCAUACAUUGAUACAGCCAUGCAUUCAUACAUUGAUACAUUGAUACAUUCAUACAUUGGUUCAUUCAUGCAGUCAUACAUUGAUACAGCCAUGCAUUCAUACAUUGAUACAUUGAUACAUUGGUUCAUUCAUACAGUCAUACAUUGAUACAGCCAUGCAUUCAUACAUUGAUACAUUGAUACAUUCAUACAUUGGUUCAUUCAUGCAGUCAUACAUUGAUACAGCCAGGGCAUUCAUACAUUGAUACAUUGAUACAUUGGUUCAUUCAUACAGUCAUACAUUGAUACAGCCAUGCAUUCAUACAUUCAUACAUUGAUACAUUCAUACAUUCAUACAUUGGUUCAUUCAUGCAGUCAUACAUUGAUACAUUCAUACAUUGGUUCAUUCAUGCAGUCAUACAUUGAUACUGUGACAAACUCCCCUUCCCACGUGAGUUUGCCACGAGCUCCUGGAGGAGCCUGCUUGCCCGCCUCCUGCCCACAGACUAUGGGCCCCGCAGGGAAACCUGUAAAAGAACUUGACCGACCGUUAGCACUGAUUUCCCUGGAAAUGUUUUGGGCAUGGGACCAUGCAUGCAAUCGGUCAAAUUAUGACUUCCAGGAAGUUCCUGAACACCUGAACCGAUCUGGGUGAUUUUUGGAUAUGUUGGUCACCCAGAUCAGGGCUAUCAGGGGAGGUAACUUUUAAGGGGUUUUAUGUAUAUUUAUGCUACUUUUGGGGUGUUUGGGAAAUGUGUGUUUUUUGUGCCUGGAGAUAAUUGAGUUUUGUACAGUCCUUGAUUCAAUUAUCUCCCAGGCACAGAGGAGGCAUUAUCCUGUUUUAUGUGGGAGUGUCCUGGACCUGAGAGCCAAUGUAAUCGUGUGUAUGAUUUUACUGUAAUCUACUCUCAGGUCCAGGGGGGAGUGCCCCUUGCAUGGGGACCUGCAUAUAAGGCCAGUUGUGGCUUCCAAUAAAUGAGUUCUGCCUACCCUCAACAUAGAGUCUCAUCUCAUGUGUGGGGGGGGAAGAGCUGUAUCUGCUCUGGGGAUUGCUAUAUCACGAUACUCCCCUGGGCUAUAAUCAUUAGCUCUUGCAAGAGCUACACUGCUAUACCUGCUGGAUCCAGGAGUAUGGUCCAGGGUGAGAAGGGACGGCGAGACCCCAGCCAAGCUGCGGCGGCUAUAGGGCUACAGUGCUUAUGGUGUCCGGUGCGGUGCUUAUGGUACUAGGUGACAGCUAAGAAGCAGCGAUUGGCAGAGGCACCCAGUCAGGGUGCCAGGCGGUCCAUCACAGAUACAUUCAGACAAUGAUUCAUAUAUACAUUCACACAGUUAUGCAUUCAUACAUUGGUUCAUUCAUACAGUCAUACAUUCAGACAAUGAUUCAUACAUACAUUGAUACAUUCAUUCCUUGAUUCAUUCAUGCAGUUAUACAUUGAUACAGUCAUACAUUCAUACACUGAUUCAUCGAUACAUUCACACAGUUAUGCAUUCAUACAGUCGUCGUGUAAUAAUACAGUCAUAUAUUCAUAGCCAUACAUUCGUACAGUAUUGAUACAUUGAUAUAGUCAUAAAUUCAUAUAGUCCUCAGACAUUCGUAAAGUAGUCAUACAUUCAUACAUUGAUACAGUCAUACAUACAUACAUACACUCUUGCAUUCAGUGUCUGAGACACAUGUGGAAAUAAACCAUAAUUGGAAUGCUCUCUGCGUCUUGUGUUACGGUAGAGUUGGAAUGCCUGAUGUUUAUUCAACGUUUCAUAACAAAACAUAUAUUACUCUGCGUAAUGAAUGAAGGGAGUAACGCCUUAGAAGAUUCUUAAAUGAUGGUAGAUAGGUAGAAGAGAAGAAGUGCCAAAUAAUAUAGUAUCUCUAGUAUGAAUUGGUCAGAGAUAAAAAAAUAAAUAAAUGCACUUACAGUCUAUAGAUCUAGGAGUACCUCUACUUUAUAUGCUUGGGCAGCAAAAUGCCCACCUGGAGAUGCCAUCAGAGGUCUUAGUUUCUGUGGCUUAUAUUUCUGGAGGUAUGAAAGAUAAACAGAAGAAAGAAUCAGUCUAGUGUAGUAUGUUGUAGUACAGGGACAAAAUCAAAUAUAGAAGUGAGAAUUCACUCACAGAUUUCUGAGCCUCCAACUGGCCCCCAAAAAGCAGGUUUGGGUUGACUGGAAAAAGAAAAAAGUGCAACGAUAUCGAUAAGCUUUGUUCACCAGUGAAAAACCCAAUAAGACUUUGAAACAGUACUUGUUAAACUCAAAGUUUUUCAUAAAAUUCCAUGUUUUUAGGUGAUUAAUGUGUAAUUUGCUUGGACAGGUGCUGUAUAAAACAAAGGGUUAUCUCCACCAGCCACUAAUAAUUCUAAGCCCGCGUGUCCAUCAAUUAAAAACUCCAUUAUUACCAAUAUAAAUCACCGAUAUUUAUCUAACUGUCGAGAUUGUUGAAAAAAGCCGUAUGGAGGAACCGGCUGAGUCAUUAUUAAUUCCAGUCUCUGUGAUAGGGAGGGAGACUGAAGCUAAGAAAACAUUUUAGACCAGCAAGUAAACUAUAUUUUGUCAGACAUGCCAUAUCAUUAUGGUUGCAGCAUUUUCUUACUUUUAACAUUUUUGUUCCAAAAUCACUUUAACCUCUUGUGUGACAAAUGUUUCAGGAGAAAUGUUUAAAACAAAUAAUACCAUCGCUAAGUAGUGCAGCUACAAGUAACAAAGUAAGAUCUAACUCUGGCAGAUGUAGAAUAAUAAGUCAAAUAAACUCGUCUGUCUAGGCUUGCUAUUAUUUUUGGCAAUUGUAAGGACUCAAAUGUAAAAAUAAAAACUAACAUAUAUAUAUAUUAAGGAAACACAACACAAUGUAUUAGUAUAGAUAACGCACUGGGGAGAUUGAUAUAGAUGCAGGGCUCCCAACUGUCCCGCUUUUGGGGUUGUGCAUUGCCAUCCUGUUGUGGGACACCAUGGAACAUACCUGAAGAGCAUCAUUAGAUGUGCGUGUGCUGUGCAGUGGGCACUUUGACCUCACAGACAGCGCUCCCUUCAUGAUCCUAGGAGGUUGUCUAAAAGCCUGGAGCGCUUGUUGUCAGGGUGAGAGCCCCUCAAUGGGCAGGCAUGCCCACUUCCUGGAUGGAGUCAGACCAUUAUGGGUGCCAAAAGUAAUCUAAGUUACAUUACUGACAAUGCCCCCUUGAAGGCCCGACUAACCAACGUUGGGUGGUAUCUGGCAUGUACGUGAAUAGUGUGCUGUCGGAGAUUUUAUGCACAAUAUCAAUCUGCUUUAGCGUUGUUCACUCCUCUGUUCAGGAAACUGACCACCCUCCCUUCACCUGAGUAAGAUAGGUGGGGGUAGCCAGUUACUGUAGCCCAGAUGCCCCGUGCUCCGGGGAGAACUAAUUAAAGAUAAUCGCCAGCUUCCUCCUCACGUUAAAUACAACCCAUGAAUGCACCCCUAACUGUAUGCAGGAAUGGGGAGAAGGAUUUAUCCCAUCCUUGUAAAUGAGUAUUUUGCGUUUCAGAAGCAGAGCCAAUAAAUUGGUCAAUGAAUUAAACAUUGCUUGCAUUCUUGACGCUGUCUAAGUUAAAAAGCAUCUUUUACAACUGAGCUGAUGAUAAUUAUGUUUCGGUUAAACCACAUAAAAUAGAUUGUAAGCUUUUCUUUGAGUGAGAAACACAGCUGAGGUAAAUAUAAUACAUGUUAUUAAAGUUUGACUGGUAUGAAAGACUGUUUUAACUACUUCCCACAAUGCAAUGCAAAAAUAUGCAAAUAUGUUCUAAGAGCUCAGUCUCAAUUCCCUAUUUACAUUACACCUGUUGUUACAACGACAUGAUGGGUUACUGACCAUUGACAAACUUGCUUGGUUCUUUUUGGAGCUUCAGUUAAAGGGAUCCUAUAGUGCCAGGAAAACAAACCCGUUUUCCUGGCACUAUAGGCUCCUAUAGUGCCCCCCUCCCGUGCGACUGAAGGGGUUAAAACCCCUUCUGCCAUUUACCUGAAUCUGACUGUAAUGACUUUUUUCGGCUAUUAGAAGGAAUGGUUUAUUAUAUGAUUUUAUUCAGUGAUCUACUAAAUUAUAUUUCACUGUACCCAAACCUUCUCCUCUGUACGGGAAUAAAAUAACGGAUUCUAUUUAUUAUUUACAUGUAAUAUUUAUUCCCAAUCUGCCAUCAUUACAUUAUGAAAUUGCCAUCAUUAUAUUAUUAACUGAUAGUAUUCAGUCCUCAUCUUCAGUAAGCAAAGUAAAGCCCUCUCAUACUGGAACAAUGUCACAAUAACACAGAGAUAACUCAAACAGUGGCUGUUGGACCCGGUCUGGGCUUUAAUUAAAGGACCACUCUAGGCACCCAGACCACUUCAGCUUAAUGAAGUGGUCUGGGUGCCUGGUCCAGCUAGGAUUAACCCUUUUUUAAAAUAAACAUAGCAGUUUCAGAGAAACUGCUAUGUUUAUAAAUAGGUUAAUCCAGCCUCUAAAGCCUCUAGUGGCUGUCUCAUUGACAGCCGCUAGAGGCGUUUGCGUGCUUCUCACUGUGAAAAUCACAGUGAGAAGAUGCCAGCGUCCAUAGGAAAGCAUUAUGAAUGCUUUCCUAUGAGACUGGCUGAAUGCGCGCGCAGCUCCUGCCACGCAUGCGCAUUCAGCCGAAGAGGAGGAUCAGAGGCGGAGAGGAGGAGGAGAGCUCCCUGCCCGGCGCUGGAAAAAGGUAAGUGUUUAACCCCUUUCCUCUCCCCAGAGCCCAGUGGGAGGGGGACCCUGAGAGUGGGGGCACCCUCAGGGCACUAUAGUGCCAGGAAAACGAGUAUCCUUUAAGGGUUCAGACUGGGAUGCUGUUACACAAACCAAGGAAAUAGAACUACUGCCCAUUGAGAUGAAAUUAGCAAAAGAUACACAAUAUACAGCAGAUUCAAUUGAUAUAUCCACAUAGUGGCCAACAUUUAAUAAAAAGUUCCAGGGACACUUUGCAGCACAGCUAUCAAUUACUACCUUGAACAUUUACCACACCCACUCCCGCAAAGCUCCGCCCACUAUGCCCAACCCACAUAACUAAUCUCCGCCUACUUAUAUUGCAAAUUACAGGGUCUAAUGUUCAAUAAAGAGAGAAUUACAGGGAAUUGAGAUGGGAAUUUCAAACUUAAGGCCAAAGUAACCGAGUUAGAAAAAUUCUCCCAUUCAGCUGCAUUAUAUCUGCCUAAAGUUUGAAAUUCCCAUCACAAUUCCCUGCAGUUCUCUCUUUAUUGAGCAGACCUUUAUAACACCAAGUUCCCGCCAACAGUACCAGCAUCCUUGGUAUCAGAUAGAUACAUGCGCAGCACAGCAUCUAUAGCAGGCAGGUACAUUGUAUCGCUUUAAUGUGAGUUGGGUAUCGGCGGUGACACUGUCAGUACAAACAUACAAAGACCUUCUACAGAUGUGCUUCAGUCAGAGAGUUGUGACUACACCAUAGAAAUACAUUAGUUUACAAAAAUAAUUAUAUUGGGGAGUGAAUAUAGUAAAAAAAAAAAAAAAAUAACUGAAUAUAGGAAAUGGAAGAUAUAGAAGGAGAGCUUACAGAAUGGAUUUAAUAAGAGAAAUGGGAACAAAAGGAAAACAUAUGCACAUAUUCUAUUAGCCCCUUUUCAUGCCCCCAAUUCAAUAUGUUAAAUGUCUCAGAUUGAGGCUUCAGUCACCACUCCAAUGCUUCUGAUUCAUCUAGUUCCAUAAGUCUAUGGGUAUUAUACGUGUAUUAUACAAAGAGCGGCACUAUACAGGGAGCACUGACUGUCCCAGGAUAUUAUACACACAGACCUGUAUUAUACAGAGAGCAGCACUAUACAGGGAGCACUGACUGUCCCAGGAUAUUAUACACACAGACCUGUAUUAUACAGAGAGCAGCACUAUACAGGGAGCACUGACUGUCACAGGAUAUUAUACACACAGACCUGUAUUAUACAGAGAGCAGCACUAUGCAGGGAGCACUGACUGUCCCAGGAUAUUAUACACACAGACCUGUAUUAUACAGAGAACAUCACUAUACAGGGAGCACUGACUGUCCCAGGAUGGUAUACACACAGACCUGAACUAUACAGAGAGCAGCACUAUACAGGGAGCACUGACUGUACCAGGAUAUUAUACACACAGACCUGUAUUAUACAUAGAGCAGCACUAUACAGGGAGCACUGACUUCCCAGGAUAUUAUACACACAGACCUGUAUUAUAAAGAGAGCAGCACUAUACAGGGAGCACUGACUGCCCUGUGAUAUUAUACACAGACCUGUAUUCUAAAGAGAGCAGCACUAUGAAGGGAGCACUGACUGUCUCGGGAUAUUAUACACACAGACCUGUAUUAUAUAGAGAACAGCACUAUACAGGGAGCACUGACUGUCCCAGGAUGGUAUACACACAGACCUGAACUAUACAGAGAGCAGCACUAUACAGGGAGCACUGACUGUCCUGGGAUAUUAUACACACAGACCUGUAUUAUACAUAGAGCAGCACUAUACAGGGAGCACUGACUUCCCAGGAUAUUAUACACACAGACCUGUAUUAUAAAGAGAGCAGCACUAUGAAGGGAGCACUGACUGUCCCAGGAUAUUAUACACACAGACCUGUAUUAUACAUAGAGCAGCACUAUACAGGGAGCACUGACUUCCCAGGAUAUUAUACACACAGACCUGUAUUAUAAAGAGAGCAGCACUAUGAAGGGAGCACUGACUGUCUCGGGAUAUUAUACACACAGACCUGUAUUAUACAGAGAACAGCACUAUACAGGGAGCACUGACUGUCCCAGGAUGGUAUACACACAGACCUGAACUAUACAGAGAGCAGCACUAUACAGGGAUCACUGACUGUCCCAGGAUAUUAUGCACACAGACCUGUGUUAUACAGAGAGCAGCACUAUACAGGGAGCACUGACUGCCCUGUGAUAUUAUACACAGACCUGUAUUCUAAAGAGAGCAGCACUAUGAAGGGAGCACUGACUGUCUCGGGAUAUUAUACACACAGACCUGUAUUAUACAGAGAACAGCACUGACUGUCCCAGGAUGGUAUACACACAGACCUGAACUAUACAGAGAGCAGCACUAUACAGGGAGCACUGACUGCCCUGUGAUAUUAUACACAGACCUGUAUUCUAAAGAGAGCAGCACUAUACAGGGAGCACUGACUUCCCAGGAUAUUAUACACACAGACCUGUAUUAUACAGAGAAAAGCACUAUACAGAGAGCACUGACUGUCCUGGAAUAUUCUACACACAGACCUGCAUUAUACAGAGAGCAGCACUAUAUAGGGAACGCCAACUGUCCCAGGAUAUUAUACACACAGACCUGUAUUAUACAGAGAAAAGCACUAUACAGGGAGCACUGACUGUCCUGGGAUAUUCCACACACAGACUUGCAUUAUACAGAGAGCAGCACUAUAUAGGAAACGCUAACCGUCCCAGGAUAUUAUACACAGACCUGUAUUAUACAGAGAGCAACACUAUACAUGAAGCACUGACUGUCCCAGGAUAUUAUACAUAGACCUGUAUUCUAAAGAGAGCAGCACUAUACAGGGAGCACUUUCUGUCCCAUGAUAUUAUACACAGACCUGUAUUAUACAGAGAGCAGCACUAUACAGGGAGCACUGUCUGUCCCAUGAUAUUAUACACAGACCUGUAUUAUACAGAGAGCAGCACUAUACAGGGAGCACUGACUGUCCCAUGAUAUUAUACACAGACCUGUAUUAUACAGAGAGCAGCACUAUACAGGGAGCACUGACUGUCCAGGAUAUUAUACACAGACCUGUAUUAUACAGAGAACAGCACUAUACAGGGAGCACUGACUGUCCCGGGUUAUUGUACACAGACCUGUAUUAUACAGAGAGCAGCACUAUACAGGGAACACUGUCUGUCCCAUGAUAUCAUACACAGACCUGUAUUAUACAGAGAGCAGCACUAUACAGGGAGCACUGACUGUCCCAGAAUAUUAUAGACACAGACUUGUAUACAGAGAGCAGCACUAUAUAGGGAGCGCUAACUGUCCCAGGAUAUUAUACACAGACCUGUAUUAUACAGAGAGCAGCACUAUACAGGGAGCACUGUCUGUCCCAUGAUAUUAUACACAGACCUGUAUUAUACAGAGAGCAGCACUAUACAGGGAGCACUGACUUUCCCGGGUUAUUAUUCACAUACCUGUAUUAUACAGAGAGCAGCACUAUACAGGGAGCACUGUCCCAUGAUAUUAUACACAGACCUGUAUUAUACAGAGAGCAGCACUAUAGUAUUAUACACACACUGCUGAAUACACACACACACAGACUGCGGAGUACACACACACAGACUGCUGAGUACACACACACAGACUGCAGUGUGUGUGUGUGAAGGGUGCAGUGUGUGACGGGUGCUGUGUGUGUGCGUGAGGUGUGCUGUGUGUGCAUGGGGGGGUGCAGUGUGUGUGUGUGUAAGGGGUGCAGUGUGUGUGUGUGUGUGUGUGUGUGUGUGGGGUGCCUUGUGUGUGUGCUCACUACAGAAAAGCUCACUGACACACACACACACACACACACACAAGGCUGAGUAUAUCAAGCCUACCCGGCACUGAAGGCUGUUGCUGGGAGGUCAGGUAUUCAUUUUCUGGCCUUUUCCUCCUGCAGCAAGGUCUCCUGCAUAAAGGUGGAGGCAGAGCUUGGUGGUGGGAGGCAGGGUUUGCAUGCAUGGGCAGCGCUUCUGUCGCGGGCGGAGUUUGUGCCCGCGAGGCAGAGCAAGAGCCUGUUUGCCAGCAAAGUUGCUGGGAAAUCGAAAGGAGGCCCCAGCAGCCUCCAGCAUCUCUCUAUAGCCCCGAGCACCUCUCUUCAGCUCCCAGCAUCUCUCUAUAGCCCCAAGCACCUCUCUCCAGCUCCCAGCACCUCUAUAUAGACCCCAGGAUCUCUACAGCCCCCAACAUCUCUCCAGAGACCCCAGCAUCUCUCCACAGACCCCAGCAUCUUUCUAUAGCCCCCAUCAUCUCUAUAUAGACCCGAGGAUCUCUAUAUAACCCACAGCACCACUCUACAGCCACCAGCAUCUCUCUUUAGCCAUCAGCAUCUCUCUCCAGCCCCCAGCAUCUCUCUCUGGCCCCAGCAUCUCUCUAUAGCCCCCAGCAUCUCUCUAUAGUCCCAGCAUUUCUCUAUAGCCCUAGCAUUUCUCUCCAGCCCCCAGAAUCUCUCUAUAGCCCCAUCACCUCUCUACAGCCCCCAGCAUCGCUCUAUAGCCCCAUCAUCUCUCUAUAGCCCUGAGCAACUCUCUCCAGCCCCCAGCAUCUCUCAAUAACCCCCAGAAUCUCUCAAUAACCCCCAGAAUCUCUCCAGACUCCAGCAUCUCUUUCCAGCCCCAGCAACUCUCUAUAGCCCCCCCAGCAUUUAUCUAUUGCCCCAGCAUCUCUUUCCAGCCCCCAGCAUCUCUCUCCAGUCCCAGCAUCUCUAUAUCACCCAGCAUCUCUCUUUGGCCCCCAGCAUCUCUCUAUAGCAGCCAGCAUCUCUCUCCAGCCCCAAGCAUCUCUCUCCAGCCCCAAGCAUCUCUCUCCAGCCUCAAUCAUCUCUCUCCAGCCUCAAUCAUCUCUCUCAUCUCUCUCCAGCCCCCAGCAUCUCUCUCCAGCCCCCAGCAUCUCUCUACAGUCCCCAAUAUCUCUCUAUAGCCCCCAGCAUCUCUCUAUAGCCCUCAGCAUCUCUCUCCAGCCCCCAGCAUGUCGCUCCAGCCCCCAGCAUCUUGCUCCAGCCCCCAGCAUCUUGCUCCAGCCCCCAGCAUCUCUCUAUAGCCCCCAGCAUCCCUCUCCGGUUCACAGCAGCUGUCUCCAACACCCAGCAUCUCUCUAUAGCCCCCAGCAUCUCUCCAUAACCCCCGGCAUCUCUCUCCAUCCCCACCAUCUCUAUAGCCCCCAGCAUCUCUCCAUAACCCCGAAUCUCUCCAUCCCAUCUCUCUACAGCCCCCAGCAUCUUUCCAUAACCCCCGGCAUCUCUCUCCAUCCCCCAAAAUCUCUCUAUAGCCCCCAGCAUCUCUCUAUAGCCCCCAGCAUCUCUCUCCAGUUCUCUAUAGCCCCCAACAUCUUUCUCCAGCUCCCAUCAUCUCUCUCCAGCCCCCAGCACCUCUCUCCAGCCCCCAGCACCUCUCCCCGGCAGCUCUGUCCUGAAUAUAAUAAAAGCAUAUGGCUAGCAAGGUGCCGGUACUGUCACGGGAGAGUAAAUUGUCUGGGUCAGACUCCAGCUUGCCGGGACUGUCCCGGCAAAAAUGGGACAGUUGGCAACUAAAAGUCCUCUAGAAAGCUAACUUGGAAUUAGGACGGAUUCGACGUCAGACAAUUUAUUGGUGAGUUAUUGGAGGUAAAAGGCCAGAGGGAACGGAAACCUAAUGCUUAGCUGCCUGGAUUGUACCCCCUAACAGCAGUGUCCAGUAAAGAAGGAAGUCAAAGAGCGGGGUAAAAGGGUGGGCCACUGAUUCGAAUCACGUGACCAGAACUGCCAAAAGGGGCGAACAUGCCCAAAAAGGGGGCAUGUUUGUCCAAAGAAUUGGAAGGCCAGCCUGGCAUCAGUGUCCCUAUGUAUCACAGUGUCAGUGUCCCCAUGUCGCCCAGUACCCUAGUCUCCCAGUGUUUGUGUCCCCAUUUCUGUGAGGGUUCAAAUUAGGGUUAGGUAAGUGAUUCUAACCUCUCUCACACUCUAUUCUUACCCUAACCCUUGGGGUAAGGGUUAAAAUAAAGUGUGAUAAAGCACUAUUUAGUGAUAAUCCCCUAAUGUGAAAUAUCACUAAAUAUGAACAAGUCCCUAAUCCUAACCCUAAUUUGAACCCUAACAUUAACCCUAAAUGUCCCAUGUCCUAAGCUUAGUGAAUGCACUAACUAUAAUGAAAGUGUAAAACUAGUUUUACUUACCUUCCCAGACCUGGCUGUGUUACUUACCUUCCAGGAUCUGGCCGUGUUACUUACCUUCCAGGACCUGGCUGUGUUACUUACCUUCCAGGACCUGGCCGUGUUACUUACCUUCCAGGACCUUGCUGUGGAGGAGUAGCAGGAGUGCUAGCAUGCAUGUGCAGCACAGCAUCCAGCUGAUUCCCCUCACUGGAAGUGACAGGGGUAUAGAAAUCUGACGGGGUAUAGCAGAAUGAUAGAACAGCGGCCCUGGUGGUGCCCCCCUCCCCCUCCAAAAAAAAACCUGUCACCUCAAAACUAUCUUAUAGUAUAAUAAUAUUUUAAUCAAGUUUUAAAAAGAAACAGAUUUCUUUAUUUUUAUGAAGUAUAUGUAAAAAACAACCAUCUCAUCCCUUUAUUCUAUGACAUGAUCCUACAGCCCUAUACUGUACAUGCACCUUGGCUCAGACUGAGUAUAAAAACCAACUACACAGAGACUAAAUGUUGGUUUUCAAACACUGACCUAAGGGGUCAUUUCUCUUCAUUUUGAAAAAAAUCUAUUUCCUUUCAAAACUUGAUGAAAGGAUUAUUUUUAUAUUAAACAGGCUAAAACCUGUUAUCUUUAGAAUUUAGUAACCCUGUAUAAUUCACAGUGAGAAGCGGAGCUGGGAUAUCCAGGCUCGGUUAGGCUGGGCUCCUAAUGGUUUGACAUCUACUGAUGGAGACUGUGGCAAAACUAGCCACUUAAGACUAUCCAUAUAUUGAAUGUGUUUAUAUCCCUGUUUCAGCUGUGAGAACCAAGUGUAAACAAGUGAGGGCGUUCGUAUGCUUGCAGUAUGAAAAACCCAGCAUUCCUAAUGUAGUUUCACGAACAAUGAGUUUCAACACUGUUCGUGAAACAAAUAAACUACCGAAUGGUCGACCACACACAAGAGGUCGUGUGGCUCCCAUUAACAGAUUGCAACAUUGUUGCUUCCCUAGGUGGCCGUCGUUCGGCUACCGACCACGCGGCGGUCAGCCAUCUUGGAUCCUUUGUUAGCCCAGCGGUGUUUUGCCGUCGAGCGCCUGGAACUAAAAUCGGCUACUCGACGGCGCGAACACCGGUGGACUUCCAGGCCGUUUGGGAGCCCCGGGCGUUCGGUAGUUUGUUCCCCUAAUAUCAAUCGCUAUUUUAGCAGUGUGUUGGAAAUAAUGUGUAUUUCGUGCAGCGUUCGGUUAGUUAGACUGGGAGCUGAGCGGUAUCCAGCUAUCUACCGAACGUCCAUUCGUUUAAAUACAGUGAAUAUCAAGAAAGUUAUGCAUUUUAAUGUAAAAUGUAAGUUCUGCUGCACGUGGGGAUAAUCCACUUAGCUGUAUAUUCUAGUGGGAGUAUCCUUCUCGUACAGCAGUGCAUGAUGGGAGAAAUGUAUGUGUUGGUCAGUUCCCCAUGUAGUCCCCUACUGUACCACCCCUGGAAUGUCAGUAGGGAAACCCCUUACAUGGGGAAUCCCAUAAAUACAGUGACCUGUGAAUAAAAACCUCAGUUGACUCCCAGCCUAUGUGUCGUCUAGUUCUUGGGAAGGAAGGAUUCUUAUAACGCUACCGGGAUUAUUGUAUGCUGUAUUUAUUUCCUUGGAAUAUUUUAUGCUUGUGACAGAACCAUCUGUCUGGUUAUUGCUGGUGGAUUCAUCUGUUUUGCCCCGUUCGUGUAAAUGUUCCUAUAGCCCAGCCAUACGAAUGACCGUUUUUCCCGAACAAAACUACGGAACGGAUGGCCACCCAGGAGAGAAGUGUGCUGCUGGUUAACCUAUUGAUCCCAAUUAGAACGUUGUGGUUAACGGCAGACACUUCUCAAUUAAACCGAAUUCAGGGUGGUCGUCGUUCAUAUGUCGACCACGAGGCAGCGGCCAUUUUAAAACACGCGAAAGCCCAGCGGUGUUCGGCUCUAUUUUCAUGGAACUAAAAACGGACACUUUUUCUGCCGAACACCGCUGAAACAACGGAACGCCUGGCUGCCUCCACGAAAGCAUACGAAUACCGGCCGUUCGGGAGUUUUGAAGCAUACGAAAGGACUUAACCCAGAUAGCCUUCCCAUGGAGUCAUUCGUAUACCGAAAGACUGUAAGAACUUUGACUCCAUGGCAAUUGAACUAUGUGUGUGGGAUCUGAGCGCUAUUCGCUAAUAAUAUGCACUCAGAUCCAGGCUAUCUGGGGAUAUGUGAUGUGAAUGGGAAAUGGUCGGUUUUUGUGAAGUUAUGUAUUUUUAUGUCUUUUCUGAUUUUAUAUUUAAAAUGGUGACUGGCUUUGUCCUGGAGAUAAUUGAGUUACUUCUUAAUUAUCUCCAGGGCAGAGGGGAGGAAACCAUAUUGCAUUGUGGGUAAAAGCUGUGACUGUGUGUCUGGAAUGUCCCCAUAUCUGUCUGUCAUUUCAGUCUCCCAUUUGGUCCCCUAGGGGAGUGUCCACCAAGUGGGAGACCUGCAUAAAUACGGGCAGUUGGCCCACAGUAAAGCCAGAUCCUGUUUUGACCCUCAAUGCGGAGCUUCUGUCUCGUUAUUGGGGGAUUUCUUCUUUACGCUUAGAGACUGCUGGAUGGAACCGAAAGCCGCUUGGUGGAUGUUAUUGUUCGGCGGCUAGCAGCAGUUCGUGGAUUGCUGUUCAGGAGUUUGGAGCCGGUCACGGAGCUCGGUCGGGAGAUUGCCGCUUCCCCUGAGCUUGGUUCGUGCACUACAGGUUAUGCGAACGGAGAUUAUUGGUAUUGCAGAAGAACCGACUAAACGGCGGUUUCAUUUAAAGACACCGGGGGUGUCUUAACAAUGCUGUUCCUGUUACCCAGCGGAGAUACUGUGGAUUAUACUACCUCUCCGCUACAGAGACAUUAUACAACACUCCCGGCCAAUAUCAGCCAGACUGGCUCGACUCCUACAGCCUAGACUUGUACAGUCUGGGUACCUAUUGGACACCUACUGGCUGGACGACACAUAUUCAGACUGUGCAAUACAGAUCCUGCCAUGGUUUGAUCCCUGUGUCAGACCGUUUCCUGUAGAGUUUAUUCUGUUACUAUUACUUGAAAUUAACCCAAACCGCAACAAGUUUUGCGGUCCAUAGAGUUUACAUAGCCGGAGUUUGUGGCUCAGAGAACAAUAUAAAGUGUCCUCAGACUGUUUAAACUGGCCAUACCUUAAUAAAAAAACGUCCUCCUACCAUGUAAAUCCACCCCAGCACCAAAUAAAAUGUCUGUAACACUAUGUAAAAUGGCCACAGAUUGUUUAAACUGGCCAAAAAUAUUCAGGAAACUUCUCUGCAGAAUCUCCCAAAUAAUGAAAUGUACUGCUAUAGGCUUUAUACAGAGAUCAAUGCAUAUACAAUCAUUGUCUGUGUACAUACUGCGCACUGCACUGCAUAUGCUGUCAUUGUCUGUGUGUAUACUGCGCACUGCACUGCAAAUACUGCCAUUGUCUGUGUGUAUACUGCGCACUGCACUGGAUAUACUGCCAUUGUCUGCAUACUGCACACUGCACUGUAUAUACUGCCAUUGCCUGCAUAUACUGCCAUUGUCUGUAUAUACUGCACACUGCACUGCAUAUACUGUCAUUGUCUGUGUAUAUACUGCGCACUGCAUAUNNNNNNNNNNNNNNNNNNNNNNNNNNNNNNNNNNNNNNNNNNNNNNNNNNNNNNNNNNNNNNNNNNNNNNNNNNNNNNNNNNNNNNNNNNNNNNNNNNNNCAUGUUAAAAGACUUUGUUUCCCCUGCAGAAAAGACUUAUUCGUGCUUUUCUGCCCGGUGUUCGGUAGAUUCAAUCUACCGAACAACCGCCCGAAUGACUAGACCACCUGGGAGCUGGAGUGUGCCGGCAAUUAGCCUCCCAGAAGCUGCGGUUAACCGCAGCUUAAUCGACGAAUACUGGGUGGCCGCCAUUCGUAUAACGAACACGAGGUCGCGGCCAUUUUAAACACACGAACGAACAGCGGUGUUCGACGCUUAACUCAUGGAACUAAAAACGGACACGGCUUGGCGUGAACACCGCUGAGGUCGCCGACCUCCCUUCUUGUUGGGUGGAAGUGCACGAACGGCCCACUGUUCGGUAGUUGUGCCUGACUGCACUAUACCCCAGAUAGGAAUCCCAUGGAGCUCAUUCGUAUGAGAACUGACUUUGUGAAGACUUUGGCUCCAUGGCGAUUAAACUGAAUUUGUGUGGUCUGAGCGCCAUUUGCUUAAAGGACCACUCUAGGCACUCAGACCACUUCAGCUUAAUGAAGUGGUCUGGGUGCCAGGUCCAGCUAGGGUUAACCCAUUUUUUCAUAAUUAUAGCAGUUUCAGAGAAACUGCUAUAAUUAUGAAUGGGUUAAGCCUUCCCCCUAAUCCUCUAGUGGCUGUCUCAUUGACAGCCACUAGCGCUGCGUGCUUCUCACUGUUUUUCACAGUGAGAGCAUAGCGUCCAUAGAAAACAUUGUAAAUGCUUUCUUUCCUAUGCGGCUCUUUGAAGCUAGCUUCUUUUCAUUCAAGGGAGAAAUGAGGCGGAGGAGGAUACUCCCCGCCCAGCUGGAAAAAGGUAAGUUUAAACCCCUUUCCCCCUUCCAGUGCCGGGCGGGAGGGGGUCCCUGAGGGUGGGGGCACCCUCAGGGCACUAUAGUGCCAGGAAAACGAGUAUGUUUUCCUGGCACUAUAGUGGUCCUUUAAUAAUCCGCGCUCAGACCUGAACUAUCUGGGGAUAUGUUAAAUGAAUAGUUUUAUUGUAACUUGUGUCAUAUAAUGUAUUUUAAUAGUAAUUCCUGUAUUGGUAUCCCCACAUGAAUAAUGGUGAUUUGCCUUUGUCCUGGGAGAUAAUUGAAUUACUUCUCAAUUAUCUCCAGAGCAGAGGGGAGGAAGCCAGGAUGCAUUGUGGGAAUAUAAUGUGACUGUGUGUCCUGUUUGGCUGAUUGUUUGUCUUUUGUCACAGUCUCCCAUUUGGUCCCCUAGGGGAGUGUCCACCAAGUGGGAGGCCUGCAUAAAUACUGGGCAGGUAGCCCUCAUUAAAUAGACCACUGCUUGACCAUCAACACAGAGCCUUGUCUCGUCUUUGGGGGGAUUUACUGAAUGCUGAUAUAGACUGAUUGCUAGGAGUGUAAGCCGCUUGGAUGCUUUUCCUAUUCGUCUGCUAGCAGCUAUUCGUAUGGUUCCAGUUCGUGAGUUUGGAGUGUUAUAUUGUAUGCCGUUCGGGAGUUUGGAGCAUUCCCUUACAUGCGGUUCGGGAGUUUGGUGUUCUACAGUAGCUGUGCCUUCAUCUCUGAAAGGGGACGAUCGCCUAAACGGUUUUAACCCCUUGUGUGCUGAAACGGUCCGUUACAAUUGGUGGCAAGCGGCGGGAUCGUUCCUACAGCCAGAGGGACAGCUACAGGAGACACCAUUCCGUGGAUUUUACAAUUUGAGGGCAACGCAUGUCCCAGUACAGCGACCCUGACAGCACCAGGAUGGAACCAGCAGUGGAGUAUGAUGAGGGUGUCAUGGAUGACCGAGAUGCAGUUCGCAAAGGCAUCUGGUACCAGGCACUGGGUAUUGUGGAGUACCAGUGGGAAGAGAGAUUCCCCAAGCAAGACCAGCGGUUAAAGAAGCAAGUAGCCCUGCGGAUGCCCUUCCUGGGAGAGCAGCCCCUGGAGGUAUGGGUGAAGAAAUUGGAACACCUAGUAUGGCAAGAGAUGUGGCUGGAAGAUGCCUACCAGGCGCUCUGGUGGUAUGGGGCACAGUACCUGCCCUGGACAGCCGAGCACAACAAGCCAGAGGGAGAGGAGUUUGAUGAGCCCUACACAAGCCCGGUUCAGUGAUCUAUUGGAGUGGAGGGAGAGCAGGUAUGACUGGAACGACACUCAGGAGAUUGAGCAAGACCUGGUCCACCUAGUGACCCGAGAGAUGGAGCUGGAGCAGGGCUACCAAGAUCUGUUCAACUCCAGUGAGAAGGCUCAGCAGGGAAGUGGAGACCCAGAUCCAGACCUAGAUAUGGCAGAAAAUUACUGGGAAGAACCCCAGGUGGCUGGUGGAGAUGGGACCGAGGUCUCUCCACCGGUCCUGCAGGGAAUUGGGAGCUCGAGCUCCAUUCCCCAGCGGGAGAUAUUGCAGGGAAUUGGGAGCCCGAGCUCCAUUCCCUAGCGGGAGAUAUUGCAGGGAAUUGGGAGCCCGAGCUCCAUUCCCCAGCGGGAGAUAUUGCAGGGAAUUGGGAGCCCGAGCUCCAUUCCCCAGCAGGAGAUAUUGCAGGGAAUCGGGAGCCCAAGCUCCAUUCCCCAGCGGCAGGCUGAGUUACAGGGGGCAGAGACAAGUGGUCCUGUCCCCCAGCGGCAGUGUACUUUGCAGGGAGAGGAGAGCAGCGUCCUCCCUCCCCAGUGGCAGGGUGAGCUACAGGGAUGCUGGGUGGUCGGCUCAGAUCCCCAGCGGCAGUAUGAUUUUUUGGGAAUUGGGAGCCCAGUCUCCAUUCCCCAGCGGCAGUACGAAUUAUUGGGAAUUGGGAGCCCAGUCUCCAUUCCCCAGCGGCAGAGUGUCCUACCGGGAAUAGAGAGCCCAGUCUCCUUUCCCCAGCAGCAGGACUCUGUAUUGGGAGCGGAGACAGUCGGUCUCCCUCCCCCACGGCUGGAAGUAUGUAUGGGAGAGAAGCUUGUUACCCCCUCUCCCCAGCGGCAGCUUAAUGUACCAAGGGGGGACAGUAAGCCCCACAACUGUGCAGCACAGGGGGUAGGGACGGUUGGUUCUGCCCCCCAGCGACAUGGCUGUUUAACCAAAGGGGAGACAGUCGGUCUCCAGCAGCAGGGCUGUGUGUCUAAAGGGGAGACAGUCGGUGUCUCAAACAGCAGGGCUGUGUGUCUAAAGGGGAGACAGUUGGUCUCCAGCAGCAGGGCUGUGUGUCUAAAGGGGAGACAGUCGGUCUCCAACAGCAGGGCUGUGUGUCUAAAGGGGAGACAGUCGGUCUCCAGCAGCAGGGCUGUGUGUCUAAAGGGGAGACAGUCGGUCUCCCCCUCCAACCACCAGGCUCCAACCAGGCUACCUCCACAGCAGCGCUGGCACCAGGGCAGAGUACUGCUGGUCUCUACCCACUCAGCAACCCACCAAAGCAGCCUACCAGUCACCCACACAGCCGUGGUGAGGCACCUGGACAUGGACAAGCUUCUCCUCUACCCAGGUGUAGUAACCAUUUAGUGUGGGUGGGCUGUACUGCUGAUUGUGUUUUGUGGGUGGGCUGUACUGCUGAUUGUGUUUUGUUAACCGCAGCUUAAUUGACGAAUACUGGGUGGCCGCCAUUCGUAUAAUGAACACGAGGUCGCGGCCAUUUUAAACACGCUUAACUCAAGGAACUAAAAACGGACACGCUUUGGCGCGAACACUGCUGAAGUCGCCGACCUCCCUUCUUUUUCGGUGCACGAACGGCCCGGUGUUCGGUAGUUGUGCCUGACUGCACUAUACCCCAGAUAGGAAUCCCAUGGAGCUCAUUCGUAUGAGAACUGACUUUGUGAAGACUUUGGCUCCAUGGCAAUUAAAUUGUAUUCGUGUGGUCUGAGUGCCAUUCGCUUAAUAAUGUGCGCUCAGACCUGAGCUAUCUGGGGAUAUGUUAAAUGUAUAGUUUUAUUGUAACUUGUGUCAUAUAGUGUAUUUUAAUAGUAAUUCCUGUAUUGGUAUCCCCACGUGCAUAAUGGCGAUUUGCCUUUGUCCUGGGAGAUAAUUGAAUUACUUCUCAAUUAUCUCCAGGGCAGAGGGGCGGAAGCCAGGAUGCAUUUAGAACAAGUGCAUCCUGGCGGAAGCCAGGAUGCAUUGUGGGAAUAUAAUGUGACUGUUUGGCUGAUUGUCUGUCUUUUGUCACAGUCUCCCAUUUGGUCCCCUAGGGGAGUGUCCACCAGGUGGGAGACCUGCAUAAAUACUGGGCAGGUAGCUCUCAUUAAACAGAGCACUGCUUGACCCUCAAGGCUCCGGCCUUGUCUCGUCUUUGGGGGGGAUUUACUGAAUGCUGAUAUAGACUGAUUGCUAGGAGUGUAAGCCGCUUUGAUGCUUUUCCUAUUCGUCUGCUUGCAGCCAUUCGUAUGGUUCCAGUUCGUGAGUUUGGAGUGUUAUAUUGUAUGCCGUUCGGGAGUUUGGAGCAUGUGCUGUGUGCAUGUAGCUGUGCCUGCAUCUCUGAAAGGGGACGAUCGCCUAAACGGUUUUAACCCCUUGUGUGCUGAAACGGUAAAUAGAGUACAAAGAGUUGUCAUUAAUGGUAAAUUUUCAAGCUGGACAGAGGUGGCAAGUGUUGUCCCUUAGGGUUCUGUUUUGGUCCCCUUCUAUUUAAUAUGUUUAUAAAUGAUCUUGAAAAACAAUGAAAGUAAUUUUUCAGUGUUUGCAGAUGACACAAAUCUUUGUAAAGUAAUAAAAUGUGAGCAGGAUAUUGCUUUGCUACAGAGGGAUUUAGAUAGACUGAGGGAUUGGGCACUCAAAUGGCAGAUGAAAUUUAUUGUUGAAAAAUGCAAAGUUACGAACUUCGGCGUAAAGAAUGCACAAGCAACGUAUACCCUUAAUGGAAACAAAUUAGGGAUAACAACACACGAAAAGGACUUGGGAAUUGUUAUAGAUAACAAACUAUGCAACAAUGUGCAAUGUCAAUCAGCAGUGGCUAAGGCCAGUAAGGUAUUGUCAUGCAUGAAAAAGGGCAUUCAUUCUCGAGAUGAGAAUAUCAUUUUGCCUCUUUAUAAAUCACUGGUAAGACCACAUAUUGAAUAUGCUGUUCAAUUUUGGGCACUUGUUCUAAAGAAGGAUAUUAUGGCACUAGAAAAAGUGCAACGGCGGGCUACAAAAUUAAUAAAAGGAAUGGAACAUAUCAGCUAUGAAGAAAGGUUAACAAAUUUAAACCUAUUUAGUUUAGAAAAACGUCGCCUGAGAGGGGAUAUGAUAACAUUAUACAAAUAUAUUCAGGGCCAAUACAAACCAUUGUGUGGAAAUCUAUUCACAAACCAGACUUUACAUAGGACACAGGGUCAUGCGUUUAGACUGGAAGAAAGAAGAUUUUGUCUAAGGCAAAGAAAAGGUUUUUUUUACUGUAAGAACAAUCAGGAUGUGGAAUUCUCUGCCUGAAGAAGUGGUUUUAUCAGAAUCCAUACAGAUGUUCAAACAGCAAUUAGAUGCAUACUUGCAAAAAUAGAAUAUUCAAGGAUAUAAUUUUACAAUGUAGGGUAAUAGCUUCUUGAUCCAAGGAUAAAUCUGACUGCCAUUCUGGGUCAAGAAGGAAUUUAUUUGCUCGUUUGUUGCAAAAUUGGAAUUGCUUCAAACUGUUUUUUUUGCCUUCUUUUGGAUCAACCGCAAAAAAAACAAAUGUGAGCAAGGCUGUAUCUAUGAUCUGGUAUGAGGGAUCUGUGGAGAUAGUCAUCCAGUGUUGGCCUGAAAAGAAGGGAACUCUCUAAUAAAAACAAAAAAGACUGAUAGGGCUACCAGGGAUCCUAAGAACUAGGAGGCACCACAUAUAGUAGUGGAGCCACUGCUAACUAUUAGUUUUAGUUCCAACGAAAAGAUAUCUAGCAUUGCCAUGGAACAUCCUGAGAACCCAUCAACUACCAUGGAAAUAAGAAAAAAUUAUAAGAAGAAUAAAACAAUACCAUUAAGAUUAUAAGUGAUAUGACAGUCACACCGAGUGAGGAGAGGUAUCUACCACCAAAGAUGUCNNNNNNNNNNNNNNNNNNNNNNNNNNNNNNNNNNNNNNNNNNNNNNNNNNNNNNNNNNNNNNNNNNNNNNNNNNNNNNNNNNNNNNNNNNNNNNNNNNNNUGUUCGGGUUAAAUGGCCCUUUAUUAGGUACAAUCUCCUCCUUAGUGAAUACAACCUCCUUCUGUGCUGUAUUAUUCCUGGUAUCACACACACAACGUUAUCACUUGUUUUCAGAGAGUGAAAAUUCCAGCACUUUAGGAAUGAUUAGAUUAUAGCUGGGCUCAGCGCGGUCUCUACCAGAGACGUAUCAUUCCUGAUUAUUUCCUGCCCAGUCACCCAGCGGCGCUUAGUUUACCGAGCUUGGCCCUGUUUAUCCAAUCUCUCUGUGCUCUCAGUUAUCUCUCACCUCGCUCUCACGUUCUCUAUUCUUCCCCCCAAAUCAUCCUCUUCAGAGGUCCCAUCGCUAGUUUGGAAGCCCGGGGGCCCUUUCACUUUCAUUGCAUUAUAUUUCUCUUUCUCUCUUUCGUCGGGGUGAAUUCAGCAAACUCUGCGUUGUAGUAAAUUGAGUUCUGAAUGGUAAAAUCCGGGCUGAAAUAGUUAAUUUUAAAAACAAGCUGUAACUGAGCUCUCGUCACCGCUUGGCUAAUUAGCUGAAUUUGUGCCUUUGGAUAUAAUUUUAUAAAUUAGUGAGUGAUCUUUCAUAUCUCUCUGUCACUCUCUUCAUCUCUGUAUCUUUUACCUGAAGACAGUUUCAGUCUAUAUGUGUCAGCUGUCAGAGUAACGUAACGGGCUGUUUAGUGGAUAUACCCCUGUGUGGCGAGACCAAUCUCGCCACAUUGCAUUGGAGAAGCCUGGUUGCUCGCCUGCUGCCUUUGGACUAUGGCCCCAUGUUAAAAGACUUUGUUUCGCCUGCAGAAAAGCUUUAUUCGUGCUUUUCUGCCAGUUGUUCAGGUAGAUUCAAUCUACCGAACAACCGCACGAAUGAAUAGACCACCUGGGAGCUGGAGUGUGCCGGCAAUUAACCUCCCUAAGGCUGCGGUUAACCGCAGCUUAAUUGACAAAUGCUGGGUGGCCACCAUUCGUAUCCCGAACACGAUGACGCAGUCAUUUUAAACAUACGAAUGCACAGCGGUGUUCGACGCUUAAUUCAUGGAACUAAAAUCGGACACAGGUUUGCGCGAACACCGCUGAAGCCGCUGACCUCCCUUCUUGUUCGGUGGAAGUUCACAAACGGCCGGUGUUCGGUAGUUUUACUUGUCUAUGUUAUACCCCAGAUAGGAAUCCCAUGGAGCCCAUUCGCAUGAAACUGACUGUGUAAAGACUUUGGCUCCAUGGCGAUUACACUGUAUUCGUGUGGUCUGAGCGCCAUUCGCUUAAUAAUGUGCGCUCAGACCUGAGCUAUCUGGGGAUAUGUUAAAUGUAUAGUUUUAAUGUAAUGUGUCUUACAUGGUGUAUUUUAAUAGUAAUUCCUGUUUUAGUAUCCCCACAUGCAUAAUGGCGAUUUGCCUUUGUCUUGGGAGAUAAUUGAAUUACUUCUCAAUUAUCUCCCAGGGCAGAGGGAAGGAAGCCAGGAUGCAUUGUGGGAAUAUACUGUGACUGUGUGUCCUAUUUGUCUACUUGUCUGUCCUUUAUCACAGUCUCCCAUUUGGUCCCCUAGGGGAGUGUCCACCAGGUGGGAGACCUGCAUAAAUACUGGGCAGGUAGCCCUCAUUUUGGGGGGAUUUACUAAAUGCUGAUAGAGACUGAUUGCUAGGAGUGNNNNNNNNNNNNNNNNNNNNNNNNNNNNNNNNNNNNNNNNNNNNNNNNNNNNNNNNNNNNNNNNNNNNNNNNNNNNNNNNNNNNNNNNNNNNNNNNNNNNUAAAACCAGAACUUUGAUAGUGGUUACUACUCAUGCAAACUCGGAAUGGCAAGGUCAUCUUUGGAACCAGCACAGAUAUCAUACUGGAGCCCAGCACCAGUCUGUAGGGCUGGGGCGUGUGAAAUGGAGCUCCUUGUACCCACUUCUUAGCUGAAACAGGGGACAAACUGCAGCACUUCUGCCCACAGUCGCUGUUGCUUGACUGGGGCCCUGGAACCGCUCUCUCCUGGAGCCGAAUGGGGAAUUAGCUCUAGACACCCCCAGGCACUGGGCGAUAUUCAGUCCUGGGAGCUCUAGUCCUUACCACGUUGAAUCCCCUGCAAGCUGAAUCCCCUGCAAGCUGGAACAGGAGACACAGGAGUAAAUCUUCUUUCCCUCCAAUAACAGGACGACACACAAUUUUGGAGUGUAAGCAGGAAUAGAUUUUAAUGGUGCCACACUUGGCCUUAUAUGACAGUCCCCAUGCAAGGGGUACGCCCACAUGGAACUUGUUGGGGACAGGGACACAAACUUACAAACCAAUAAUAACACAUUUACAAUGUAAGGCACUCCCAAACAUGGCAUACAAUCCUUUCCCUCUGCCUGGGAGAUAAUUGAGUCAGAUACUGUAUUAACCCAAUUAUCGCCAGGCAGAAAAAACACACAUUUCUAAAAAGCCCCAAAAGUACCCCAAAGCACAUGAUAUCCCCACAAAUGUUACAUCCCCUAAUAGCCCUGAUCUGGAUGACCAACAUAUCCAAAAAUCACCCAGAUCAGUUCAGNNNNNNNNNNNNNNNNNNNNNNNNNNNNNNNNNNNNNNNNNNNNNNNNNNNNNNNNNNNNNNNNNNNNNNNNNNNNNNNNNNNNNNNNNNNNNNNNNNNNGGGUUCAGAAAUUCAAUGGAAGUCAUUUAUUUGACCGACCGCAGGCAAGGUCCCAUGCCCAAAACAGUUCCAGAGAAUCAGGGCUUGUGGCCGGUCUAGUUCGGUAGUUUUAAAAUGAACAAACUACCGAACAGAGUCAAUAGCUCUAAACUACUUUCAAUUACUUCCUCCCUCGGACUAUUGCAGUGGGCUAACUCUCCCACCCAUGUAGCUGGCAAUACCCUCGACCUUAUUUUCUCUUAUUCAUGUAUAGUAUCUAAUAUCUGCAACACUCCAUUUCCUCUCUCUGAUCAUUUUACCCCCUCACCCAACAACCUCAGCCUAACCCCCUCUCAACUCAGGAGGAACCUUAACUCUAUUGACCUCCAGCAACUGUCAGCUGACAUUGAUUCACAACUGCUAUCCAUCCCAUCCCUCUCCUGUCCCUCACUGGCCAUCUCCACAUAUAACACUACCCUCACAUAAAACCAUAAAAUGCACAACCUAAAAAUACAAAGGGAGACCAAUAGUGCAGACAAAAAUAACUAAAUAUUAAAAAAUUAAAAACUAUAAAACACUCACAAACAUAGAAGUAAAAAGGCAGGGUAUAGCCAAAUUUCUUCAAAUGCUUCUUCUUCUUCUUCUUCUUGUGUAUGAAGAUGAAUACUUAAAACAGAGCACAGAAGAAAAACAUAGUGUAUAACUGUAUGGUAUUAGAAAAUUUGCUUUAUUGGAUACACUUACAAGAUAAAAGAAGUAAAAGGGCUCAUCAAUUUGAAUCACAUCCACUGUCUGCCAUCCCAAAUAAAUACAACGCCAGAGGAUGAGGACAAAGUAAAUACAAAGAGUCCAGAAUUAAAAAAUUGAAUUGUAAAAAUAAAGCUUGCCACCCUACGCGUUUCGUCUACAAGACGUCGUCAGGGGCUUGUGGCACAAAUAUACCAUACAUCUACAACACUACCCUCACCUCUGCCUUGAACGCUGCAGCCCCGCUCUAAACAUGCACCUCGAGGAGGACACAACCCCAACCAUGGCAUACUAAAUCAACAUGCUAUCUGCAGAGUUGCUCCCGUUGUGCUGAAUGCUCCUGGAGGAAGUCCCGUACCCAGGCAGACUUUCUCCAUUAUAGAUUCAUGUUGCGUUCAUACAGUGCAGACCUUGCCCUCACCAAACAGUCAUAAUUUUCCUUUCUCAUUAGUUCAUGCUCCAGCAAUCCCAGACGUCUCUUUGACACCUUUAACUCACUUCUGCGCCCUGCUGCGGCCACCCCUCAAACUAACCUUACAGCUGAUAGCUUUGCAUGCUACUUUACUAACAAGAUUGAACAGCUAAGGAAACAAUUCUCCCCUCCUUGCCGUUCUCUUUCUCAACCACACAUAAAUCAUACCUUCCCUACCCUUCAGACUUUCUCCCCGGCUACUGAACAAGAGGUGGAUGCGCUUCUCCAUUCCUCUCGCCCUACCACUUGCCCGCUCGAUCUCUUUCCCCUUGUCUUGUGCCUACCCGAACACACAUCUUUAACUGCUCUCUCUCUUCUGGCACUGUUCCUGCUGACCUUAAACAUGCCACUGUAGUACCUAUCCUGAAAAAAACAUCUCUUGACCCAUCCUUCCCCUCUAACUAUCGUUCACUAUCCCUGCUCCCUUUCUCAUCAAAGCUUUUGGAAAGACUUGUCUUUACCCGUGUGUCUCGCUUCCUCAAUUCCAACUCUCUCAUUGACCCUCUUCAGUCUGGCUUCCACCCUCUCCACUCUACUGAGACUGCUCUCAUCAAAGUCACUAAUGACCUAAUCGCAGCUAAAUCCAAAGGUCACUACUUCAUAUUAAUUCUUCUUGACCUCGCUGCUGCCUUUGAAACCGUUNNNNNNNNNNNNNNNNNNNNNNNNNNNNNNNNNNNNNNNNNNNNNNNNNNNNNNNNNNNNNNNNNNNNNNNNNNNNNNNNNNNNNNNNNNNNNNNNNNNNUGUAGGGCUCCCAAACUCAGGCUCUGCAAAAGACUCCCAUAACAAGCCAGGACCAUCAAACUCCUCUCCCUCUGGCUUGUCAUGCUCGGCUGUCCAGGGCAGGUACUGUGCUCCAUACCACCAGAGCACCUGGUAGGCAUCUUCAAGCCAAAUCUCCUGCCAUACUCGGAGCGCCAAUUCCUUCACCCAUUCAUCCAAGGGCUGCUCUCCCAGAAAGGGCAUCCGCAGGGCUACUCGCUUCUGCAGUCGCUGGUCUUCCUUGGGGAGUCUCUCGCCCCGCUGGUACUCCACAAUGCCCAGUGCCUGGUACCAGAUGCCUUUGCGCAGCGCAUCUCGGUCAUCCAUGACACCCUCAUGGUACUCCACUGCUGGUUCCAUCUCGGUGCUGUCAGGGUCGCUGUACUGGGACAUGCGUUGCCCUUAAAUUGUAAAAUCCACGGAAUGGUGUCGUCUGUAGCUGUCCUUUUGUCUGUGGUAACGAUCCCGCCGCUUGCCACCAAUUGUAACGGACCGUUUUGCACACAAGGGGUUAAAACCGUUUAGGCGAUCGUCCCCUUUCAGAGAUGCAGGCACAGCUACCGUAGAAAACCAAACUCACGAACCGCAUGUAAGGGAAUGCUCCAAACUCCCGAACGGCAUACGAUAUAACACUCCAAACUCACGAACUGGAACCAUACGAAUAGCUGCUAGCAGAUGAAAAGGAAAAGCACCCAAGCGGCUUGCACUCCUAGCAAUCAGUCUCUAUCAGCAUUCAGUAAAUCCCCCCAAAGACGAGACAAGGCAGUGUUCUGUUUAAUGAGGGCUACCUGCCCAGUAUUUAUGCAGGUCUCCCACCUGGUGGACACUCCCUUAGUGGACCAAAUGGGAGACUGUGACAAAAGAUAGACAAGUAGACAAAUAGGACACACAGUCACAUUAUAUUCCCACAAUGCAUCCUGGCUUCCUCCCCUCUGCCUUGGAGAUAAUUGAGAAGUAAUUAAAUUAUCUCCCAAGACAAAGGCAAAUCGCCAUUAUGCACGUGGGGAUACUAAAACAAGAAUUACUGUUAAAAUACACUAUGUAAGACACAUUACAAUAAAACUAUACAUUUAACAUGUCCCCAGAUAGCUCAGGUCUGAGCGCACACUAUUAAGCGAAUGGCGCUCAGACCACACGAAUACAGUUUAAUCGCCAUGGAGCCAAAGUCUUUACACAGUCAGUUCUCAUGCGAAUGGGCUCCAUGGGAUUCCUAUCUGGGGUAUAACAUUUCAAGUAAAACUACCGAACACCGGGCCGUUCGUGCCCUUUCACCAAACAAGAAGGGGAGGUCGGCGGCUUCAGCGAUGUUCGGCAAAACUGUGUCCGACUUUAGUUCCAUGAAUUAAGCGUCAAACACCGCUGUGCGUUCUCAUGUAUAAAAUGGCCACGACCUCGUGUUCGUGAUACGAAUGGCGGCCACCCUGCAUUUGUCAAUUAAGCAGCGGUUAACCGCAGCUUCAGGGAGGCUAAUUGCCGGCACACUCCAGCUCUCAGGUGGUCCAGUCAUUCGUGCGGUUGUUCGGUAGACUGAAUCUACGGAACACCAGGCAGAAAAUCACGAAUAAGUCUUUUCUGCAGGGAAAAAAGAUGUCUUUUAACAUGGGGCCAUAGUCCAAAGGCAGCAGGCGAGCAACCAGGCUUCUCCAAGGCAAUGUGGCGAGAUUGAUCUCGUCACAAUCACAAAUAACUGUUAGUGAGAAAGCUAGUCAUGUGCUCCUCGUUCAGGAGUUGGUUUUCACCAAACGCCGCCUCCUUCGGAUGACUUGGAACCAACAUAGGUGAUCCUGGAAGUCUCAGCGGUGUUCGGGUCGUUAAGUGUCCAAAAAUAGUUCCAUGCACUUGAUGACCAAACACCGCUGGAGGUGUUCGACGAAACAAGAUGGCCGCCGCCUCGUGUUCGUACAUACGAAUGACGGCCUCUCAGUGACCCACUUAGAACAUUUAAGUGUUGUGGUUAAAGCAAGCGUUAGUAAGGUCAAGUGGGUCAAUUAGCGGCAUAUGACUGCUCUGGGUGAUCCAAGUGUUUGGUAUAUUAUUCGGUAUACUAACCAGCUGGGCAAUUAUGUUCAGUUAGAUUCAUAUACCGAUCCAGGCAAAGCAAAAUUAAACUCCAGGAACAAGGUAUCUGUUACAAGUGCAAUUUAGAAAUAUUUAAUCUUUACAACAAUUAAAUGUGAGCAUUAAAUCAUUUCAACAAAUGUGUAAAUAGUGCUAGAAAUAUACACUAAUAAAUGAAAGCGUGUAUUAUAAGGAAUGUUUAUUAUCCAUAGCUAUUAUCGUGUUCACAGUACUAAUAAAGGUCACUUUUAUUGCUCUCACCCAUUGGAGGGAGUAGAAAUGAUUAUUGGGAUUGCUGCUUCCAGAGAAGGAACAUGUGAGUCUCUCAUUCUCUGAGCACGGCCUUGUUGUAAGUCUUUAAAUGCAAAUUCAAAUAAGAAAUAACUGGUAUCUGAACGGUGGCCAGACCAGCAAAGCCACUAUAUUGCUGUAUACUGUGUGCUUUAUUUCUCAUCCUGUGAUAAAACAAGCUAGCGAAGAACUUUAUAAUCAUGUCUUAAUGAUGACUGCCGCUAAAUGUACCCAGAACUCAGAAAGUGUUAUUACAGUGUAACUAUGUCCUACCAACACGGGGUUUAGUCCUUCACCAGCUGAGAUAUCAAACAAUUAAAAUAUUUACCUUUUAAACAACAAUAAUCCUUUGCCAUGUUGAGGAGGGCACCACAUCCAUUAAUACACCAAUACACAAAUACCGCAGAAGCAGAUCAUACAUUAUAUAUCAGCUGUAUGUGCUAAUUCCCACCAUUAUUCCAAAAGGGAAAGUGGAAACGUGUCUAAAAAUGUCCAUUGUACAUAUUAGUCUUUCCUAACGCUGAUAAGAUAGCGGGCGCUUUCAUCAGCUGUGGGCAUCACGUCGUUGUGCAGCCUUCUGUGUAGUGACGUGAGAUACACACAGUAACAAGGGCAUUACUAGAGGGAAUGGAAGAGUAUUAGGACAUCUUGUAUGACACGAAUGCUGAGAUCNNNNNNNNNNNNNNNNNNNNNNNNNNNNNNNNNNNNNNNNNNNNNNNNNNNNNNNNNNNNNNNNNNNNNNNNNNNNNNNNNNNNNNNNNNNNNNNNNNNNGAUCACGCUCUCCUCCUUCAAACUCUUCAAUCGCUCGGUUUCUAUGACUUUGUCCUCUCUUGGUUUUCCUCCUAUCUCUCCCAACGCUCAUUCAGUGUCUCCUUUUCCAAGCAUACCUCCUCCCCUCGUCCUGUCUUGGUUGGAGUUCCCCAUGGCUCUGUCCUUGGUCCCCUUCUAUUUUCUAUUUAUACUGCCUCUCUUGGCAAGCUUAUUGCCUCUUUUGGAUUCAACUACCAACUGUACGCUGAUGACACUCCCCGGACCUCUCCCCUGCCGUCCUGCAACGUGUCACUGCUUGCCUUUCUUCCAUCUCUGACUGGAUGUCCUCACACUUUCUGAAACUCAAUCUCUCUAAAACUGAACUCCUUGUCUUUCCUCCUCCUUAUACUGUUACUCCUCUCUCACUCUCCCUUCAAGUCAGUGAUAUCCACAUAAGUCCAUCCUUGCAAGCACGUUGUCUUGGCGUCAUACUUGACUCUGGCCUCACCUUUGAGCCUCACAUCCAGUUUGUUGCCAAAUCCUGUAGGUUCCAAUUCAAAAACAUAGCCCGCACCUGCCCCUUUCUUACGCAAGAUGCUACCAAAGAGCUUGUCCAUGCUCUAGUAAUUUCUCGCAUGGAUUACUGUAACCCUCUCCUGAUUGGUCUCCCCAAAAGCCGUAUUGCCCCACUACAGUUUGUAAUGAAUGCUGCAGCUAGACUGAAUUUCCUCUCUAGUCGGUCCUCUCACACAUUACCCCUCUGCCAGUCCUUACAUUGGCUCCCUGUAUCCUAUAGGAGUCAUUUCAAAGUGCUAACCCAUACAUUUAAAGCACUGAACAAUUCUAGCCCCUCUUAUAUCUCCUCAAUGAUCCAAAUCUGUUGGUGCUAUAUAAAUGGCAAUAAUAAUAAUAAUAAUAGUCUUACCCUGGAGCUUGUUCCCCUCAUCCAGAUUAAUGAUUUUACCGAACAGUGCCCUUCUAAGUUGUAUAGAAACAAACGCAGGCGAUGAUGGAAGUCCAGCGAUGUUCGGGAGUUUCUGUAUACAAUUUUAGUUCCAUGAGAUUCAUGCCCAAACACCACUGCCUGCGUUCAUGCGAAUAAUAUGGCCGCCACCUUGUGGUUGUCCAUAGGAAUUGAGGCCACCCAGACGAACAAUUGGAACACUGCCGUGAGAAACGUUUCAAGUUGUUAAUAGGUGUUAACAAGCUCCAGGGUGGUCUCUGGUUUGUGUGAUUGUUUGGUAAACGAACCAUAUAAUCCCAAUUGCACGAACAGAGACUUUUACAUUAUUUUUCACAGGGUCCAUAGUUUGUGGGCAGGAGGCUGGCAAGCAGGCUCCUCCAGGAGCUCGUGGCAAACUCAGUUAAAAGGGGGAGUUUGUCACAGCGUGUCCUUCAUGGAGGGCUCUAUGGGAGGACCAUGGUUUGAGUCAAAAAGAAAUUUGCACAUCAAUUGUUUGGAGCUGAUUGCAGGCUCUUUUGCAAUACACAGCCUCACACAACAUAAGAUGAAUUGUUGCAUUCUAUUAUUGAUGGACAAAAUCUCGGCAAUCUGAUAUUUGAAUCACCUAGGGGAGCGCGAGAUCCUGUUUACUGUUGGAAAUCACAAAAGUCAUAUACUAAUUUUGCUUCCAACACAUUUCCUUGAAAGAAGAAUAAGUACCUCCCAGGCUUGUCCAAGCUGUCAGAAGAUUGGUUCACCAGGUUUUGGAGGGACAUUAGAGACUGGAUGUUUGACAAGUCCGUGUUCACAAUCCUUCAAUCCUUCAUUCCAUGAAGGGAACUUGUAGUGGAUCCUGGAUCCUGAGUGUACAGUGAUGGAUGCCUUCCUCCAAAUGUGGCCAAAUCAAUAAUUGGUUGGUCAUUGGAAAGCAAUAUUGAUCCAUUUACAGCUCCUCUACAAUUCUUUAAAAUUUUCUGUCUUCCCUUUUUGCUUCGGGUAAAAAUAUUGCUCUAUUAAUCUCAUGCAUUCAUGAAUCUUGGAGGUUCACAUCCUGAUUUCGGGUACAGGGUAUUCUUCUGUCAUGCCCUCCGCAAAUAUUCCCAAUUAUGGAAUGUGAACCUUGUCCUACAAUUCUGGAGAAAUUGACCUGACAACAAUUUCCUCUCCUUACGCCAGCUAUCGAAAAAAUGUACUCCUACUUUGUUUAGUUUCUUUUUGUUGGGUCUCGUAUGUUUGAGCAUUCUACAUUGAUGCUUUUUCUUUUUCUCUGGAUAAAUUUACCUUUCAGAUUUUGUGACACAAAAUCUGAUUAAUUGUCGGUGUUUNNNNNNNNNNNNNNNNNNNNNNNNNNNNNNNNNNNNNNNNNNNNNNNNNNNNNNNNNNNNNNNNNNNNNNNNNNNNNNNNNNNNNNNNNNNNNNNNNNNNUAUCCUCUCUUUUGAGAGGAACCCAAACUUUCUGUGGUUUCUACCCUCGCUACUUAUGUUUCAGUUACAGCAUCUCUACGUUAUUACCCCUCUGGUCAAAUACUAAUUUCUUAUGCAAACCAUAUAAUGCUUUCAGUUACAACAUUAGCCCGCUGGAGCCAGUGGCUCUAAACCGGUGCCCGGAGAAGACUCUUCUUUCAGAGCUUAUCUGGAUCGUGGAGCGUCCGUGCUUUUUUGUCAUCUUUUAUCUUGGUUACUUCACUGUCUGACAUUCUUCGGUUUGCAAGAUCUCGGACCUUUUAUUUUUGUCAGUCUGCUCACAUUUCUCGUUUCAAUAAGCAAAAUCUAUAAUUAUAGAUUAAGCUCAAAUUAAUGUACCAAUAAUCCUAAUUUUAGUAAUGUUAGGAGGAGAAUAUGUUCCCUUCUGUUCCACUCCCUUUUCGAGAGGUAGACAUUUUCUUGCAUAUUUGAUAAUAUUUUUAUUGUUUCACAAUGUGUUAUGUAUCAUUAACUAUUUAUGCUGCUGAUAUAUGUCGAACCGCAGAUAUAGGCGCUCACUAUAAAUAAGAAUAGGCUGCAAUAGAUCAGCAAGGAUUCCCCCACCUUGCGUAAUAUACAAAUAGGGAAAAAAACAGGUNNNNNNNNNNNNNNNNNNNNNNNNNNNNNNNNNNNNNNNNNNNNNNNNNNNNNNNNNNNNNNNNNNNNNNNNNNNNNNNNNNNNNNNNNNNNNNNNNNNNGAUCUAUUGCACCAGGAACAGCCACACAAAUAAAACUGAUAUUCAAAACAACCUUAUAGCGCAGAUUAUUUGUAUAUAGGUAUAUGCGUACACUUAUUCACAACCACAGAUUGUUAAUUCCAGAUUGUACAAAAUCUUUAAAAUAAAAAACAGCCUUUACAAGCCCUUACAAGCCCUUACAAGCCCUUUCCCUUCUCAAUCACAGACUUCCCAAUGUGGCUCAAUGAGGAGUCUUUGCAAGGUGCUCUGGGCAGUUGUUGCCUCUUGCCUUAAUCUCCACUAGAGAUGUCGCGAACCGUUCGCGAACGUCUCUAAUCUCCACUGAGCUACCCAAACCAGGAAGUAAAAGGGUAACAGGACCGGUGGUCUGAUUGACAAAUUCAUAAAAGUAUCAAUUUCUGCUGAAAUCUACACUAUUUUCAAAAUGAAUAAAGAGGACACACUGUUCACAGAUAAAACUUUUCAGGGAGCUAUAGAGCUAAACAAUUAAUUGGAAAUUGGAAAAGCACAUUUAACCCCAGGCUAUUAAUCUGAAGAGUUUUCCAGACACCACUUAAUGAGUAAGUACAAAUUGUGUUAAACUCUCCGAAACUCCAAAGUAAGGGCUUUUCGAGAAUUCAACGUGGUGCUAGGGUUAUUAAGAGCUUCCCAGGCGGGAAGAUAAAAGAUUUUACAACAGAGGGAUUGGCUGACUGCAUCCAGCCAUUCACCAUUUAAUGUCGUUACCUAUGAGAUCCACACUGAACUAGCUCACCAUCGGACAAUGACGUUAUUAGUAUAAAAUGUUUAUUUUAGAAAUAUUUGUCUGUUUUUACUAUCUUAAAUUGAGCAGUAACUGGUCGAACACAAUGAUGAAGAACCUGGCUGAGUUUUUGGUUUCAGUUAGAUAAAUUGUUAAUAUAUUUUCUUUGCUCUCCUUGUUGUCAAUAACCUCUCCAUGACACCAUCGCGUCCACUUCCCGGGUUACUCUCAUUCAAAAACACAUUCUAUCCCUCUGUCAAUAUACACAAUAUCAGGAAAAUCUUUCUCAACCCUCUCCCUGCCANNNNNNNNNNNNNNNNNNNNNNNNNNNNNNNNNNNNNNNNNNNNNNNNNNNNNNNNNNNNNNNNNNNNNNNNNNNNNNNNNNNNNNNNNNNNNNNNNNNNGGGCCAUAAUCCAAAGGCAGCAGGUGAGCAACCAGGCUUCUCCAAUGCAAUGUGGCGAGAUUGCUCUCGUCACAUACAUCUAGACCGAUUCUUUGAGUUGGAACACUCUUUGAGUGAGGAACUGUAUCAAAUGCCUUGACAAAAUCCAAAUAGAUCACAUGCACUGCAACACCCUGAUCUAUGCUUCUACUUACUUCUUCGUAGAACGCAAUCAAGUUAGUUUGACAUGACCUGUGCUUCAUAAAACCAUGCUGAUUUUUGCUGAUAACCACGUUCUUCACAAGGAAUUCUUGAAUAGUAUCCCUUAAUAACCUUUCAAAUAUUUUCCCAGCCAGAAAAGUUAAGCUCACAGGUCUAUAAUUUCCAGGCAAGGAUUUGGAACCCUUUUUUGAAUAUAGGAACCACAUCUGCCUUCCUUCCAAUCCUCCGGAACACUUCCUGAAAGAAAAGAAUCUUGAAAGAUUAAAAACAGAGGUUCACUUAUUUCUACACUUAGUUCCUUAAGUACUAGUCUCUUCCGAGAUCCCUCAUACCAGAUCACAGAUACUUUUCUCCCCAGAUCCCUCAUACCAGAUCACAGAUACGUCUCUCCCCAGAUCCCUCAUAGCGGAUCACAGAGAUAUCCCUCCCCAGAUGCCUCAUACCAGAUCAUAGAAACUUCUCUCCCCACAUCCCUCAUAGUGGAUCACAGAGAUUUCUCUCCCCAGAUUCCUCAUACCGGAUCACAGAGAUCUCCCUCCCAAGAUCCUUCAUACUGUAUCACAGAGAUCUCUCUCUCCUCAGGUCCCUCAUACCAGAUCACAGAGAUCUCUAUUCCAGAUCCCUCAUUCUGGAUCACAGUGUUCUAUCUCCCAGAUCUCUCAGACAAGAUUACAUAGCCGGCAAGAUCUUGGGCACACUUUAAAGAGGCUAACAAGGCAUGUGCCAGGGUGCUUGGGAGCGGUGUGAUAGUGAUGCCCAAGGCAAAUGCCCUGUUAGGCUUGUGGAAGAUAAAACCCUGACUGAAUCACAGAGAUCUCUCUCCCCAGAUACCGUAUACCGGAUCACAGAGAUCUCUCUACCCAGAUCUCUCAUACCAGAUCACAGAUAUCUCUCUCCCUAGAUACCUCAUACCAGAUCACAGAGAUCUCUCUCCCAAGAUCCCUCAUACCCGAUCACAAAGAUCUCACUACCCAUACCCCCCAUACCAGAUCAAAGAGAUAUCUAUCCUCAGUUCCAUCACACGGGAUCACAGAGAUUUCUCUCCCCAGAUCCCUGAUACUGGAUCACAUAGAUCUCUCUCCAGAUCCCUCAUACCGGAUCACAGAGAUAUCUCUCCCCACAUCCCCGAUACAGGAUCACAGAGAUCACUCUCCCUAGAUCCCCCAUACCGGAUCACAUAGAUCUCUCUCCCAGGAUCUUUCAGGUCAAAUUACAGAGAUCUCUCCCCCAGAUCUCUCUGACCAAAUUACAGAGGUCUCUCUCCCCAGAUCCCUCAUAACGGAUCACAUCGAUCUUUCUCCCCAGACCCCACAUACUGGAUCACAGAGAUCUCUCUCCCCAGAUCCCUCAUACUGGAUCACAUAGAUCUCUCUCCCCAGAUCCCUCAUACUGGAUCACAGAGAUCUCUCUCCCCAGAUCCAUCAUACUGGAUCACAGAGAUCUCUCUCUCCAGAUCCCUCACAGAGAUAUCUCUCCCCACAUCCACCAUACUGGAUCACAGAGAUCUCUCUCCGUAAAUCCCCUUUCAGACCAGAUUACAGAGGUCUCCCCAGAUCCCUCAUACCGGAUCACAGAGAUCUCUCUCCCCAGAUACCUCAUACUGGAUCACAGAGAUUUUUCUCCCCAGAUCCCUCAUACCGGAUCACAGAGAUCUCUCUCCCCAGAUCCCUCAUACCGGAUCAAAGAGAUCUCUCUCCCCAGAUCCCUCAUACCGGAUCACAUAUAUCUCUCUUCCCAGAUCUCUCAGACCGGAUCACAUAGAUGUCUCUCCAGAGAUAACUUAUACCGGAUCACAGAGAUCUCUCUCCCCAGAUCUCUCAGACUGAAUCACAGAUAUCUCUCUCCCCAGAUCCCUCAUACUGGAUCACAGAGAUCUCUCUCCCCAGAUCCUUCAUACUGGAUCAAAGAGAUCUCUCUCCCCAGAUCCCUCAUACCGGAUCACAUAUAUCUCUCUUCCCAGAUCUCUCAGACCGAAUCACAGAGAUCUCUCUCCCCAGAUGCCUUAUAUCGGAUCACAGAGAUCUCUCUCCCCAGAUACCUUAUACUGGAUCACAGAGAUCGCUCUCCCCAGAUCUCUCAGACUGCAUCACAGAGAUCUGUUGCACCGAUCACCACGUAGCGCCCACCCGAGACCUUGCGCUUAGUUAAGGUUGUAACCAUCAGGUCCUGUUUUUGUAUAUUGCUUUAUGUAUUUAUCUGGCUUAUCUGCUUUUCCUGACGCAGAGACCUAUGUUUUACACGUAAAGUCGGACAGUUUCCAUGGGAUUAUGCUAAAGGCCAGCUUUCUACUCAUAUGCAGACAACCUUUGCGUGGUAUUUUAUCCUCUGUACUUUUCCAAGCAAUUCUACACUCGGCCGCCUCAGGGUAAUCGGCUUAUUUCAGUAUUUAUGCAGCUUGCCUCCCUCGAAUCUAAAGAGUUAACGUUAGUGAAAUGAAGGAGUUAACAGGCUCAGUGCAGCCAUUACUAAUACAGAGGAUUGAAUGGAGGUGAGCUUGUGACCUGGGCUUCAGGCAUGAACUGGGCCAAGGAAGACAGAAACCGUGAGAGCGAGUGAGUGCGGCAGGAGGGGGAGAGAAUCACGUGCUUGAGAAAAGUCCAAAGCUAGAUUCCCGACUCAUGUUAAUCAUACGUAUUAUCUGAGGUCAAUGCACUACCUGCAGAGCGGCACGUCUGAAUGUGUGAGGGACAAGGGGAGGGGGCAGCUGGCACAGCGGCUGGAAGGAGAGAAGGAGGAGAGAAAGAAUGAGAAAAGAUAUGGAAUCAGUAACUAGCUCAGUUCUGGACCAAAGAGCAGAGAGAAGAGCAAUGGCUGCGGAAACCAAUGAAAUGUUCCUGCGGUUUGCCCUUUAGAAUUGCCCUUUAUAAAGAUGCCCCCAAUGUAGCAUGAGGAGACAGAGGGCAGGAGGAGACAGAGGACAUUAGAAGAGACAGAGCGUGUUAGGAGAAACAGUGGGCAGGAAGAGACCGAGAACAUUAUGAGAGACAGAGGGCAUUAUGAGAGACAGAGAGCGUUAGGAGAGACAGAGGGCAUGAGGAGACAGAGAUUGUUAGAAGAGACAGAGAGUGUUAGGAGAGACAGAGGGCAUGAGGUGACAGAGAACAUUAGGAGACAGAGCAUGUUAGGAGAGGCAGAGGGCAAGAUGAGACAAUGAGGAUGAAGAGACAGAGGGCAUUAGGAGAAACAGAGCGUUAGGCGAGACAGAGGACAGGAGGACAUAGAGAGUGUUAUUAGUGAGUGUUAGGAGAGACAGAGGGCAGGAGGAGACAGAGUGUUAGCAGAGACAGAUCAGGAGGAGACAGGACAGUUGGAGAGACAGAGGGCAGGAGGAGAUGGAGAGCGUUAGGAGAGACAGAUAAGGAGGAGACAGAGGGCGUUAGGAGAGACAGAGGGCAGGAGGAGACAGAGGGUGUUAGGAGAGAGAGGGCAGGAGGAGACAUAGGGCAUUAGGAGAGAGCGGGCAGGAGGAGACAGAGGGCGUUAGAAGAGAGAGAGGGCAGGAGGAGACAGAGGGUGUUAGGGAGAGAGAGGGCAGGAGGAGACAGCCGGUGUUAGGAGAGAGGGCAGGAGGAAACAGAGGGUUAGGGAGAGAGAGGGCAGGAGGAGACAGAGGGCAUUAGGGAGAGAGAGAGGGCAGGAGGAGACAGAGGGUGUUAUUAGAGAGAGANNNNNNNNNNNNNNNNNNNNNNNNNNNNNNNNNNNNNNNNNNNNNNNNNNNNNNNNNNNNNNNNNNNNNNNNNNNNNNNNNNNNNNNNNNNNNNNNNNNNACCCCCUCUCUCAUUCAAAAUUACCUGUACUAUAGCUACACAUUUAAAUGUGUCAAAAUUAAAUAGGGGGGCAAUUAUUGCAGUGCACAGGUACUGAAUGUGAUAAUAUUUCUGUUCUCUUGGAACCUAACUUUCUCUUUCCUUCCAGUUCUCCCAACAUACUGCAUCCCACAUCCACAAGUGAGGAGAUACACCACGUAAGAGGAGGAACAGGAUACCUUACUCUUAAUCUUAAAUUUUACUUGAGUUUGUGUACUAACAAAAUCUUUUAUAACAUUAAAUUGAUGACCACAACUCUUACAGUUCCCACAGGUAUAAAAACCUCCCAUACAUCUAGUCAGAUCCUUUUCUGAUCUAAAAGUACUGGGUGCAAGGAUCUGCUCCAAAUUAGUCCCUUUUCUGAAGAUAAUUUUCGGAGCCUGAGGGAUGUUAUUGACAUGCCUUGUGAUUGUGAGUGUAAUCAUUUACCUCUAUAAUUCCUAUUGUACUACGUUACUGCUCUAUGUCCGUCUCUAUUAUUUUUGUGUUGUAGAUUGCCUUUUUGGUAGUAUAUUAAUGUCUAUGAAUUAAAACUAAUGAGUCAGAUUGGCUAAAAGUAUGAAUAGCUGUCUAGUAAAGAUUCCAAUACAUGUGACACGUAAUAGCUGCCCUGAUGGUAAAAAGUCGAAUGAAGAUGUUUCUUGGAAUUGGGAAUAAUAUUGAAAUGCACCUUGCUUCACUCAUGCACUAUAUAGGCACAAUUGAUAUGAGGCAAAAUGGACAUUACGGGGCCAAACAAACAGCCCAGGUAGAUGUUUACCAAUCCCUGCAGCUAUUAGUCAAUGAGAAAUAAGUCUGGGCUCAGAGUGCUCUAAGCACCAUGCUCUAUUACAAAGUGAUUACGGUGCUUAGUCUGACCCUGUAAAGCAUGGUUUAUAAAUGUACACUUCAUACGUAAAUUGGAAGGGUACUAUCUCAAUGACAUGACAGUACAUUAUUAACUAUACAGCUCUAUGGAUGGAAGAUUUGAGAAACGCAAUGGUUAAGUACGAGAAACAAUCAAACAUUUAGUCUCUCAAGUACAUCUCCAGUCGUUCUCAUUAUCUCUCACUACUCCAUCGUCGUCCUCUGAUCCCAACUCAUUGUUUCCAUUCCCUCCAUUGUAUAACUUGCUUGGUUUAUGUUCUUAUUCUGAUCAAUAUGUUAUUAUCGUGUGGCAAUACUGACGUUCUUCAUCUCAAUACGCGCUGUGUCAGGCAGGAUGAGAUGGGUAAAGUCAGAAAACUACAAAGCUUUAUCCGAAAUAAGUUCUCAGUGACAUGUCCUAGUUUUUCUCUGGGGAAUGAGUUCAAACAACUCCGUACAAUUACAGGUUUUGGAUCUUCCAUAUAAUUACUGCAUAUUGUGGAAAAACACAGUGACUUUGUAUCUCAUAGACCUCUGAUUGUGUCGCUGUCCUCACACCUAACCUCUCUUUGGAAUUGAUGACGCAUCUCUGUAGACGCUUGUCUUCGCACAUGCAACUAUGACGUGUGCAUGUGUGUUAUUGGGAGCUAAAUCAAAGAAAACAAAUAUUUAUGUAAUAGGUAUGUAAUAGGUUGUUCUCCAUGUCAAUCCAAGACAAAUUAAAUCAGCUUGGUUUCUCUGUAACUAAACAUUUCCCCAAAUCCAACAAUCUGCCUCUGCAUUAUGUAGGUGGUUUUGAUUUACCUGCUUAUAGGUCGGUUCUCCUGCUUCGGAUUAAAGACUCAAGGUUUCGACAGUGUUUUCCAAAAUAUAACAAAAUUAUGUAUUUUUAUGUGGGUUGAAAAGCUUGAUAAAAAGAUGUACAAGAGCAGAACUACAAAAGACAAGGUCAACUCAGGUUUUCAUUCAUCCAAGGCCAACUAAAUGAGUGCCAUUAAGUUGGGUAAUAGCUUUAAGACACCUUAGAAAAAAAUAGAAAUUAACGCUUCCACGUUAUUUAUGAUAUGGCAAGAUAAGGGUUCCCAGCUUUGGAUCCAGACCCGAACUGGUCUGGACCCGGUCCGUCUCUUCUUCACAGUCAACAGCCAAGCACUGGACGAAGGAUAAAUAUUUCUCCCAAUCUCGCUCCCAAAUAUCCUGGGAAGAUAAAUAUCUCUUCCAACCUCGCUCUGAAACAUCCUGGGAGGAUAAAUAUUUCUCCCAAUAUCGUUCCCAAACAUACUGGAAGGAUAAAUAUCUCUUCCAACCUCGCUCCCAAACACUAGACAAGUAUUAGUGAGGGAAUGAGACAGUUAAUUUAUUGAGGAAAAAACAGUGCAGAGCACAAUGUUUGAAUAACUGGGAGGGAGACUGUGGGCCUUAUUGUAAACUUAAAGGAACAUUGUAGUAUAGUGGUUACGGUGUCCACAGUGCCCUUGGGGCAGCCCAAUGUAAGUCGUCAGACCAAUCUAGCACAGUUGGAUAUUUUCCCUGUUCCUGGACAUUAUUUUUAUUAAUUUCACCUAGAUCGGUAUACAAACUCAACCGAACAGAUUUUGUCCCAGCUGGUUCAUAUACCGAAUGUUCUACCAAACCCUUGGGCCACCCAAAGCAGUCGUGUGCCACCAAUUGACCUUAUUGACAAUUGCCCUAGCCGCAACUCUGAACGUUCUAAGUGGUUCACUGGGUGGCCAUCGAUUCGUAUGCACGAACACCUGGCGGCAGCUGUAGCGGAGAUACAAUAUUCCACAGAUUAUCUCCGCUUAAGAUCCCAGUGAGGCUCAGGAACAAGUAAUUAUAAAUCCACAAAGCAAGGUUUCCAGCAGGUAAAAUAAUCCAACAGUAUCCCAAUAGCAAUCCCAAUAACUGGACGACACACAGCAUCAGGAGCAGAACUGAAAACCUUUUUUUCACAGUGGCCUUAUAAAGCAUGCUCCCAUGCAAGUAUCCAAUCCUGUUCCGGUAACCUCCCAGACAUCCCCUCCCCUCAGACUGCAUCAUAAUCCCCUUAUCCAGGAUACCAAUUCCCCCCCUUUCUGGAUGUACCCCUAAACCUAGGGGUACCACUUUAAAUUAUACAUCCCCUGGUAGCCCUGAUCUGGGUGAACAACAUAUCCAAAAAUCACCCAGAUCAGACCAGGGGUUCGGGAAAUUCAUGGAGGGAAUAAAAUGACCGACCGCUGUGCUGGAAGGAAUAGCCAAAUUGGGCUUCAUGCGAUGGGGCCCUGCGGUCGGUCCUGGAAAAAGGGAAUGAAUCAUACGAAAGCCUCUAGUUAAGGAGACUGGGGAGGGUUCGCCUGAAUCCCCUCGGUCGGUUGUUUCUAUCUACCAAACGAGGUGCCAUUCGGUAGUUUGGAACCGAACGGACCGGGCUUGUGGAGGUCUCAGCGGUGUUCGCUUAGUCGAGUGUCCGAUUUGAGUUCCAGACACUCGACGGCAAAACACCGCUGUUCAGGAGUUUUCGUUUCCCGAAUGGCGGCCACCCCCAAGAAAAAAGGACUGCUACUUAGCUUGUCAAUUACCCGUUCGCAACAAUGUUGCAACGGUAAUUGAAGGCACACUUCACACAGGGGAGGUCUGACUGUCGGGUAGUUUCAAUCGAACAAACUAAGGGAAUGAAACUACCGAACAAUCAGACGAACACAAUACAUUUAACACAUAUAACUUUGCCAUUUACACGAAUGCAGUCAAAACCAAUACAAUUCCCAAGACAGCCCAGUGCCAUCCGCUACAGCAGCCAUCUUGUUUUGUCGAACGCGUCCAGCGGUGUUUGGUCGUUGAGUGUUGUGACGGACCACCUGGCACCCCGACCGGAUGCCUCCGCCAAUUGCUGCUUCCUAGGCACUGCACCGGACACCAUAAGUACCGUAGCCCUUUAGCUGACGCAGCUUGGCUGGGGUCUCGCUUUCCUCCACCCACCCACCCUUCCAGUGGGUUGACCUCUCCUCUUCCAGAGAGUAUAGCAGGUCUGGCUGUGUAUAUCUUAUAAGAGCUAGUGACUAUAGCCAGUAUAGUAAUUCAAAGAGCAAUCCCAGGAGCAGGGAUUAUAGCUGGUAUGGCCGGUAUAGCAGUUCCCUACAACAAGAGACAAGACUCUUUGUUGAGGGUGAAGUAAGACUGAAUUUUAAUGGUGCCACACUGGCCUUUUAUGACAAUCACAAUGCAAGGGGCACGCCCACAUAGACCUUGUUGGGGACUCCAACACAAAGACACAGACCAAUAAGAACAGUCAUUUAAUGCACGACACUCCUAUAACAUACAAUAACAUACAAUAAACAUACAAUCCCAAAAAACACACAUUUCUAUGAAGUCCCAAAAGUACCCCAAAACACAUUGUAUCCACUGAUAGCCCUGAUCUGGGUGACCAACAUAUCCAAAAAUCACCCAGAUUUGUUUAGGGGUUCAGAAAUUCUAUGGAAGUCAUUUAUUUGACCGACUGCAGGCAUGGUCCCAUGCCCAAAACAGUUCCAGAGAAUCAGGGCUUGCGGUCGCUCUAGUUCGGUUGUUUGAAAAUGAACAAACUACCGAAGAGAGUCAAGAGUCUUACCCUGGAGUUUGUUCCCUUCAUCCAGACGAAUGAUCCUUAUUAUGGGUGUUUUGAGUUCAUUUUCAAUUGUCUCAAACAGCCCCGNNNNNNNNNNNNNNNNNNNNNNNNNNNNNNNNNNNNNNNNNNNNNNNNNNNNNNNNNNNNNNNNNNNNNNNNNNNNNNNNNNNNNNNNNNNNNNNNNNNNCCUUACAGAUCCUCCUUAACGUAUUCUCUGCUUGAACUGUGAUUAUCUUGCUGCCUGGCACAAUAUGAAGGGUAAAUAACACAUGUUCUACUAUUUACAAAUAGCCAAAACAAUGCCGAGGGCCCCCACUCUCAGAGCUCUGACGUCCAGCCACUGCCUCCCUGCAGAAGCCAAUCAGAAGCCGGGAUCCGGGCACAGCCAGCCGAGCAGUUUCCAGUGCAGAGGAUAUGCCGAUGGAGCUGAGUCUGCCAUUGGUUGGCUGGGGUGGCAGCAUUGUCUUGGAAUGUAUAUAUCAUUGUUCUGCCUUCUCCUCCUUCUCAGGGAAUGUUGCCAAACCCAAGGGACAGUCUGAAUGGGCAGCCUGUAUUGCUCUGCCAGCUUCUCAGGAGAUGCACAAUGCCAUGGGGGAAAUAAUGUGAAUUCUCCUGCUAUCUGUUCAUACAUUCUCUCUGCUUUCAUCAGCCUUCCUGGAUGAGCCGGACAUGGAGGGCUGACCCAAACUGACAUAGCGAGGCCGCUGUUAACCUCUCGUGAGCUGGAGAGGAAGGCAACACGUCGCAGUAACUCCACAGAAUAUUAGUGAAAACUAAACAGACUGUGACCGAUAAUGGCCUCAUUCUGAGAUCUAAACUUUUGGUUCAACAGUUGUCAUGAACUUCUUCUCUCCCGAUGUAAUCAGUACAGCCAUAGCGUCAUAGUUUUGCCGGGUCUGCGCAAAUUUAAUCCUAGCCACUUUAUACACUAAUUGGGUAAUCAAAGAUUUCUGUAUUUUCAGAACUGUGUCAUUG
This 101009-nucleotide long non-coding RNA is filed under the name Pelobates cultripes (western spadefoot toad). Lineage: Eukaryota; Metazoa; Chordata; Amphibia; Anura; Pelobatidae. The record is from RNAcentral.